UGGAGCUAAGUACUUCAAGGGCAAUUUCCUGAGAUUGGCUCGAGUGAAGGCCAUGGUUGACCCAGAUAAUUUCUUCAAAAAUGAACAAAGUAUUCCACCAUUUCCACAUCAAAACUCCCAUUAGGAGGACGUUAAGCCUUGUUUUUAUCUAUUUUAUUUCGUCCUACAAUAAUGCCUUGCUGGUUUAUAUAUUAUAUAUUAUGUAGCAUAUUCUUAUUGAUAUCAUUGUGCAAAAUCCUAACUAGAUGUUUACAAAGAAAAUGAUGCAAGGUUCUCGACCUCUAUUCACAACUAGUGCUUAAAUCAAUCAAUCAUGCUUAAAGUCCCUAAUUAGUAUUAUAACAAACCUUAAUCUAAACUUGAACUACAUAAAUCAUGAUCAAAAUUAAAAAAAAAUAAGAGAACAAAAAAGAGUACUCGAAUCAAUGAUUACACGAACAUGUACCUUCGAGUUAAAACUUACACAAUAAAAACAUAUAUAUUUGGUGAAGAAACGAUGAAGACAAUUAACAUAAAUUUAAAAAAAUAAUGAAAAAAAUUAACAUAAAAUAAGAAGACUUGAGAACAUCACCUUACUAACUAACCGGGAAUCUUUGCAUCCUGAAACGAGUAAAUCACCGGAGGCAUUGGUCCUCAUGACUACCCUUUCUUUAACAUAAUACUUAUUUUCUGGUUUUUAAAGCUCCAAGUGCUCAAUUCACCUCCAACUAGCAUUGACAACAAGGUUGCCUUUGAGAAUGUAUAAAUGCAGCAUCCACGUAUUUUAUAAAACAGAAUAUUUGUUCAAGCACAGCCUGGCAGUGCUCAUCAUUCAAAAAAAAAAAAAAACUAACCGGGAAUCUUUAGAUCCAUGCUAACCAAGAAUCUUCUUAGUAAGCAAAUGGGAAAAUGACCAAAUCAUCCAUUAUCAUUAGCUGAAUGAAAAAUUGAAGAAUAUUUAGUGAAAGUUGUGAAAUUCUUUGAUGAGAUACGAUUUAAAAAAAGAUAAAAAUGGAUUUGGUGAAAUUCUAUGAUGAGAAAUUGAGAAUGAAAUAAUCUAAAAAUGGUGCUUGUUUAAUUUUCUACCGAGCUUAGUAACACGAAAUACCCAAAGGGAUCUUAAACGUUUGCGGUUCUAUUAUAGAUAUCUUCAAACAUUUGAUUCCCUUCUCCAUUUGAUCCAAACAAGGAUGAUCUUUGUCGUCCAUGAAGCAGAAGAGUCUUAAAUUCUUGCUUUUCAAGAUUAUCGGAUGCCCAGUAAUUGUUAAUUCUUGUCCUUGUUUGUGUUCGACUUAUUGCAUCGGAAUUUCGUCAUUUUUAAGUGAAAAUAAUUAUGAGCCUUGUCAAAAGCUUAGGAGAGAAUCCUAAUAAUUAUUUUCACAAAGAAAAUUAUCUCUAAAUAAUUAUAAUAAUGUAGACAAAUAAAAAUAAAUGUGGCAAACCAAAUUGUGAAUAAUUCACAUAUUGCAUCAUGAUGCAUAUAUAUUUGUUUUCAUCAUAUGGAAGCUAACUGGUGAUGGAAUUUUAAAGAAUUUGUAAGUGAAAACUUUCUUGAAAAUUUCUAAAUGAAAAAAUUCUCUAAAAUUUUAUCAAAAUUAUGAAAAAAUUUAGAUUUCUUUCUAAUAUCAAGGAUUUUCAUUUGCCCAUGAGAUAAAAGUAGACCUAUCAAUGGAUUAGCGGGUUCACCAACUUGCGAGCUUAGCUUGAAUCGAGCCUAGUCUUAGACAAGAUUUUCUUGAUCUGAGCCCAGUCCAUGAUAUUAUUAUGUUAUGAGAUAAGAGUCCUUAGGCCGUACCUAUUCAACAAUUAGGGACACUAUUGGCAUUCGCAAGAAGAAAACCGAGAGCCUCCGAUCGAACACUAGCCAAUUGAUCUUAACAUUCAUAAGAUGACAACUUUUUAAUAUCAGGAGCAACAAUGGAAGGAUGGUUAACAGAGGGGCCUUUUUUCAUUUUCCCAACACCCUUAACCACAUCAGCCUAAGUUUUGUGCUGAUGAGAGGCCUCAAACUUAGAGCAAUUUUGAAAAGAGUCAAAAGACAUGAAAUUCCCAGUAAGAGCAGUCCUAUCGUAGAUGCUAACCAAUUUUAUAUAUACUAGGAAGACAGCCCGCGCGAUGCUGCGGGUUGUUAAUUAGAUAAAAAAAUUUCAAUAAUAGAAAGUUAUUUAUGAAGUAAAUUAAUUUUCUUACAUAAUAGUUGAUUGUAUAUAAAGGAGAAAACAAAUUUGUACAUUUGUGGAAAAUUGAAGUGUUAGAAGAACAUAAGUAAUAGAAAUUGUAUAUUACAUAUUUGUAAAGUAAGAGGUGUUUAUGUAGUUUUUGAAAUAUACAUAAAAAAUGGUGUAGACAUAUUGAUAGUAGUAACAAAAUAGUAGCAUACAAAAUUUGGUCAUUGUGAUAUUAUCUGUUGAUUUUUUUCAUAUAUAUUGUUGUAAUAUGCACAUAACAAAAACAUUCUGCAUAUAUGGCAGAACUUAUUGCUUUGUCCAAAAAGUUUGAUGCUUAUUCCUUUGCUUGUGUUUUGCAUCUCCUGUUUACAUGAUAGAAUUACAUACUUUUUAUUUUGAUUCUCUUUAUGAUAUUAUUGUGUACACACAAAUUUCUCAUCGAAAUUUCUUGAUUUGAAAAUUAUGAGACAAAUACAAAUAUUUGAUGAAGUGAGUGAUGAUCUUUGGAAAUUCCUCUUAUUAAUUUUUUCAAUUCGUCUUCAAGAGUCACAAACUUGAACUUAGUCUUGAUCACGAACGUGCUUGAUCUUCACGUCAAGGGUCUUCACGACUUAAUCUUGAUCACGAACGUACUUGAUCUUCGCGUCAAGGGUCUUCACGACUUAGUCUUGAUCACGAACUUGCUUGAUCUUCGCAUCAAGGGUCUUCACGACUUAGUCUUGAUCAUGAACGUGCUUCGCUUAAUAUCUUGAUCACGAACUUCGCUUAAUAUCUUUAUCACGAACUUCGUUUAAUAUCUUGAUCACGAACUUCGUUGUCACUUGAUCACGAACUUCAUUGUUGCUUAAUCUUUACUUCAAAAAUCUUCUAUUCUUUUUGAUCUCUGAAAUGCUCUCAAUAUUCAAAUGCUCCCAAUCUUCGAAUGUCUUCGAAUCUUCGAAUGCCUCUGAAUCUUCGAAUGCCUCUGAAUGAAUGAAAAUGGCUAGGGGGAGCCCUCUAUUUAUAAUGUUUGGUGGGAGACUUUGAUGAGAAUAUAAUCUAUUUGAAUUAUCUCUAAAUUAUUUUAAUUUAUUUAGAGAUAAAUCAUGAUGACUCAUUAAAAGUCUUUGGAUUGGUCGGACCUUGAGUCCUUGAAUUUUGAUUAGCCAAAGUUAGGUAUUAUCUCUAAAUUAUCUCAAUUUAUUAUAGAGAUAAAUUAAAUAAUCCAAUUUGAGUUUUAUCUCUAAAUUAAUAUAAUUAUUAGAGAUAAAUUAAAUGACCAAUGAUUAAAUUUUGAUUGGUCAAAAUAUAAAUAUUAUCUCUAAAUUAUUUUGAUUUAUUUAGAGAUAAAUUGAAUGACCAAUAACUAAAUUUUGAUUGGUCAAAAAUAUGAAUAUUAUCUCUAAAUUAUCUUGAUUUAUUUAAAGAUAAAUUGAAUGACCAAUAACUAAUUUUUUUGAUUGGUUCAAUUUAAAUAUUAUCUUCAAAUUAUCUCAAGGGAUAAAUAUAUACCAAUAGGUGAAUUGGUUCAACUAUAUGUUUUUAAAAUAAUCCAACCAAUAAAUUAAUUAUUUUAUAAUUAAUUACAUGGUUAUGACAUCAUUAAAUCCACAUGGCAGCACGUAAUUGGCUGAUAAUUUUUUUCUCCUUCUACAAAUGCCCCCUCAAGACUUGUUCACACAUGAUUUUGAAUGUAACAAGUGGACAAGUCUUGAAAUUUUAAAAUUUUUAGGAUUUCUUAAAAUCCUAAUGUGUCUUGGCAUAGUUGCAAUCCAAAUUAAAUUUGAAUUAUGCUUGCUCAUUGGUAAGAGAAUUAUAAUCUUGGAAGAUGUAUAUUUCAAUAAAACUACUUGAAGAAGUAUAUUGCAAUAAAAUUGUUUGAAGAAGUAUAUUGCAAUAAAGCUAUAAUUUUGAAAGAGGUAUAUUGCAAUAAAACUAUUUAAAGAAAUAUAUUGCAAUUAGGAUUACAUUCCUUAAUCAACAAGGACUUUGUCUUUUUACUCUAUAAAAAGGGAAUUCCCUUGUCAAUUUGCACAUCAAAAUCAACUUGAGCAUUACUGAUAUUCCAUAAGCAAGCAAGACCGAUUUUUUCAUCUUCUCAAAAUUAUAAGGUAUGCUGUCCUUUCUUUCUCUUCCCUUUAUUAACAUGGCAGUAGAAUUCGCCUGCUUAUGGGCUUUUUUAAUUAUGCAACUCCCAUUAUUUUGCAUGCUAAAAUCUUGCAAGCUGCCAUUUAUUCCAAUUCCCAAACUACAAGCCGCCACUUGUUUUAAUUCCCAUGUUAAAAGCAUGCAAGCCACCAUUUAUCCAAUUGCCAUGAUAAGCCACCAUUNAAAAUCAACUUGAGCAUUACGGAUAUUCCAUAAGCAAGCAAGACCGAUUUUUUCAUCUUCUCAAAAUUAUAAGGUAUGCUGUCCUUUCUUUCUCUUCCCUUUAUUAACAUGGCAGUAGAAUUCGCCUGCUUAUGGGCUUUUUUAAUUAUGCAACUCCCAUUAUUUUGCAUGCUAAAAUCUUGCAAGCUGCCAUUUAUUCCAAUUCCCAAGCUACAAGCCGCCACUUGUUUUAAUUCCCAUGUUAAAAGCAUGCAAGCCACCAUUUAUCUAAUUGCCAUGAUAAGCCACCACUUGCCACGUUACAAAGCCAAAAGGGAGCCAAGAAUUGGCUAAAGUCUUUUAAUCCUCAUGCUUUUGCCAUGUUAUACAACUAAGCCAAGAUUUAAACAAUUGACUAAUGCCCACGUUACAUCAUCUUUCUGCCACAUUUAUAAGGCUCAUGAACUUUGUAUCUUGCCACAUUACACACUUAGGAAAGAAAAUUAUAUUAGCCAUGAUUUCUUUCAAUUGAUAUGCAAGCCGCCACUUGUCUCCAUUGCCAUGCCAAACCACCAUUCAUCUUGCCACAUUACAUGAAUAUAGGCAAACAUUCAAGAGGCCAAGAAUUGGCCAAUAUGUUCUUAUCAAUUUCCUGUACGUACCAUUGUAAAUUGCCAUGCCAAGGAAAUCCAACGUUGCCAUGAUUUUUUUUUAUUGCUUCUAACUUUUUUUUUUUUUUGUAAAUUGUUGUUUUAGACUAAUAAUUUGAUAUUUUAUUGACAGUUAAAUCUCACACUUAUCAGUCUAUAAUCAAAGCAAGCUCAAAUUGAAGCAGAGAAAUUGGCAGCAAUUUAAAGUGAUGCUCUUUAUAAUAGCACACAAUUUAUUUUUCUCGGAGAGUGCUCUUUAUCAUAGCACUUAUUGAUCCUUGGGGGGUGCUCUUCAUAAUAGCACACAAUUUAUUAUCCUUGGAGGGUGCUCUUUAUAAUAGCACUUAUUGAUCCUUGGGAGGUGCUCUUUUAAACAGCACACAAUUAAUUAUCCUUGGAGGGUGCUCUUUAUAAUAGCACUUGUUGAUCCUUGGGAGGUGCUCUUUAUUCUAGCACAUAAUUUAUUAUCCUUGGAGGGUGCUCUUUAUAAUAGCACUUGUUAAUCUUUGGGAGGUGCUCUUUAAAAUAGCACACAAUUUAUUAUCACCAUGGUAUACUUCAAGGAUUACAAAGAUCUUUUCAUUGUCUCCAAGAAUGAAGAUAUGAAGAAGAGGUUGUUUCUUCCCAUAGCGAAACUGUUGAUUCAGCCUCGUUGAAAAACAUAGUUGAAGAAUACUUUGGACAAGUUUGUAAAUUUAUUGACCUUGAACCAUCCUUCAAUAGUACGUUUGAUUUAUUCUUCGAUAUUUUAUCUUGGUAGCUUCAUCAUCAUAAAGAAUUGAGCCAUGCUUGAUGCAAGAGUUUUUUUUUUUUUUGUGGUGUGACUGAACUUGGCAAUGGAACCAAGCUGCCUACGUACCUCCUAAUACAAAGAAGGAUCAAGUCAUAACGUAGUUCAUUUUUUUUUUUGCCUUAACUUUUGCCUAAAUUGUCCUAUUAAGUAUUUUCAACUUAGCAAGCUUUUUUUUUUUUUGCCUUAACUUUUGCCUAAGUCGUCUUGUUAAGGAUUUUCGACUUAGCAGGCUUUUUUUCUUUUUCGCCUUAACUUUUGUCUAAGUCGUCCUGUUAAGGAUUUUCAACUUAUCAUGCUUUUUUUUUUUUUGAAGCAGUUUAAGCUCUUGCUAAGGAGCAUUUGACCUUCAAGCAUAAUAACGUUUCAAGAAUCUACCAUUGAUUGGGCCAACUCUUACUCCAUCUUGAUCAACAAUUUUGUAUGCGCCAUUAGUGUAGACUUCUUGAACAACGUAUGGUCCAUCCUAUUUUGAGAGAAAUUUAUUACUCAUACGAUGUGUAGUGUUUAUGGGUCUUCGCACUGCAAGAACUAAGUCUCCCACUUGGAACGAUCGUGGUUUAACUUUCUUGUUGAAAGCUUUAGACAAUCGAGCUUGAUAACAUUCUAAGCGUUGUUGUGCUUCCAACCUUUUCUCAUCCAAUGCUUCAAGUUCUUCAAGGCGUAGGCGAACAUUAUCUUCAUUUGAAAGACCUUCUUGAAUGGCAAUUCUCAAUGAUGGAAUUUGACGCUCUAAUGGGAGGACAACUUCCACACCAUAAACAAGCGAAUAUGGAGUUGCUUGAGUAGGUGUACGAAAUGUCGUACAAUAAGCCCAUAAAGCUUCCCCUAUUUUCUCUGGCCAAUCUUUCUUUGCCCGAUUAGCAACUUUCUUGAGACGAUUGCAAAAAGUCUUAUUAAAAGCUUCUGCUAACCCAUUUGCUGGUGCGUGGUACAUAGAAGAAUUAUAUUGAUUGAAGUUAAAUUGUGCACAUAACUUCUCCAUUAUGAAUUGUUUUCCAUUAUCUAUUAUGAUGCAUCGUGGCACGCCAUAACGAUAAAUGAUAUUUGUUCUAAUGAAGGUAGCAACAGUUUCUUUCUUUACUUCUCGAUAAGAGGCUGCUUCCGCCCACUUUGAAAAGUAUUCUGUGGCUGCGAGUAUGUAGAGAUGCCCUGUGGAACUCUUAGGUAAUGGUCCAACCAAGUCGAGUCCCCAAGCAUCAAAUGGCCAUGAUGUAACUGUUGGGUGGAGUGGCUCAGGGGGCUGAUGAAUGAAAUUGGCAUGAAAUUGACAUGCUUGACAUCUUUUAACAUAGUCCAUGCUAUCCUUCACCGUUGUUGGCCAAUAGUACCCCAUUCUUUUGAUUUGGAAGUGCAACUUGGCUCUAGAUUGAUGCGCCCCACAAAUUCCUGAGUGAGCUUUUUGUAAAGCCUUGUAUGCUUCUUCAUCUCCUAAAUAACGAAGAAAAACUCUGUCAAAGGAACGACAAUAUAGUGUAUCUUUGAAAUAAAUAAAUCGAGGAGCUCGACUUUUUAUCUCUGUUUUAUGUCUUGGAUCAUUAGGAAGCUUGCCAUGCUCUAGAUAGUCACUCAACGGUUGUCGCCAAUCUUCUUUUCCCACUUCAAGGACUGAGACGACAUUAGACUCUACGUCGACUUCUUCACUUAGAGUGAUUGGUGGUAUGAUCCAUCGCUUGCAAAGAUGCACUUUUAAUUCUGUAUUUGGUGAGGCAAUUGCUGACGCUAAAUUAGCCAAAUAAUCUGCUUGCCUAUUUUCUUUUCUAGGCACAUGUUCUAUGCUAGUUUUGUCAAACCACUUCAAAAGUUUUUUAACAUAGUUGACAUAUGGCAAGAGCUCAAGCUUUUUAACUAAAGUGUAAGGACUUGGUUUAUAACCAACUUAGAAUCUCCAAACACCUUAAGUUGAGUGAUUUGCAUAUCCACUGCCAUCUCCAAACCUAUGAUCAAGGCUUGGUAUUCUGCCACAUUAUUGGAACAAUUUUUGAUGAGAGUAAAUGCGUAAGGCAAUACUUCUCCUUCUGGGGUGAUAAAAAUGACUCCUGCACCUACCCCAUCUUGUCGAGCUGCUCCAUUAAAGUAUAGCUUCCAUGGCCUAGGGAUUUCAAUGCAAAGAACAUCUUCAUCUGGGAGAUCUUCAAAAAAUUUCCAAUCAUCUGGAAUUGGAUGGUUUGCAAGAAAAUCUGCAAGUGCUUGUCCCUUGACAGCUUUUUGAGGGAUGUAUGUGAUGUCGAACUCUUGUAACAAAAGAGCCCAUUUUGCCAAUCUCCCACUUAGCAUUGAUUUUGACAUAAGAUACUUGAGGGGAUUUGCUCGUGAAAUUAAGUGCACAGAAUGAGCUUGCAAAUAGUGCCUUAAUUUCUUUAUGGUAAAAAUUAAUGCCAAGCAUGUCUUCUCAAUGGGAGAAUAAUUUAAUUCUGCACCAUUAAGAGUUCUACUAAGGUAGUAAAGUGCAUUUUCCUUUCCUUCAUCAUUUUGUGGUGCCAAUAGUGCUCCUAAAGAGCGUUUUUGUGCCGCAACAUAGAGGAUUAAUGGACGUCCUGGUGUAGGAGCCCUUAAAAUUAGAGGCCUUAGUAGAUAAGACUCUAUGCUUUUAAAAGCAUUACUACAAGACUCAUCCCAAAUAAAAGGCGUAUCCUUUUUCAUCAAUCGACUGAAUGGUUGACAUCUACCAGCCAAGUUUGAUAUGAAGCGUCGAAUAUAAGCCAAUCUUCCUUGCAAACUUUUAAGUUCGUGGAGAUUGCUUGGCUCAGGCAUUUUCAUGAUUGCAUCUAUUUUUGAUUGAUCAAUUUCAAUCCCACGAUGGUGCACUAUGAAUCCUAAAAAUUUUCCCGAAGAUACUCCAAAAGCACACUUUAAAGGAUUCAUCCUCAAUUGAUAUCGACGCAAUCUCUCGAAUACUUGGCAAAGAUCUUCAAGAUGAUCAACCCUCUUUUUGGAUUUAACCACCAAAUCAUCCACAUAGCAUUCAACAUUCCUAUGUAGCACAUCAUCGAAAAUCUUUUGCAUUGCCCUUUUAUAAAUGGCGCCUGCAUUCUUUAACCCAAAAGGCAUAACUUUGUAACAGUAUAUUCCUUUAGGAAUUCGAAAUGCAGUGAGCUCUUCGUCCUUUGGAUCCAUGAGAAUUUAAUUAUAACCAGAUGAGUCAUCCAUAAAAGAUAAAGCCUGAUGGCUAGUUGUUGCAUCCACCAUUAUUUCUGUCAAAGGGAGAGGAAAAUCAUCCUUUGGGCAAGCAUAGUUCAAGUCUCGAAAAUUCACACAAACUCGAAUUUGGUCAUUCUCUUUCUAACUGGAACAGUAUUUAAGAUCCAAGUAGGGUACUUGACUUUUCGAAUAAAGCCAUCCUCAAUGAGUUUAUUGACCUCAACCUCUAUUUGGGGAAUCAAGUUAGGGUGAAGACAUCGUUGAGCUUGUUUAAUGGGUCGAACGCCUUUCUUUACUGCUAGGUGAUGCACAGCAACUUUAGGGUCCAACCCUGGCAUUUCUUUGUAAGUCCAUGCAAAGACGUCUCGAUACCUUGUCAAAAGGUCAAUAUAAGAUUUUUCUUCUUCAAAAGUUAAACUAGCACUUAUGAAGAUUGGACGAGGAUCUUCUGUAGUGCCUAUGUUAACUUCUUUUAAUUCAUCAAUUGUAGGUCGAUUUCCUUCCUUUAAUGACGGAGGAGCCUCUUGGAUAUCUUCUUCUUCAGAUUUUUCAUCACUUUUUACUAUAGACAUGUGAUUACAUGUGAAGAUCUCCAUUUCUUCUUGCUCUUCUUCUUCUAAAGAUGAGGCUUGUUUAGUCACAAUCAUAGUGCACCUUCUAGCCUUUAAUGUUUCAUCAUUUGUUACAAUCCAUUCACUUUUUCUUUUCAUUCAUGAAAGGAUGAUGCUAUGAAAAUCUUUUAAUUCAUAUGUCACGAGGCUCUUUUUAUUCCUCUUUUGUGAAGGUUUUCUUUUUACCCUCGAACUGAUGGGAUCUCUUAAAGUCUCUUUUGUAUAAUCUUUGUUGAUAUGAUUAAAUACUGAACCUCGAUUUGAGGGCAUGCUUAAUCGAUCAAAAACUGAAGUUCGAGUUGUGACUGUGCCCAAGCGAUCGAAAACUGAAAGUUUAGAUGACUCUACCGGGGUUUCUUCCUCAUCGUCAACUUCAGUCGUUAUAUAUCUUAAAGCUUCUUUAUGAAUCUUCAACUUUAAGGAUGUAAAUCCCAACCCUGAUUUUGUAACUUUGACAACAUUUGCCUUUUUUUGCCAAACUUUACGAUUCUUGGAAGGAUCUUGUGAAGUUUCUUUGGUUGGUUCACUAAGCUCAUGUACCAACUUAGAAACUUCUUCUUGUUUGUAGCCAGCCCUUAUUAGAAGCUUAUAAGCAUUAGGGUCGAAACCAUUAGCUCUUUGAGAAAGAAGAUCAUCGUGUUCAACCAAUGGCCAUUUUGUUGGCCUUACGAAUCCCUUCAAUGGAGACUUAGUGAAUUUUGACUCUUUUAAACUAGUAAGUGGCAAAGUCAAAUUUUUUAAGCCUUCAAUAAGGUCAUUAUUUUCCUUUGUAGAUGAAGAUGAUUUCUUUCCCUUUCCCUUUGAUGAUUGUCCUUCGUCAUUUCCCUGAUCGCCUUUGGAUUGUACUUCUUCGACAAAAGUACUUUCCAAGUAGAACUUAGCAUCAGCCAAAUGUGCCUCUGCUGUAGUAAAUGGCUUAACAUCUACUAUGACUGUCUUCACUUGAUCAUUUCUACAAUAUUUGAAGCAUUGAUGAAGCGUCGAUGAUACUAUACCAUUUUUAUGUAUCCAAGGUCGCCCUAACAACAUGUUAUAUGUUGUCUUAGCAUCAAUCACAUGAAAUAAUGGAUUAGAUUCCAUAUCAUCAAUGAAAAGUUGAAGUCUAACUUUUCCUAUAGAUCUUUGCCAUUCAAGAUUACAACCUCGGAUCAUCAAGUGACUCUUUGAUAAUUCAUCAAGAGGAAUCCCAAGCUCUUUCAUUGUUUUUAGUGGGAGUAAGUUGACAGUAGAUCCAUCAUCUAUUUGGAUUCGAUUGAUCUUCUGUUCACGACUAUAUCCCUGAACAAAAAGAGGCCGAUUAUGAGGGGUAGACCCCAACAAUAAGUCUUCGUCAAAAAAUGUAAUUGCUGCACCAUAAGAGGAAUUAGAAUUGAACUUAAAUUUUUCUUCACUCCCAACGUCUUCAUCGAUUUGGAAACAUGAUGUGGGAAUUGGAUUUUGAUUUUUGAAUUGCAUUGGCAUGAAAUCAUUCAAAGUGAUUGGUCGUCUAGGCCUUUGCACCAUCAAAUUUUCACACUUGCCCAUACUUAUUUUUCUUGGCAUUGCUUUUAGCAUCAUCUUCCUAGAUGGUUGUUUCACCAUUUUGGAUCUUUUUGGCACUUGCAUGUCCUUGGGAAGACUUUUCUUUUUUUUUCUCCGAUGAGUAACUAGGAUCCAUCCUUCAUUGUCUAGAUCCUCACUUGUAAAGCCACAAGCUUUGCCCCCAUUAUCUUGAGGAUUGGACAUUUUUUUUACAUUCGGAGUCAACAUUAUAUAGUCGAAGGACCCGAACUUUAUCUUGCUCCACACUUUAAGUGGAGAAAGCAUGCUUGCUGUUGAUGCUACAUUUGCUGUAGCCAUUUCUUCUUCAAACUCAAUUUUCCCAUCCUGGUAUAAACUUAUGAUUUUGUCUUUUAAGACAAAACAUUUUUCAAUGGGGUGACCAAUUAAACGAUGGUACUUGUAGUAGUUUGAGUCAUUUACUUGAUCAGCUUCUUCCGAUCGCUUCAUUUCUGGCAAUUGGAUGAGCUUAGCUUUCAGAAGUUCUUCCAACAUUCCUACGAUAUUUGAGUCAGGGAAAGGAUACUUUUUCUCUUGUCUUUCUUUCAAAGAUUCUUUCUUUUUAUCCUGUGAGGGACUAGGCUUUGUUUCUUGGGUUUUCUUUGAAUUGGCAUUCAUUUUGAUAGGCUUGGUAUUUACAGUCAUAGACUGUUUUCCUUCGCCCUUAUCUGCCAAAGCUUUGCCCCAUUUGCGGAGAUCUUGCUUACCUUUCCUUGGCUCUUGCACUGGAGGUCUUUGAUUUCCAGCGGCUAACAUGCUUAAUUCCAUGUCAUGAGCGCGAGUAGCUAAUUCCCCAAAAGUUUUAGGCUUAAUGCCUUGAAGAAUAUAGCGUAACCCCCAAUUCAUCCCUUGGAUGCACAUAUCAAGAGCUGAGGACUCAGACAAUCGCUCUUUGCAAUUAAGACUGAGAUUUCUCCACCUAUGGAUAUAAUCAAUCACAGGCUCAUCUUUCCAUUGGUGCGAACUUGUAAGUUCAAUCAUACUCACCACACGUCGAGUGCUAUAGAAGCGAUUAAGGAACUCACGUUCUAAUUGCUCCCAAUUAUCAAUCAUCCCAAGCUCUAAGUCUGUGUACCAAUCAAAAGCAUUGCCUUUUAAAGAGCGAACAAACUGCUUCACCAUAAGAUCACCAUAAGUGCCAGCGUUGUUACAAGUUUCUAUGAAGUGUGCAACAUGUUGACGAGGAUUUCCUUUACCAUCAAACUGUUGGAACUUUGGUGGCUGAUAGUUUGGUGGCAUCUUCAUGCGAUCAAUCCUUUGAGAAUAUGGCUUGGCAUAUGUGUAUGAAGGUUGAGUGACACUUUCCACUUGUUCCUUGAUGGCUUCUUUGAUGAGUUCCUUCAAUUGAUUGAUGACUGCUUCAUUAGAUUUUUGUUGGAGAUUAUUUUCCACUUCUGUAGUGGAAUUCUCCUCAUUAUCUUGGCGUUGAUUUUGACCAAGAUUCAUUGGUGCCUUUCCAGUAAGGCUACUAAAUUUUGCCAUCAUUGAGGUAAUUUGUUCAUCCUUUUCUCUGAUGCUUGUUGUUAGAGAUUCCACAGUCUUUGCAAGAAGCGCAACUUGUUCUUCUAGAGAUGACAACCAUCAUUCCAGAAUCGACUUUUGAUAAAGAGCUUUGGUGAGGGGAUGAUGAAACAGAGCUACUGCUUGAGUAGCCAUCAUAUUCCUUGAGUUGAUUGGUACUUAAUCCUUUAGAGGAAGCAAGUUGCAUGGUAAGGACUUCUUCGGAACUUGGAGAAGAAGCAUCAUACAAAGGAUUUUGGGUUAAGGACUGUGAGAGUUUGAUCAUACAAUUUAGUAAGAGCUUCUGUUUUUCUCCGAGUACCAUAUGGAUGUGUUGGAACAUCUGUGCUUGAUGAUGAGGUUGGAAAGACUAUAGGAUUCACUCUAGCAGGCUUGACAAUAGGUUUAUUGGCGAUACUCCUCUUACGAGCCAUUUCAACUUGGAGAUAUUUGGAGAUUUGCUUGAAGAAAGAAGAUGAGAGGCAGAGAUUGUCCCACUAGGUGUGCCAGAAAUUUGUACACACAAAUUUCUCGUCGAAAUUUCUUGACUUGAAAAUUAUGAGACAAAUACAAAUAUUUGAUGAAGUGAGUGAUGAUCUCUGGAAAUUACUCUGAUUAAUUUCUUCAAUUCAUCUUCAAGAGUCACAAACUUGGACUUAGUCUUGAUCACGAACGUGCUUGAUCUUCGCGUCAAGGGUCUUCACGACUUAAUCUUCAUACGGACGUACUUGAUCUUCGCGUCAAGGGUCUUCACGGCUUAGUCUUGAUCACGAAUUUGCUUGAUCUUCGUGUCAAGGGUAUUCACGACUUAGUCUUGAUCACGAACUUGCUUGAUCUUCGCAUCAAGGGUUUUCACGACUUAGUCUUGAUCACGAACGUGCUUCACUUAAUAUCUUGAUCACGAACUUCGCUUAAUAUCUUUAUCACGAACUUCGCUUAAUAUCUUGAUCACGAACUUCGUUGUUGCUUGAUCACGAACUUCAUUGUUGCUUGAUCUUUACUUCAGAAAUCUUCUAUUCUUCUUGAUCUCUAAAAUGCUCUCAAUCUUCGAAUGCUCCCAAUCUUCGAAUGCCUCUGAAUCUUCGAAUGCCCCUGAAUCUUUGAAUGCCUCUGAAUGAAUGAAAAUGGCUAGGGGGNCUUCGAAUGCCUCUGAAUCUUCGAAUGCCUCUGAAUCUUCAAAUGCCUCUAAAAUGAAUGAAAAUGGCUAGGGGGAGCCCUCUAUUUAUAAUGUUUGGUGGGAGACUUUAAUGAGAAUGUAAUCUCUUUGAAUUAUCUCUAAAAUUAUUUUAAUUAUUUAGAGAUAAAUCAUGAUGACUCAUAAAUAGUCUUUUGAUUGGUCGGACCUUGAGUCCUUGAAUUUUGAUUGGCCGAAGUUAGGUAUUAUCUCUAAAUUAUCUCAAUUUAUUAGAGAUAAAUUAAAUAAUCCAAUUUGAGUUUUAUCUCUAAAUUAAUAUAAUUAUUAUAGAUAAAUUAAAUGACCAAUAAUUAAAUUUUGAUUGGUCAAAAUAUAAAUAUUAUCUCUAAAUUAUUUUGAUUUAUUUAGAGAUAAAUUGAAUGACUAAUAACUAAAUUUUGAUUGGUCAAAAAUAUGAAUAUUAUCUCUAAAUUAUCUUGAUUUAUUUAGAGAUAAAUUGAAUGACCAAUAACUAAUUUUUUGAUUGGUCCAAUUUAAAUAUUAUUUUCAAAUUAUCUCAAGGGAUAAAUAUAUAUCAAUAAGAGAAUUGGUUCAACUAUAUGUCUUUAAAAUAAUCCAACCAAUAAAUUCAUUAUUUUAUAAUUAAUUACAUGGUUAUGACAUCAUUAAAUCCACAUGGCAGCACGUAAUUGGCUGAUAAUUUUUUUCUCCUUCUACAUAUUGUUGUAAAAAAAAAGUAAGUGAAUCGAAAGAGUUUACCUAUUCAAUUUUCAUCUUCUUUCCUAAGGACUCCUCUGGAAAUAAUUCCUUUGCAACUUGUACAUUUGUUGGUGAUGGUGGCAUUUCCAAUUGGUUGUCUUGGAUUGUCAGCAAUGAUGGUUGGGAACAUAUAGGUUGUUCAUUUGUACAUUUUGGAUGUUGCAGUUGAGGAGUCUGUCAGGUUGGCAAAGUCAAAGAUUUUGAAAAUUGUGAGUCCAGCUUCUAUUGCUUUUCCUGUAAGGCCAACUUUGAAUGUUUUUCUUGCAUUGAUGAGUGUUUUGACAGGAAGUGGAAGUACCAUUUUGUCUAUUGUUUUGAUUGCAACCAACUCACCAAUGGUAGCACCGAUUAGCUUUUCAGCUUGUUGACCAAAAGCAAGCAGUUGAAUUUUUCCAGUUAGAUCUUCAACUAUUAGUUCCAAAAUCAUUCUGCAGUGAAAGUUGAAAAUUUGCAUCAUUUGUACAAUUUAUAAAAAUAAAUUUUUUAGUAAUGCCAAUUGGAAGAAACUUUAAAGGUACUUACGUUAAAACUGGUGUUUUUUCAUCAUGGAUCGGGCACCAAAAUUUGCCAGCACAGAAUCGCAAACCUACUGCACAUUGAUUACAGGCGUUGUAGUACCAUCCGUUUGGUGCUUGAACAUCAAUGAUGUUUGCAGUGAGUUGGAACUUUGUAUUCUAUCAUUUUCAAAAACAAUAUUGUGUGCAUGUAAAAAACAGUAUGAUUUUUGUUUCAUUAAGGAUGUUAAACUACUGAUUUUUGUUUAUUUGUUAGAAAGAGGUAGAAGUAUAUUUUACCAAUGCCUUUUUUGGUUCAAUUGCCAGCAGAUCAGCUACAUGAAUGUCUGAGACUGUGGAUUGUUGUGUAGAGUGAAAUUGAGUGCAUGCUUCCAACAGUUGAAGGUCUGCUUGUAUGGGUUGUUUUUGGUAUCUAGUAAAUAAUGAUGCAUUGUUAGUUUUUUUGUUUUUUCUGUUAAUGUUAAUAUUUAUUGUUGAAUGUAAUAACAAAAGGGUGAUAACAUUACCUUUGUUUGAGUUCAUGGACCUCUGAAAUUUCAGGAUCAAUGUAUAUUCUUAUUGCUGAGCAAGAUGAUGCAUACAAUGAUCCUACAAAUUGGCAGCACUUAUUUGUUAGUAUAUUUUGUAUGUAUAAUAUGCAAUGCUGUUAGUAUAAUGCUAAUAUAAGAUAUACUCACGCAUGUAAGUUUUAAUCAUCAAUCCAGCAAAUGCAAGCACAACAUUUGUGUUUCUCUGUAGUAUUUCUUGUUCUUGAAUGGAUAAUGCUAUAUCUCCAUACAACACAACUUUUAAGCUCUCACAACUGUAUGAAAUUAUGAAAUAGUGCUAGUUAUUAGUUAUGAAAUUAUUGUAGUAUAAUUCUAAAAAUUUCAAAGUUAAUAUUAUUUUUCAUUUACCUUGCAUUUUGGAUGUAGAUGUCUCGUUUUUGAACAGGAACAUCUCUAUUGUUUAGUUGCACUUUUGUUACAGGUGUUAUUGUUGUGACAAUGCCAAUAACAUCUAAUGUUAUUUCAUGCAAAAACAAUUAAGAAAAAAUGAGAAAAGUUGUUGUAAAAUAAACUAUGAUUUUGUAGUGUAUUUUUAAGGUUACCUGUCAAGAUUUUUUUUUUUUAUAUCUUAUCAGGAAGAUCUUUGAAGUGAACAAAAUUGAAGUAGUAGUCUGGAUAUUGAGUGUUGUCUUCAACAAUUUCUUUUACUUCUGACAUUCUUGAUAGAACUAUCAUCAGGUCUUCAGGAAGAACAUUGAAGUUGUGCUUUGAUUUCAUAAUUCGAUACUUGUCAAUGAGAUAGACAGCACCUUCUUUCAACAUUGGUAUAAAUAGAGGUGCAUCAAAACCUCUAAUCAUCGCUUGCAUAACAUUUUUCUGUGAGUAGGAAUAAUGAUUAAGUUAAAAACUUGUUUUAUUGUUUGAUAUAUUGUUUUUUACAAUUAGGCAGAGAAAAUGGUGUUGUGAAAUUUACCUUGACAUCAGCAAUUAAAAAGUCAAGACUGAGUAGAUUUUUUGGAUUGUUUGGAGUUGUAGAUUUCCAAAUCCUAAGAAUCUUGACUUUGAUUGGUGUUGGUGGUUUGAACAGCUGUAAGUCAAUAAGAUAUUCAUUAUCCAUUUCUUCCUGCAAAAGCAGAAUGGAAAAAGGUAAUUAGUUUUCAAUUGAAACAGUAAUCAUAAUUGGUAAAAAUUAUAAUCAAUGGAGUUAGUAGUUAUGGACAUUAGGUUGUAAGAAUAUGAAAUAUAAAAAUUUAUUUUACACUUAAAAUGAAUAAUAAUAUUCAAGUAUAAUAAACAAAAAGAUAUUAAUUAAAUCAACAAUAUGUACAGGAAAUAGUGCAGAAAAUAAAAUACUAUAAAUAUCAAAUAUAAUCAAUUUGUAGUCAAUAAAGUAUAAUAUAGGAAAGAAAACAUAGAGAAUUGUCUUAAAGAAAGGAAGAAAUUGCAAUGACCUGGUUGUAAAUGGAUACAGUUUGCAACAGAUUAUGAGAUCCACAAAUGAAACAGCUAAUAAUGUAGUAAAAGUUGAGGUGCAAAAGAUAAGAGGAUCUAAUUAGAUAAAAGGUACUAAUGCUGAGGCUAAGGAAUGUUAGAAAGAAAGAGGUUGUAUGCAGUUAAGCAUGAUAGGGAUUUGUUGGAUUGUUAGUGUUUUUGUGUCUGUCAGCAACAAAAUGUUUUUCUUAUUGCUAAGUUCUUUUGUUGAAAGUGAAUUUGUUUUUUUGUGUCUUUUUAAUUGAAAUGCAGGGUUGUUUUGUUUUUGAGUGCUGUGUGGUCUCUUUGGGAAAAAGGAUGGAAAGCUGUAGGUUUUUUUGUUCCCUAUAGCUCUAUACAGGGGUUGACACCUAUACUACGAAUUGUCUGUAUGUAUUUGGUUGUAUAGUUUUAUGAUCAAUACAAAUUUUUUGAACUUCAAAAAAAUAUUUGAUAUUUGAAAAGUAAUAGAAUAAAAGAAAGGAAAAUAAUAAAAACAAAUUCUUAAACACUUCAAAUUGAAACAUCUUAUCAUGAAACUGAUAAAUAUCAAAAUUAUAUGGAACAAUCAAAACAAUAAAAUAGUAAAAAAAAACAGAGGUCUUCUUAUUAGUUAAAGAACAACCAAACCAUAACAGAAAAAUUGACUUAGACAAAAUAAAGUAUUCCUGUAGCUUAUAUAUUGUAAAACUUAUUGUUUUAUGCACAUAGAAGAUACAAAACAUAAGCUAACAUUAAACUAUUGAAAGAAAAAAAAGAAUCCCUAACAAUCAGUGAAGAAAAAAAAAGAAUAAUAAGAAAAAAGUACAGUCUUUGGAAACUAAUGGAAUACAAAAAAAUCAAAUAGCAGAACAUACACAAACGAAAACCAGUGAACAAUAUUAGACAAAGUAAAUGUUUGUAUUACAAAUAAACACAAUCUAACUAUAAUAACAAAACCAAAAAAAUACAUCAUUGAUAAUCAAUCAAAAACAAAAAACAAUAAUAAGAAAAAAAUAGAACCUUUCGAGAUGAGUGAAACAGAUAAAAACAAAGAACCAGAAUGUAGAUAAACCAAAAAGGCAAAGAGUAAUCUAGAAGCUAAACGUGUCUCUUAUAAACAAAAAGAAAUAAAUGUGUCUCUUACAAAGAAAAAAAAAGUAUAAUAUUUAUAAUACAAAAAGGCAAAGGAAUUGGAAAAACUGAUAAAUAGUGGGACAAACUCAAAUGACCGGUCAAUAACAGUGCCUGCAUUAACAUAAAAAUUAUACAGAAAAGUCAUGCCAACUGACAAUUGACAUGACGAAGGAAGAGAAUAUAAAUUUGUAUAUACUUUAUGGUUUUCUUGUUUCUAAUGAUCAAAACGACACAGUUUCAAAAACUAAUAAAACUCUAACAGCAAAACCCAACCUCUCACAGUAGUACCUAAAUCAAAAUCCACUAAAUAAGUUAACUAUUCAAUGUUCCUAAAAAUUUUCUGAUUUUAUCUAUCAGGAACAUAAGAAUAUGAUCAAUCGAUACUGAUAGAACCACAAUUUAUGAACACAUAUAACCACAACUUAUAUUAAACGAUGUGAACUAAAAAUAAAUGGGAUAUGUAAAUACCUUUAACAUAUAAUAAUGUUAAAUUCAAAAUGCCACCCCCUUCCCAAAAGGCAAAACUGUGGUGUAUAUCAUAAACCUUUGCCAUAUCUAUUUGAUAAAAAUCAAUCUCAAACUAUUUGCAUAAAAUUGACGAAAAUCUUUAUAAUAGUAAAAUAGAGAACAUGAUUACCACUUAGAUAUCAAUUAAAGGAACGCCACUACAGUAUGAAAAAACAAAGUUAGACAUGAAUAAUAAAUCGUAGCAAUCAAACUCAACGAAAUGUUAAAAAUCCUUUAAUUCAGACUAAAUACUGUUCAAUAGUUAAACAUAGCAUUUGUUUUUUCACAAAAAGACUGAAUAUUCAAAAAUAAAAUAGCAAAAAGAAUAAAGUGAGCUUCAAAAAGAGUGAAAUAUGCAAUAUUAAUAAAUUUAAUUUUUCCUAAACCCCUCCCUCAGUCCAACCAAAAUUAAGAAGAUAGUGAUAAAACGACAAUAAAUCCCAAUUGCAAUAACAAAUAGUGAAUCAUAUAAUACAAAAACAGAUGAUAUGCUUAGAGUGGUUAGGUCUUGUGACGAUCAUCAUCGGAUGAUUCGGCAAGACCUUGGACUUCUUCGAUCUGUAACUCCUUGCCAUCGAGCUCUAAAAUCUGUUGGAUCUAUCGCCUUUCUACUUCCUCUCUUAUUUCCUUGUUUUGAGCACUUUGCUGUUUUUUCUCUUUUUUCUCUUUUCAUUACCUUGUCCCUGCCACCGAAACCGUCGCCCACCCCACAACAAUUUUCCCUUGGGAAACUGAAGAACCGUUCAUUCCUUCUUCGCCCACUCUCUUCCCAAUCAACCAAAAACGAUUUAUUGCCCUACCUUUCCCCAUUAACCAACAAAAAACAAUCGAAUUCUUCUCUCCUUUGCCUCCGUUAAACCUUUCAACCACUGCAGUUCUUCAUCCCUUCCUUUUUCAACUUUUUUUGUUUUCUCUACUUCUUUCAAUAACUUCCGGCUGUCCCUAUCUUCUUGUUGUUCUUCUCCUUUCGUUGGAUACAAAUAAAACAAAAAAAAAUCUAAAAUGACUUGCUUCCUAUUGUUCUUCUUUUUUCCUUGCAGGUGAACAAAAGGGAAAAAGAACCAUAAAAUCACUCACCGUCCUCAGCUAAUAACAGGAAAAAACAAUCUAACCCCACCAAAGGAGCAAAACGACGUUGUUUUUAUCAAACAAAGGGGCAAAAGGCAAGAGUUGACAACCUGAAAACGACGUCGUUUGGAUGGAAGAAAAAAAAAUAGAACAUCCAAUUGAAUGACACUUGUCAUUCAAUUGGACAUACAAUUGAAUGAAAUUAAAACAGUGACUCCUGAUUCUCCUUUUAUAUAUAGUAUAGAUAUAUAUAUAUAUAUAUAUAUAUAUAUAAUCCACUCACCUGGAAGAUACAACUUCCAAAAAGUGGUGAAGCAGAGUGGAAACUGCUUUGAUGCAUGCUUCCUGAGUCAAUGCGCAUUUGACUGAAAGCAAUGAAACUUUUAAAGCGAGGUUUGGAUCGAUUGAUAAAAAAAUUAUCAAUAAAAAUAAUAUAUAAAAGAUAUAGUAUUUAAUUUUUACUGAAGGGUAGUCUUAUUAUUUUUUUAAUGUCAUUUAAGAAAAAAAAGAGGUGGUCAAGGUGUAGAAGGAGAAAAAUUAUCAACCAAUUACGUGUCGCCACAUGGAUUUAAUGAUGUCAUAAUCACAUAAUUAAUUAUAAAAUAAUUAAUUUAUUGGUUGGAUUAUUUUAAAGACAUAUAGUUGAACCAAUUGGUAUAUAUUUAUCCAUUGAGAUAAUUUAAAAAUAAUAUUUAAAUUGGACCAAUCAAAAAAUUAGUUAUUGGUCAUCUAAUUUAUCUCUAAAUAAAUUAAAAUAAUUUAGAGAUAAUAUUUAUACUUUUGACCAAUCAAAAAUUAGUUAUUGGUUAUCCAAUUUAUCUCUAAAUAAAUCAAAAUAAUUUAGAGAUAGUAUUCCUAUAUUUGACCAAUCAAAAUUUAAUUAUUGGUCAUUUAAUUUAUCUCUAAUAAUUAUAUUAAUUUAGAGAUAAAAUUGGAUUGUUUAAUUUAUCUCUAAAUAAAUUGAGAUAAUUUAAAAAUAAUACCUAACUUCGGCCAAUCAAAAUUCAAAGACUCAAGGUCCGGCCAAUCAAAAGACUUUUAAUGAGUCAUCAUAAUUUAUCUAUAAAUAAAUUAAAAUAAUUUAGAGAUAAUUUAAAGAGAUUACAUUCUCAUCAAAGUUUCCCACCAAACAUUAUAAAUAGGGGGCUCCUCCAAGCCAUUUGAUUCAUUUAGAGGCAUUUGAAGAUUCAGAAGCAUUCGAAGAUUGGGAGCAUUCGAAGAUUGAGAGCAUUUCAGAGAUCAACAAGAAUAGAAGAUUUCUGAAGUUAAGAUCAAGCAACAACGAAGUUCGUGAUCAAGAUAUCAAGCGAAGUUCGUGAUCAAGAUACUGUGUUCAUGAUCAAGAUUAAGUCAUCAAGACCCUUGAAGCGAAGAUCAAGUGUUCGUAAUCAAGAUUAAGUCGUCAAGACCCUUGAAGCAAAGAUCAAACAAAUUCGCAAUCAAGACUAAAUCCAAGUUCGUGACUCUUGAAGACGAAUUGAAGAAAUUAAUUAGAGGAAUUUACAGAGGUCAUCACUCACAUCAUCAAAUAUUUGUAUUUGUUUCAUAAUUUUCAAAUCAAGAAAUUUCGACGAGAAAUUUGUGUGUACACAAGGAUCUAAAUUUUUCUUUAAUUCAAUGAAGAAAGAAAAAAAAAAAGAAAUCUCACCCCCAAGAGCUGGUGAAGGAAUGCUGGAGCCUCCUUUAAUACUUCAUAAGCAGCCAAGGAGCCUUGAAUGAAAACAAUUAAAGAGACUCAUAAAUUUAUAGCACUGUAGAAAAGUUCUUUUAAAGGCUUGAAGCAAGGAAUGUCCUUGAAAUGAAAAGAAAAGAACCAAAUUAAAAGCAAGCAGUCAUAAAGAUGGAUUCUAGACCUUAGUUUUGUAUAACCAACAAGGACAAGUAACAAAUAGUGUCGUCUCAUGAAAUAUGAGUUUAAAGGAAUAUAUCAAGGCUUAUGGUGCAAAAAGUGCAUGUAAAAUAUUAUUAAUUACUCUUAUUUUGUUAAUUAGUGUUCUAAUUAAUUAAGAACAAUUACUAAAAUGUUAUUUUUUACAUUUUAAAACAAAAAAUUAUUUUUAUUUCAAAUGCAGUAAUUGAUAAAUAGAUAGAUUGAUGAUUUAGGAUACAUUGAAUGAAAAUAUUACUUUUAAAAAUAACCUUACAAGUAAUCUUUGCGGUGCAUAUCAUAUGCAUCCACGUGUAAUUCUAUUUUUCCUUGGAGCAUCUUUACGAGUGCAUAUGCAUCCACAUCUAAUGCUAUUCUUCCUUCACGCAAUUGUCUGUUAGAUUCUCAAGGGAGAAGACGAGCGUAUUUCAUCAACAAAUUCAAAGAAGAAACAAGCAGGAGUGGGAAAAUUUUAUUACUUGGGAAUUUCGUUAUUUUUUCAAAUUGUCAGAGGCCUUACAACUCUAAAAGUUACAAUUUCCAUACUAAUUAGCUUGGUCCAAGACUCUUGUCUUGGACUUAUGGUGGGCAAUGGUAAAUCAAGAUCCUUUUGGAAUGAAAAGUGGACUGAUGACACUGGAAAUGAAAGCCUAUUGACUUUGUUCACAAGUGAAUUAAUGGAAUUUUUAGAGAACGUUUGUAAGUCUCAAGUUUUCUAAAUUUUUUUAAGUGAAAAUAAUUAUGAGCUUUGUCAAAAGCUUUGGAGAGAAUCCUAAUAUUUAUUUUCACAACGAAAAUUAUCUCGAAAUAAUUAUUAUUUUUUUAAGUUAGAAGAAUCUCUCGGGGGUAAUAAAAAAUAUAUGAUUCGAUCAUCUAUUAUUUUUUUUGUCAAAAUAAGAUAAUUUUAUUAAUAUAUAAAAAUCGAUACAAUUACUAAUAUCCCAAUUAAAUAAUUAUAAUGAUAUAGAUAAAUAAAUGUGGUGUAGGAAAUCGUGAAAAAUUGGCAGAUUGCAUCAUGAUGCAUAUUUGAUUUCAUCAUACGAAAGCCAACCAAUGAUGGAUUUUUAAAGAAAUCAUAGGUGAAAACUUUCUUGAAAAUUUUGAGAUCAGAAAAUUUUCUAAAAUUUCAUCAAAUUAUUUUAAGUUUAGAUUUCUUUCCAAUAUCAGGGGUUUUCAUUUACCCAAGAGAUAAAAGUGUCAUUUGUUUAUUUCAAGAGAUAAUUUUAAGGCAAGAAAAUAAACUAGUUUCUUAAAAUUCUAGGAUAAUGACAAAAAGUCAAAAAAAUAAUAAUAAAGAAUAGAAUUGAGAAAAAUAAAACAAAAAUAGAAUAGGUUAAAAUCAAAGUCCUUUUCCACAAAAUAUUCAAUGAAUCCAAUAAUGGAGCUUCUUCAAGGAAAUAAGAAUAGGACAUAUUGAAUGAAAAUAUUACUUUUAAAAAUAACCUUACAAGUAAUCUUAGCAGAGCAUAUACGUCCGCAUAUGUAAUUCUAUUUUUCCUUUGAGCAUCUUUAGGAGUGCAUAUGCCGCCACAUCUAAUGCUAUUCUUCCUUCAAGCAAUUGUCUGUUAGAUUCUCAGGGCAUAGCAUGGAAAACAAGGAACCUAUGUCAUCAACAAAUUCAAAGACGAAACAAUUCAUUAAUGUACAAACAGGAGUGGGCAAAUUAAAAAUUAAAAUAAACACAUAUUCAUAAAGUAUAAGAUAAUCAAGAAAAUACCGACAUCCUAAUAAUUAUGAUAAGUGGAUUCUUGACACUGUGAGAAGGAAAGAAUGGCAGUGGAGCAUUGAACUACAGAGACAAUUGCUUUGGUCACAAGUAAAUCAAUGGAAUUUUCAGAAAACGUUGUAAAUAUCAAAUUUUUUUAGUGAAAAUAAUUAUGAGCCUUGCCAAAAGCUUUGGAGGGAAUCCUAAUAAUUAUUUUCAUAAAGAAAAUUAUCUCUAAAUGUAAUAUCUCGUGCCUUCGUUUAAUUAUCAAUAAGAUCGUGUCGAUAAAACGAAAGGUCACUUGCUGCAAAUUUAAGUGUCGAAAAAUAGUUACGGGUGAAACGAAUAUUUUAAAAUAAAAUAAUAUCAAAAUGUCAAUAUUUUAUUAAUCACAAAAAUUAGUCUGAAAGGAGAGUAUAAGACUAAUUUAAGUGAGCGAGAAGAGGUAAGGAAGAAUUGUGGAGAAAAAUGACGGUAAUUGUACCGCGUGAUUUUAUUAAAUCGAGUUAACGUGGGUAAGUAAAUAUUUAAAUAUUAUAUUGACACCGCGUUGAAGUGUAACUUUAAUAUUUUGAUUGUAUACAUGUGAAAGAAGAAAAAGAGAAGGAAAUUAGAAUUUUUAAACGUGUUGAAAGGAUUAAAUUUUAAAAUAUAAAAAUUAAAAAGUUAUGUAGUAAAUAAAAUGAAAUUGAAGAUUUAUAUAUAAAUUUUAAUAUUUAAAAAAUUAAAAUAAAUAAAUAAUAAUAAAAUAAAUAAUAAAAUAAUUGAGAAAUGAUGGAUGAGGAUAAAGAAAAGUCAAAUAAGAGGUAAAGUGAGAUAAAGUGGAGAAAUAGAAAGAAAAUAGUUGAUAAGUACAUUAACUUGUCCAAUUUAUCUUUAUAUGUGAAAAGUCAAUAUCAAAUAAAUUAUUAUCUUUUUCCUUCUCACCAUAAUCGACACUUUAAGAAACAAAGAGUCAAAACCAUUUUAAGGCAAGUGUGUUAAAAGGUGGGCCGGCCAAGUAAACAAAACUAUGAUAAAAGAAGUAGAUAGAAAAAGGGGUGGGGGAACAUUGACAAGAAACUUGUCAUGUGUCGACCCCAUCAUGAAGCAACAUUAGGCAAGCCUUUCUUUUGUCUCUUUCAUUUUAUCAUCAGCCAAUUGAGAAGAUAAAAAAAAGGGAGAAAGAGCCGAUUGUGAGUGAAAGAUGUGGGGGCCGGCCAGUGCAUAUAAUGAAAGAAGAAAUGAAACAAAUAAAAAAAAGGAUGAUGGGACAAGAGAUGUCCGGUUUUUCUCCCCCAAACGGCAGCACAUGAAAUUAAUAUUUAUUUGUCCUUUUUUCUUGCAUCAGCCGGCCAAUUAAAAAAAAAUAAAAAGAGAGAGGAAGAGAGUGGUCUGGAGAGUUGGGACCCGAGAGACAGAAGGAAAAUCUGCCAAGCCGGGAACAAAAGGAAAGAAAAAGAGAGAAGGGAGUUCGGCCAGACCAGGAGAGAAAAGAGAAGGAAGAAAGGACAGAAAAAGAGAGAUGGAAGUUCGGCCGCACCAAAGAAAGAAAAGAAAGAAAGAAAGGGAGGAAAAGAAAGAGAGAAAGCUGGACUUGUGGUGACCGGGUUUUGAUGAGAGAGAGACAGAGAGAGCUUGUGCUGUCCAUCGAUACUGGUUCAUGAGAAGGCCGGCUGGAACAAGGAGGAAGAUAAAGGGAAAGAGAAGAAAGGUGGAGACUUGGUCCACUCAGCCCAAAUGAGAAGUACGAAAGUAAAGAUAGUGUAUUGUUGCGGUACGUCGGAGCAAGUAACGAGCAAUCGGUAAAUAGAAAUAGUGAUGUAAUGUCUCAUUAUUGUAAGGUGCGCAGGAAAUGUUUAUUUUAAAAUUUUUGUAAUUAUAUAUAUAUAUAUACAUAAGUAUGAUUUAUUUUACAUGUAAAAAUUAUGAAAAAUAUGAAUUGAUAGAAUUUUAAGAAAUUUUGUGAUUGUUAUGAUUUUAAAAGUGUUUUGAGUAUAUAGAAUAAAUUAUACAUAAAGUGUUCUAAAUCAAAAAAUAAGCUCUUCAAGAUGAUUUAUAUCUAAAAAAUGUGUCUUAUUAUUUGUGUGGUGUGUAUUUAUAGAAUUUAUUACAUAUUUAUCAUGCUAUUUUAGUAUAAAAAUAUCAUGCAAAUAUUUACAAUGAAAAUCUUAUGAAAAGAGGGUUUUAGUAUGAUACGGUGAUCAAUAUUUUGAGAAUAAUUUAAAAUAAUUUUUUGAAAAUCAAAUUUGAAUUUUUAAAAUGUUUUUGUUUAAUCGAGAGAUUCGAUAGUAGAUCGGAUAUCACAUCGGUUAAGUGUGAUUCUCGUGCACGAAUGAGCUCUAGUUAGUGAACUUUCGGAUUGUCAACGGAUGAAUAGGCGUGGCGGGGGUCACAACCUGUGAUGUUUGUGUGCGUGACUAGGCCACCAGUGAUAAGUGGUUGCGACCAUUUGAUAUCUUCGAUGUUGGUCAACAUCGUUGAGACUGUCAUGGCAAUGUGGGUAUCUGGUAGAAGUGAUGCUCCCGGAUGUUAUUACGUGGUAGCGGGAUCACGAGUUUAUUUCUAUUCCCUACUUGAGAGUGGCAUCUUUGAGUUUUCAAACUCAUAUUUCUUUAUAUGGUGAAAACGAAAUUAAACGGUUUUUCCGCAACUUUCUUAUUUUUACGGUGAAAUGAAUUUUAACUUCUCGAAUACGAGGCGAUUUGUGAUUUACAUGUAAAUUUAAAUAACAUUCAAUUUUAUAGGAGCUUGUCCGAAUUUAUUAAUUUGAUUUGAGUAAAAUGUCAAUUGAUUUCGACGGUGAUAUUCUUUUAUGUACAAUUGUUUUAAAUCAAUAUUUCAAAUGAUUGUCUUGAAAAAGGUUAUUGAUUUGUUUUUGAGUGGAAACUUUUAUCUGCUUUGAUUGAUUUACCACUUGAAAUGAUUCCAAUGCAUAAGAAAUUCUCACUUUUUCAUACAAGGCACAAACUACCGUUCGAAAUAAAUAGUUUUUAUAAUCUUACAUUUUAAUAUUCAAAAUUAUCUGUUGUUUACUUGUUUCCCAUCUACGUCUUAUUCAUGGAACCGAUGAUUACUGAAUCUGUGACACUCACACCUCUCUUUUUCCCUUUUUGCAGAUAGGGAUCGGCAUAGCGUGUAAUCAUCGGCGCGUAUGGUUCACUGUGGAUAGGUAAAGGCAUCUCAUAGCAUUUUUUCUCGAGUCGUUUCGUUGUUAAAGGUCGAGUUGUAGUACUUUGGUAUUAUUAUGUAAAUAAAUAUUAGUUUUGAUAUAAAUUGUCAAACCCUGUUCUAUAAAAUAAUUAUGACGUCAUUUACAUGCUCAAUCGAAUAUUUGCAUAUUUAGGAAUUUCGAGAAAUCGUUAAAAGACGAUAUUGCUCCUAACAGUACUAUUAAGUCGAUUAAAUCUCGAAUUAGUUCAAAUAAGAGUUUUAAGCUAAAAUUAAGAGUUUCACGUUCUAGGGAUGACUCAAAAUGGUAAUUCAGAGUUCGAUGAUCAAUUUGGAGUCAAACCAAAAUUUUCACUAUCUAGGGGCAAAAUGGUCAUUUGUCACUUGGGGACAAAAUGAGAAUUUUAAGAAAAGAUUUUUUUUUGGCCCCAUUUAACUUAUUGGAGUAUGAUUUGAGUAUUAGAGUAUAAUUUGAGGGUUUGGCAGUGAAAAAGUUUAAUUCCGGUGAUUUUUAGAGUGUAGGGGCAAAAUCGUAAUUUUUUCACCGACAGACAAAAUUUGAGAUUUUGAGAGAAAUUAGAUCACAUUUGACAAAUUGGAGAAUAGUAUGAGUAUAAGGGAUGAAAAAUAUAUCAAUGGGUAAUUUUUCAAUUUUUGAAGUAAAUGUAAUUUUUGACUUUUGCGGGAGUAAAAGUGUAAAUUUUAAAAAUUACUCCACCAAGACUUUGGAUGAGUCUGAGAAUUUUAUCUAAGCUAUGGAUAUAUGGGACAAGUGUAUGGUGAAAAUUUGGAAACAAAUGGAUGGCUAGAAUUUAAGAAAUUAAUAAAACAAAAAAAAUGAAUAAAAUAAUAUUAUCUUAUUUUAGCCUUUAAAAAGGUCAAAAUUUUCAGAAUCUCAUCUUCUUCAAGCCGUCCAAACCAGGAGGGAAAAGGGGGAAAAGAAAUAAGAACCCUAGCUGAAAAUUUUGGGGAAAAUCAAGAGAAAUCAAGAAAUUAAGCAUUAAAAAGGUAAAUUUCAUUGAUUUUCCUUGUGAUAUUCACUACCCAUGCAUUUUUUUCUCAUUUUCAUGCAAAAUUAGAAAGUGGGUAUGGACACCCAUGCUGGCCAAACCUCCAUAGAUGAGUUUUGAGCUUGAGUUUUAGUUGAUUUUAAUUGAAUUAAGUAAUUUUAGUUAGGUUAUAUUGAAAUAUAACAAAAAUAAGUUAGAGAAAUAACUUUCUCCCAUUGAAACCCAUUAUGCCGAAUUUUUUAGGGGAAUAUUGGCUGCUGAUCUUGAUGUUUUAUUUGAGGAAUUAUGAUGAAUAAUGAUGAAUUAUGAGCCUAGAAAAAUAAUGAGAAUUUUCGGAGAAAAAAUAUGAAUUUUUACCCACUAGGGGUAUUUUCGUAAUUUGCUAUCGAGACUGAUAAUUUGCAUCACACUAAGGGACAUUAAGUCAAUUUGGGUGCAAUUGAGGUAUAGAAACUGAAAAAAAUUAAUUUGGAGUUUAAACAGACGCAUAUAUCGAUUUAUCGGGUAAAAGAUUGAAAUAGGCUAACAUCACGUUUAGGUAAAAUUUAGACAUUUUGCACUUCAUAUCAUGCAUUAGUAGCAUAAAAUUAGUUUAUUUUGGUUUAGUACCAAAGUAGUAAACCUCUUAAUUGUGCAAUUUGUCAAGGUGGCGAAUCCUCUUGUAAGGGCAAAGAAAUCGCACCCGAGAAGUAAUAGUUGGAGUACUCGAAUUUAGUUUUCGAAAACUGUGAGUAAACUUAUUAUCGUCUUAAUUAUCUAGAGUAGUUUUAUACAAUUGUGUGAUUUUAUGAAAAAUGGGUUUAAAUGGUAAAUUGCUAUGUUUUAGAAGAAAUUGUGAUUUUAUAAAAUGAUUUUAUAAAUUUUCUAAAAAAUCGAAUACUAUUUUUGAAAAUAGAGUAAUUGGAGACUGCCUACUUGUGUUGUAAAAUUAUGAUUUGAAUUAAAUGGCUUGUGAUAAAUUGGCAUGAUUGGCUGAAUUUAUACUUGUGUUGAAAAAUAUGAACUGUCUGUUUUGCCUUGAUAAAUUGGUUAGUAAUGUAAUUGCCAUACUAUGCCAUUGAGAUUUGAUCAAUUGGUGGAUUAUAGAUUAGCUAUUGCAGUGGUGGGGGGUUCCGUGGACCAGCCUAUUAGAGGGGCACGGUAAACUCCUUUAUAUUCUCACCUCGGUCGUAGAGGCGCGUAAGGUAUCUCCUGAGGUGGACUUUUUGAGUGUACUUUACGUUAACCACCACGUGAGAGUGAGACUCAGCCAACGCCAAGGAACGGUUGUGAUGUUCAACGAAAAAUGUGUUUUAUGCGAAAUAUGAAUUUUUAACAGCCUUGGUGGUCUCAGUGGGAUACCUUGACGAAGGUACCCGCGAGAAUGAUUUUGGCAGGAGUCAAGUUUUGUGAGAUAUAUAAGCCAUGUUGAUUAAUUAAGUAAACUGAAUAUUCAUGUUAUGAAAUAUAUAUUGGAAAAGAAUAUUUUAAUUCGUCUCCAUUUACUCGUCUUUAGAUAGUUUAGAUGGUGUCUGUUUACUCACUGAGAUUUUAUAAUCUCACCACCCUCAAUUCCCCACAUUUUAGUCUUGGGAUAGCCGGUAGAUAGCCGAUUGCAUCAAGGAAUUCAGUUAGCCUUGCAUCGACAAAAUUGUAGGUUCACAGACUCGCAUCUUAUUGGUUAAUUGGAGGCCCACGUGUCAUUGUAAAAGUAAUUUUAUACUUUAGUUAUUUGAUUGAAAGUAUGUAUGAACAUAUUUAGCUUUUACACCAUGUUUUUGGUGGGUUUUGGUGUUUUCGAAAAAAAAUAACGAAAAUGCCCCCAUGAGUUAGAAAAUAAUAUUUUAUUGUUUUGAUUUGAAAAAGACUUAUGAUUUCUUGAAAUGCGAGAUUUAAUAACUGUCGCUCACUGGGGAGAUGCAUAAGCUGAUACUAAGUCUUGCGGGGUUUCGAUCGGUAUUCGGGGUAAUAAGUGCCUAUCGAGACGUCGCGGAGGUUGUCACGGGCCCGAUGGAGAGUUCCGGGUCGUGACAUAAAUGAAAAUUUGAGAUUUUUUUUGAACUCAAUGUAUUUAAUCGUGAUGUUAUGACUUAAAGAUCAAAAUUGAAUUACUAUGCUUAUUGUUGAAUUUAUGUUAUAAAUAUAUAUGGUUUAAGUAUUAAUACGGUUUAGUAAAAGUGUACAAUGAGUUAUUGAGCAAUUUCAUUAAGGCUUGCUCGGGGACUUGAGGGGAUCUCUCAGAGGUCUCGGAUGUCGAUAGCGACCAAAGAAGGGUCAUUACACUAAAAACUUAUAAUAAUAUAGAUAAAUAAGAAUAAAUGUGAGAAACAAAUUUGUGAAUAAUUUGCAAAAUGCAUCAUGAUGCAUUUUUGUUUUAAGAUUAUAUAUAUAAAAUAAAUUAUUUUGUAACAUAAAUUUAGAAUUUGAUGGUAUAUUUCAUCAGUGGUUAGGUUGAAGAGUAAUUAAGACUGUAAUUGUGUCUAAAAAAAUUAAAAAAAAAAAGAGGGAGGAAGAUUGAUACGUAGCAACUACUUCAUAUAGAAACUUAAAACUAUAUAUGAGGGCUUUGGCAUAUCCCUUACAGGUUCAGCCACCCUCUAGGGUUAGGAUUAUAGCCCCAGCUCUUUCAUAUCCCUAUAUAUAUAUAAUAUAUAUAUACUAAUAUAAUAUAUAUAUAUAUAUUAAUAUAUAUAUAUAUUAAAACUAAAAAAGAAAACUCGAGUGCUUUAUUGAAUGAUUUUGAAUAUUUAGUUUUCUAUGGUUUGCAAAACAAAUAUUUAUCAUACAUUUUUGUCAAGGAAAGAAGAAUUAUGGUGUAUGAAAUGGUAAAUUAAAAUAAUUUUUUUAAAAAAAUAAAAUAAAAUUGUGCUCAAAUUACAAAAUCUAAAAUCAAAUACUUUAUUUUGAAUAUAAGAAUGUGCUGAAAUUACAAUGAAAUACACUGGUAAACUAAAAUAAGCUUCAGGACUCUGAUUCGGUAGAGUGGGUUGCUUGCCCAUCUGGAGGAAAGUCAAGAGGACUAGAAGUUUUAUGCGACCCGAAUUUUUUGUGACAAUUCUGUCGUGGUUGGCGAAGCUGUCUUAACACACGCGUAGUAUGGACAGCAUUGUAAGGCAUUUCUUUUUUUUGAAAAAUGAUGUUAUGAGCCUCAAACACCAAUAUGUCAUUCCAAAUCUCUUGCUUGUUGUAAUAGAUUUUCCAUGGCAUAUUAAUAUGGUUCGGGUAUUGAAAAGUUGUACAUUUAUAUGAUCCAUAACACCUCAGCACUGUAAAGCGUUAAUUGUAUUGUUGCAGGAGACGUAAAUACCUGAUGCAAGUGAUAGAGUUUUGGUGCUCUUAUAUGUUGCUUUGAGUGGUGGUUGGUGGUUGGUGAUUGCUCUUAUAUUGUGAUUGCCAAUUUCCUUGUACGGGGAUUCUCACAGGUCUUAUUUAGAUAUUAGGAGGUAAUUGCUUUAUGGUUGAUUUUGUUCAUAAGCUUAUAUUGGCGGAAGGUGUUUUAGGGGGUUUUUGUUUUGCUUUGAUUUUAUCUAUGAGGCUGUGUGUGCGAUGGGAUUGUACUUGGGCAGGUGGCGAAAUGGUGUAGUUGUUGCAUUUUUUUAGUGGGGAUCUGGGUGAGACAAUGGGGCGAUAUAGUGACUGAGUUUAUUUGGUUUUGUUGAGGUGAGGUUUCUUCCAAAAGUUACGGCUGUGUCGUGGUUCUCCUUAUAUGAUUACAGUGGUGUUGUGAGUUUUUUGCAAGGGAUAUAAUUUGAUAGAUUUUCUUGGCGGCAGGGGAGCAUAUCUGAUUCUACGUUGUCUUUAGGAUACGUUCACUCGGCAGGAUUUGGAUGUUUACUGACUAGGUUGGAUUCUUGGUGUUGUUUUUGAUGGCUAGGGCUAUGGAAAUUGCUGUUAUAAGGACUAUGGUGUUCGUAUCAGGUGUUUUCCUCCUUGUCUUGAACAGUUCCUCUCAUAUGAACUGUCUCUUUUCAUUACUUGGCUUUAUGCAAAGUUGACAAAUAAUCUGACUUGAGUAAACAAUAAAUAAAUAUUAAAACUAAAAAUCAAAAACUCAAAUUUUUUUAUUGAAUAAUUUUGAAAAUAUAAACCAUUGAAUAUCUAAUAGAAAUGUGCUUAAAUUACAAGAUCCAAAAUGAAAUACUUGACCUAAAUAUAUGAAUGUGCUUAUGCCAAUUGACGGUUUGUAGGGAGUUGGCCAUCGCAUAAUUUCCUAUCUUGGUAUUGGCCACUGAUGCCAAAAUGUGCCAUAAGAAGGCAAACGUGAGUGAGCAGUUCUCCGCCUUUGGCGAGUUGUCGACCAUGCUCUUUCCAUCCACAAUGACCUGCGGCAUAUGUCAAUAGUUCCACCCACACUUUAUUCAUCAUCUCCCACUUUUCUUCCCUCCACCAGUUUCUCUUGCUCAGAUUUUGCAAUUUUUCCGCAAGAUGGUAACCAUUCCGAAUAAUACUAUAUUGCUGAGAUCGAAGUAGUUCCAAUUUUUGACACCCUUCAAGCAACUCUUGGUAGGCUUCUUCUAUUUGUAUGCCUUUCCUUCCUUUAAAAAAAUCGAAGACGUCCUCACAGGCCAUUCUGUAUCUUAUUUCACCAAUCCCUUUGGGCAACAUAUUUGAACAAAAGACCAAAAGAUAAAGCAUGUACUCCGAUAGGCAUCUGCUGAUUUUACUGCAGUUGAGACUAUCGAGAUCAGUUGUCUUAAUAUAAUCGUGGUAACAGAGCUGGGUAGCAAAGUGCCAAAGAAGAAUGCUUUCGUCAAAUUCUACAUCAAUGGUGCUCCAUUUAAGCUCAUCGAGGAGCUUCAUUUCAUUAAGUACACAUUCACCUCUGUAAUUCAAUAGUUUGAUGCAUGAUAUGCGACCAGAGUAAAUUUCAAGCUCUUCAGUUCUCCUAUGUAGAUGAUGGAAGAUAAGGCGUUUUAGAUCGUCAUCUAUCCCUUGCUGCCAUUCCACAUUCUGAUGCUUCUCUAACAUUUCAUAGAUGCCAAGUAACUGUUGAACUUUAAUCCACAUGGUUGCCUCCUUUGGAAGGCAAAAGCUCACAAGGUUGUACUUGGCUAUGCUUCUCGACCACCUCUUAUAUUUUGUCACUUGUUCUAAAGAACAUUUUUUUCGCGCAACCAGAUAAAGCUUUAGCCAGUCAGAGGAAGCAAGCAUGAGUAGCGCAUAAACCUCCAAAACAACGGCUCCAACUAGCAAUAAGUAAGUUAUGGAAAUGUCGACCGGUGAGUAUUCAUGCUCAUCGAUGAUGAUUGAGAAGGUAACCAAUGCAGAAACAGAGGCCAAACAAGUAAUGCAGCGGAAAAAGAUCCCAAUACAUGAGUAGACUAGUCUUGCUUUGGUGUACAGCAAAUCAUACAAAAGUCCCAGCUCAUAUUCUACCAUUUUGAAGGCCACUCUUGGUUCAAGUCCUCGAAUUAAUUUGUUGCAACGGUAUCCCUGAUGAUGAUCAAAGAUAAGGUCUGCAAAUAAACUUUGUAGCUUCUCAAAAAAGAUAGCAACUAGAAGUGGGAACGAGUCAGGUCCACAAUUUUCUGCCGGAAAGUGUAAACCAAACACAUAGUGUAAUGAGGAAGUUCUAAAAUGCUUCGUGCUGGAGGACAUGAGCACGUAAGUCCUUUCCCCAUACUUGAUAAUUCCUGCAAUGAACACUGGAAUGGCUAUACACGAGAUGGUGGUGUCACCGUCAACCCAAGACCUCAAUAACACAUAAAUUGCAACUCCAAUCUCAAAAACAAGGCCAACAAGAUGCCUUAGCCACAACUCAUUGUCUUCUAAGGAGUAGGCAGUAAUAGUGUCUGAGCCACCGAGGUGCAAGAGAAGGAAUGGAGCCCAAAAUGACUGCAGUGAGUGGUUUUGAUUUGGAGCAUUACUUCCCAGGGACCUGGCAAGAAUGCCCAAUGCAACAGUUGCCACCCAAUCUGCUGACAAGUAUGCAGACCAAACAAGGAAGUUGAUCCAUGUACUUGUCGUACUCUUUCUUUUGGAACCAAAGGCAACGAGUAUUACCUGUAAUGAGAGGCUGAGCAAAACCAACACUCGUAUCUCCCAACCAUUCCAAAGUUUAAUCACUGUUUCAACGAGCGCCAUUGCUGGUCUCUUACUUUGCCUAAAACAUAAAAUAGUGUUUGCGUCUAUAACUAUAUUUAUUUUGUGAAAUCCCAAAAAGUGAACAUAGGAAGAUGGACAAAGAAAAAAUGAAGAUGAGAGCAUUAACUUUCAAAAUUUCUUUAUUAUUCUAAUUCCAUGAUGUAUUUUUUGUUAUCAAUUUCCUAAUUGAAGAGUUUGUUAAUAUAAGAAUGGUGUAUAUUAAUUAAUAUAAUAGGAUGACAAUAUUAUAUUUUAGAAAAAUAAACAACCAAUGAGAUAUAUAAAUAUAAUAAUUUUAUUAAUUUUUGACAGAUAAUUUUCAUUAGUAAGAUGUUUAGCAAUUAAAAGUUAAUUAAUUUUAAAUAAUAAUAUAGUAAAAAUUGACUAAUUAUAAAGGACAUCUAAUUCCAUAAUCGCAUGUAUAUUAUUAUUUAUUAUAUAUUUACUAUUAUUAAUAUCAUUUAAAUAAAAAAGUUUGCAAUGAAGCGUAUUACUGAUUAAUGGUUAUAUUAGCAAUAUGCUAAAAUUAAAGAAAUUGCAUUUAACUUAUUGACUCUUUUUACAAAAUUUUAUGUUUUGGUUAAUUCUAUAAACCUUAUAAUUUUAUAUGUUACUUCUAAUUAUAUAUGAAAAAUCUCUUCCUAUACACUUGCAAUCACCAUGUAUUUUUAGUUGGAUAUAAAAUUUAUCGAAACUCACUAUUUAUGUUAAUCUUAUAAUUAUUUAAAGUCUCAAAUCAUUUAAUAUAAUACAAAUUCUAGUUUGUGAUAUAGUUAAAUUUAAAUUUUAUGAAGAAUAAUUUUUUUUAUGGAAAGGGGAUUCAAAUCCAUACUUUUAAAUAGAGAGAUCAUGCACUAACUAAUAAGCCAAAUACUCAAGUGCUUAUAAAAAAUAAUUUACUUUAAUUAAAAGUUCAAGGUUAAUAAGAAAAAAGACAGAUAAAAAUUAGACAGUUUAUGCAUCAAUUGUAACAUAUAAAGAAUUCCACUAGAAAAAGUUAACAUAUAAAGAAUUAAUUGAGAGUUAUGUAUGUACACAAUUAUUUACACAAUUUUUAUUUAAAUAUUAAAAGAAUAAGGAGAUUUGAACUCAAACUUUUUUAAAGAAAAAACAUACACUUACUUUUAAGCUAAAUACUCAAAUUCAUUAUUAUAAAGUAAAAUUUUAAAGUACUAAUAUGAUCAAAUCAAAUUGAUUGUGGCUCUAACAUGAUAUUACUUUUGAGUCUUAAUCAAUAAAUCCACUCUCCUGAAAAAUACAACCCCCAAGAAGUGGUGAAGCAGAGUGGAAACUGGCUUGAUGCUUCCUGAACCAAUGCGCCUUUGACUAAAAGGAAUGAAACUUUUAAGUACUAAUAUGAUCAAAUCAAAUAAGUAGGUAAAAAUAUUCCAAUUCCCUAAUCAAAUGCCUUUAAAAAAAAAAUCAAAUAAGCAGGCACACAAUCUAACAUCAUAUUACUCAUGAAGUCCUGAUCAAUUGAUAAUAUUUAUACAUUUCCUAUGAUCAAUAUAACAUCAUUUUCUCCUCGAUCCUCCUUUUGUAGUAGAUCCUGUGUUGCUGCGCAUUAACUGUUUUUUAUAUUUUUCAGUGUUGGGGUGUUGCGGACUUCAUCUGUGCUUAAUCUCAGCUUAUAUUCUGCAUUGGUUUAUAAAGUGUUGCAAGUGAUGAAAUAGUUCUAUCGGUUGGGAUAUUGUUUUAUUUUUGUUUUCUUAGUUUGACUGGUUCAGUUACAGACCUUUUUUCUUAUAAUUGAAAGAAGGAAGAUUUGAACUCUAUUCUCUAUACAUCAAUCAAUGAGUCAAAUAUUUAGGUGUAAAUUCAGUUAUAAACUUGUUUAUAUAUUAAUUUUUUUUUUAAAUGUGAUUUAUUGAAUUGCUUCUAACCCAACACGUCAUAGGUAGUCUUUAGCUAAUUGUCUUAAGACUCCCAAUAACAUAAAAGGUUUGGCUUGAGUGUAAACCUGUACAAUUGCCAACAUUCAACCACACAAAAAGAAAUUGGUGCCUCUUACUAGAAAACUACCUUGCUACUUAAUAAAAUUGAAUUUUGAUUGAGCAAACAAAAAUUAAUAAAAAAACUAUAAAAUAUAUAGUAUUUAGUUAAACUUCAGUCAAAGGGUAAUAUUAUCAUUUUAUAAAAUCAUUAAAAAAAAAGAGGUGGUCAGACAACAAAUGAUACAAUUUCAUUUUUAUAUAAUCAUAUUCAAGGAUAUAAACCUUUUUUUAGUUUUAUGAAGAAAAAAAAAAAAGAAAACUCACCCCCAAGAGCUGGUGAAGGAUUGCUGGAGCCUCCUUUGAAGCUUUCUAAUCAGCCAAUGUGCCUUGAAUUAAAACAAUGAAAGAGACUCAUAAAUUUAUAGCAGUGAAGAAAAAUUCUUUUAAAGGCAUGAAGCAAGGAAUGAUAAGAGAAGAACAAAUUUUGGACGUUUGCUUUGGCAUUAAGUUAUCCAAGUAUCAAGGAAAAGUAAUACAGCAUGUCUCAUGAAAUAAGAGUUCAAAGGAAUACAUCAAGGCUUAUGCUUCAGAAAAUGCAUCUAAAAUAUUAUUAAUUACUCAGAUUUUGUUAAUUAGUGCUCUAAUUAAUUAAGAACAAUUAAUAAAAUGUUAUUUUUUACAUAUUAUAACAAAAUUUAUUAUUUUAAAAUAUUUUAUUUCAAAUGCACUCAUUGAUAAAUAAAAAGAUUGAUGAUUGAAAUACACUUAAUGAAAAUAUUACUUUUGAAAAUAACCUUACAAGCGUAUUUGCAAGAAAUCUUAGGAGUGAAUAUGCCUCCACAUCUAAUUCUAAUUUUCCUUCAAGCAAUUGUUUAUUAGAUUCUCAGGACAGAGCAUGGAAAACGACGACCCCUUUUUUAAUUAUAUAAAGUAAAAAAGAAUUUUAUUUAACGACGAACCUAAUUCUAUUGUUCGUUCGUGUCUUUGUUUGUCUACAACUUACAUGAGAGUCUAAUUAUUUUUCCAAACUGUGAAAGGCCUUACAACUCUAAAAGGUACAACUUCAAUAGUAAUUAAAUUGGUCUAAGACUCCUUCAUAUAAAAUCCAUAUUCCUUCGUAUAAAUAUAUAUCUCAAAUAAAUUUUCAAAUGAUUAGUGGAUUGGUGUUGGUAGAUUGCUCAAGCAAGCCUCUAUUUGAUCAUUUAUUUAUUGUAAAAUGUAAGUUUCUUUAUGUAAAUGAAAAAAAUAUGUAUAAAUGAUAAUUCAUCAAUAUUUUAGUGUAUUUUCUAAUUUUUUUAUAUAAUUAUAUGAAUUAUUAUAAAAACACAUUUCAAGUUUUGCGAUACCAUUUAAAGUAGAUUCCAUGAGUUAGGUGGUUCAACUUGCGAGUUUGGCUUGAAUUGGACCCUUGAUAUUAUUAAUUUAUGAAAUAACAAUCUUUGGGCCAUACCCUAUACAACAAUAAGAGACACUUUUGAUAUUCUUGAAAGGAAAACCGAAAGGCCCCUAGCUAACACUAGCCAAUUGGCCCUAUGGUGUCUGUGGAUUACCGUUGGAGAUUGAGCACUUAAAAAACUUGCCUUGAUGUUUGAAGGCUUCCAUUCAUAGGAUUUUGAGCUUUGAGAUUUUGACAAUUAGGAUUUGAAGGUAUAACAAUAUUUUUACUACUAAUUAAUUACAUUUUCUAUGUUAAACAAACCAAAUAUUUGAUUUUACUAUUGAAAAGGAUUUUAAAUUCCACUGCAAUAGGCUCUUGUUGAUUGCAUGAUUUCCCAACAAUCAUCACUAGACAACCUUUUAAUAUCAGGAGCAACAAUGGAAAGAUGACUAACCAAGGGGCCUUUUCUCAUUUUCCCAACACCCUUAACCACAUCAGCAUACGUUUUGCGCUGAUGAUAGGCCUCAAACCUAGAGCCAUUUUGAAAACAAUCAGAAGACCUAAAAUUCUCAGUCAGUGCAGUCUUAUGAAAUUCGAGGAGAGAGUAUAAGUAGUUAUUCACCACAUGUUGAGCAUUUUAAAGAAAGUCACAAGACUUUUGACGCAGAAAUCUAAUGCUUUCUUAUGGAAAGGCAAAGAUACAAAAGCUACAAGAACUAAAGUUAAUUAGCUGGGACUAAGGUUUCCAUCCAAAGAAUGAAGGGCGUUUAGCGUUUAGGCAUCGAGAAGAUCUCUCCUUGGAAUAAAGCCUGUAUGAUGGAAAACCGUUUGGGCUAUUCUUAUUCAAUCAGGGUCAUAACGUGUUGCUUGCAUCAAAUCUUAUAUAUGCACUAACAGGCAGAAGUCUGUGAUCUAUUCCUCUGUCUAGUGAUUGCUCAUGGGGGUGGAAGAAAAUCUUGAAACUAAGAAACUAUAUCAAACCCUAUGUGCAAAACAUAAUAGAUUAUGGAAAACCCACAGAUUUUUGGUUUGAUUGCUGCCAACCUAAAGGGCCUUUGUUGCUUAUGCACUAUAAUUUCAUGAUCUCUUCCUUUUCAAGUAAAAAUGGUAACUGCACUUGAGUAUUUAACUCAUUGAUUGAUACAUGAUCCAUUGUCUAAAAAAUAAUAUUCGAAUCCUCUUCUCCAAUUAAAAAAAAAUAAAAGGGACAACUGUAGUUAAUGUUGCACUCUUCCCUUUCAAGCAGAAAGGAACAAUUGUCAUUAAUGCUGCAAGUUUGGUUUGGCCUUUGGCUAGAUCAGAUGAUUUAGUAGAGACUCAAUGCUCCUCAUAUGAUGUUAUUAUUCUUAAUCCGAGACGGAAAGAUGAAGCCAUCUGGACUUAGUCUAGCAAUGGAAUGGGAAGUUUACAAUCUCUAGUACUUUGAAUAUCGUUAGACAUAGAAAACCAUCUUCUCUUGAGCCUUAUAGAGAAGAAACACUGCUUACCUGUUACUUGAAGAAGAAUACAAUCGUUCGAGAGAUUUUAAUAAUUUAGAUAGAUGACAUGAUUUUGAGGUCGAGACAGGAAAGGGGCAUGAGAUCAGGGUAGGGGAUUUGCAUUCAUAGCUCUAUCUUUAUACAUGUACAAAUUAAAUUCAAAUUAUACUUAAAUGACUCUUAAUUAUCAAAUCAAUAUAUAAUUAAUGACAUUCAAUAAAAGAAACAAAUUAGCAAAUCAACGUAUUAGUAUAUAGUUAAAAAUUAGUCAAAAUACCCACCAAGUUCUGUACCCAUGCAUUUUAUUCAUUUAGUCUCUGUACUCAAAAUCGAAACAAUUUAAUUCCUUGAUUUUAGCAAUUGAUAUAAUUUAGUCCCUCUCACUAACGGUAUUGAAUUUUACUGUUAAAAAGAUGAUGUCAGCACUGACAUCAACAUUGAUGUGACAUAUUUUGCUGGUGUGGCAUCGACUUGAUGACAUGGCAGCGCCAUGUGGCCCUAAUAUGUUGUCGUGUCAGUGCCACAUGGUAGAUAAAAAAAUUUUUAUGCUACGUUAUAGAGAUUAAAUUGAAUAAAAAUAUAUACUAUAUGGACUAAAUUGAACAAAAUUGAGAUUUUGAGGAACUAAAUUGAAAAAAAUAUUUAAAAAUUAUAAAUCUUUAAGUAGAUGAUAGAUAUACUUAUUAAUAAGUUAAAUAUUUAAGUACAAAAGAUUUAUGGUGUUAUAAAUAUAUAUAAAUAUUUUCUUACUUGAUUAUUUGAUUGUAAAAUAUGUAUAUUAAUUUAUCUUCUUUACAAAAAUUAAGUUUGAAUUCUCCUUCUAUAAAAAAAAUUUCAAAAAAAUUUUCAUACAUAAAGUCAAAUUUAGAUGAAUAACUUGCAUUAUGUUGAAAUAAAAUAAUAUAAAAAACUAAAUAAUUUUUUCUUUUAUUAUAAUAGCACAAAAAUUUGAAAUUUAUUUGACUUAACUUUUAACUUGAGUUGAAAUUAAAUUAGCAUAGUGAGUUGACUUAGUUUUUUGUUUGAAAAAAAUGAAAAAGGGAGAUAUAGAGUUAGCGAUGAUUAUAAAAAUAAUUCUUCAUUCUGACUUACUUAAUUUGGACAUGACAAACCUCUUAUUAUAAUCAUAAAAUCCGAGUUACUUCACCUCUUCAAUUUUUUAUAUAUUUUUUAUGUUUUUGUUUUAUCUAAUAUGUCAGGUUAUAUUCUUUAGGUUGAAAUUUCUUAGAUUAAAGACUGUAUUUAUGGUUGAUAGAGUUAAAUAUAAUUGUAAAUAUUUAUACAAUUUUAUAUUGUAUUUACAAAUUUUUUGUAGAUCUAAAGUUCACGAAUUAAAUUGUUACAACCGUAUCCCUGACGUUGAUCAAGGAUAAGGCCUGCAAAUAAAAAUUUUAGCCUCUUGAACAAGCUAUCAACUCGAAGUAGGAAGGGGUCAACAAAUAGGGCAGCUCCAAAUAUAUCUGCGUCGUUGUAUAGGUAUAAACGUAACAAAUUGUGUAAUGAGGAAGUUCUAAACUGCUUCGCGCUUGAGGUCAUGAGCACGUAAGUCCUUUCCCCAUACUUGAUAAGUCCUGCAAUGAACACUGGAAUUGCUAUACACGAGAAGGUGGUGUCACGGUCAACCCAAGACCUCAAUAACGCAUAAAUUGCAACUCCAACAUUGAAAAGCGCAUUAAUAUGAUUCUAGCAUUGAAAAGCUGUACAUUAAUAUGAUCCUCAACACCUUAGCAUUGUAAGUUGUUAGUUGUAUUGUUGCAGGAAAUACCUGACGCAAAUGAUAGAAUUAAUCAUGUGUGUUUCUUUGCGUGGUGGUUGGUGGUUGCUUUUGAAAUUGUGUUUGGCAGUAUUCUCGUACAGGGAUUCUCACCGGUCUUAUUUAGAUAUUAAGAGGUGAUUGCUUUAUGGUUGAUUUUGGUCGUAAGCUUGUAUUGGCGGGAGGUGUUUUGGGCGGGUUUUGUUUUGCUUUGAAUUCAUCUAUGAGGCUGUGUGUGUAAUGGGAUUGUACUUGGGCAGGUGGCGAAACAGGGGGUUUGUUGCAUUUUUUUAGUGGGGAUCUGGGUGGGACAAUGGGGCAAUAUAGUGACUGAUUUGGUUUUGUUGGGGUGAGGUUUCUUCCAAAAGUUACGGCUGUCUCGUGGUUCUCGUUAUAUGAUUACAGUGGUGUUGUGAGUUUUUUGCAAGGGAUAUAAUUUGGAAGAGUUUUCUUGGCAGCAGGGGCGCAAAUCUGAUUCCACGUUGUCUUUAGGAUACGUUCACUCGGCAGGAUUUGGAUGUUUACUGCCUAGGUUGGAUUCUUAGUGUUGUUUUUGAUGGCUAGGGCUAUGGAAAUUGCUGUUAUAGGACUAUGGUGUUUGUAUCAAGUGCUUUGCUCCUUGCCUUGAGCAAUUCCUCUCAUAUGAACUGUCUCUUUUCAUGACUUGGCUUUAUGCAAAGUUUUAUGUAUCACAGUGAUGUUUAUAAAAUAAUCUUUGACUGAGUAAACAAUAAAUAAACGGUAAAACUAAAUAUCAAAACUCAAGUGUUUUAUUGAAUAAUUUUGACAAUAUAAAUCAUUGAAUAUCUAAUAGAAAUGUGCUCAAAUUAUAAGAUCUAAAAUGAAAUACUUCACUUUAAAUAUAUGAAUGCGCUGAAAUUACAAUGAUAUAUUAAAAACAAAAUCCUUAAGAUGGUAUAAAAUGAUUAUUUUAUGUCAACAACUAUUUCUUCGAGUUCAAAAUUUGACACAUAAGUAUACAUGUUAAAAAAUGCCAUUAACAGAUAAUUAAGCUUCAAUUUUUGAAUGAUCCUAUGGUUGACGAUGAUGACUGAUCUUAAUUCUUUCCCACCAUGUCAAUAACUUCUUCUUAGGGAGUUGGCGAAGGGAUAAUUGCCCAUCUCGGUAUUGGCCACUGAUGCCAAAAUGUGCCAUAAGAAGGCAAACGUGAGUGAGCAGUUGUCCGCCUUUGGCGAGUUGGCGACCAUGCUCUUUCCAUCCACAAUGACCUGCGGCAUAUGUCAAUAGUUCUACCCACACUUUAUUCAUCAUCUCCCACUUUUCUUUCCUUCCCCGGUUUCUCUUGUUCAGAUUUUGCAAUUGUUUCGCAAGAUCGCGACCCUUCAAAAGGAUACUAGACUCAUCAGAUCGAAGUUCUUCCAAUUUUGGACCCCCUUCAAGCAACUCUUGGUAGGCUUUUUCUAUUUGUAUGUCUCUCUUUUCUUUAAAAAAAUCGAAGACCUCCUCACAGGCCUUUCUGUAUCUUAUUUCACCAAUCCCUUUGGGCAACAUUUUUGAACGCAAGACGAAAAGAUAAAGCAUGUACUCCGAUAGGCAUCUGCUGAUUUUGCUGUAUUCAUUAAUGAGACUAUAGAGAUCAGUUGUCUUAAUAUCAUCAUAGUAACAGAGCUGGGUAGCAAUGUGCCAAAGAAGAAUGCUUUCGUCAAAUUCUACAUCAACGGUGCUCCAUUUAAGCUCAUCAAGGAGCUUCAUUUCAUUAAGUACACAUUCACCUCUGUAAUUCAAUACUUUGCUGCUUAAUUCGGUAUUAUCGAAAUCUUCAAGCUCUUUAGUUCUCCUAUCUAGUUGAUGGAAGAUAAGGCAUUUUAGAUCGUCAUCUAUCCCUUGCUGCCAUUCCACAUUCUGAUGCUUCUCUAACAUUUCAUAGAUGCCAAGUAACUUUUUAACUAUAAUCCACUUGGUUGCCUCCUUUUGAAGGCAAAAGCUCACAAGGUUGCACUUGGCUAUGCUUCUAGACCACCUCCUACCCUUUCUCACUCGUUUUAAAUGACAUUUUUUUUGCACAACUAGCCAAAGCUUUAGCCAGUCAGAGGAAGUAAGCAUGAGCAGCGCAUAAACCUCCAGAACAACAGCUCCAACCAGCAAUAGGUAAGUUACGAACCUGUCCACCGGUGAGUAUUCAUGCUCAUCGAUGAUGAUUGAGAAGGUAACCAAUGCAGAAACAGAGGCCAAACAAGUAAUGCAGCGGAAAAAGAUACCAAAACAUGAGUAGACUAGUCUUGCUUUGGUGUAGAGCAAAUCAUACAAAAGUCCCAGCUCAUAUUCUACCACUUCGAAGGCCACUCUUGGUUCAAGUUCACGAAUUAAUUUGUUGCAAAGGUAUCUCUGAUUUUGAUCGAGGAGAAGGUCUGCAAAUAAAAAUUUUAGCCUCUUGAACAAGCUAUCAACUCGAAGUAGGAACGAGUCAGCUCUAAACAUUUCUGCCCCGCUGUCUUCAUAUAAACGUAACAAAUUGUCUAAUGAGGAAGUUCUAAACUGCUUCGUGCUUGAGGACAUGAGCACGUAAGUCCUUUCCCCAUACUUGAUAAUUCCUGCAAUGAACACUGGAAUGGCUAUACACGAGAAGGUAGUGUCACCGUCAACCCAAGACCUCAAUAACACAUAAAUUGCAACUCCAAUCUCAAAAACGAGGCCAACAAAAUGCCUUAGCCACAACUCAUUGUCUUCUAAGGAGUAAGCAGUAAUAGUGUCUGGGCCACCGAGGUGCAAGAGAAGGAAUGGAGCCCAAAAUGACUGGAGUGAGUGGUUUUGAUUCGGAGCAUUACUUCCCAGGGACCUGGCAAGAAUGCCCAAUGCAACAGUUGCCACCCAAUCUGCUGACAAGUAUGCAGACCAAACAAUGAAGUUGAUCCAUGUACUUGUCGUACUCUUUCUUUUGGAACCAAAGGCAAUGAGUAUUACUUGUAAUGAGAGGCUGAGUAAAACCAGCACUCGCAUCUCCCAUCCAUUCCAAAGUUUAAUCGCUGUUUCAACGAUCGCCAUUGCUGGUCUCUUCUUUGCCUAAAACAUAAAAUAGUGUUUGCAUCUAUAAGUAUAUUCAUUUUGUGAAAUCCCAAAAAGCGAACAUAGGAAGAUGGACAAAGAAAAAAAGAAGAUGAGAGCAUUAUCUUUUCAAAUUUCUUUAUUAUUCUAAUUCCAUGAUGUAUUUUUUGUUAUCAAUUUCUUAAUUUAAGAGUUUGUUAAUAUACGAAUGGUGUGUAUUAAUUAAUAUAAUAGGAUGACAAUAUUAUAUUUUAGAAAAAUAAACAACCAAUGAGAUAUAUAAAUAUAAUAAUUUUAUUAAUUUUUGACAGAUAAUUUUCAUUAAUAAGAUGUUUAGCAAUUAAAAGUUAAUUAAUUUUAAAUAAUAAUAUAGUAAAAAUUAAUUAAUUAUAAAAGAGAUCUAAUUCCAUAAUCACAUGUAUAUUAUUAUUUAUUAUAUAUUUACUAUUAUUAAUAUCAUUUAAAUAAAAAAGUGUGCAAUGAAGAGUAGUACUGAUUAAUGGUUAUAUUAGCAAUAUGCUAAAAUUAAAGAAAUUGCAUUUAACUUAUUGACUCUUUUUACAAAAUUUUAUGUUUUGGUCAAUUCUAUAAAACUUAUAAUUUUAUAUGUUACUUCUAAUUAUAUAUGAAAUAUCUCUUCUUAUAUACUUGCAAUCACCAUGUAUUUUUAGUUGGAUAUAAAAUUUAUCGAAACUCACUAUUUAUGUUAAUCUUAUAAUUAUUUAAAGUCUCGAAUCAUUUAAUAUAAUACAAAUUUUAGUUUGUGAUACAGUUAAAUUUAAAUUUUAUGAAGAAUAAUUUUUUUUUUAUGAAAAUGGGAUUCAAACUCAUACUUUUAAGUAAAGAGAUCAUUCACUAACUAAUAAGUCAAAUGCUCAAAUGCUUAUAAAAAAUAAUUUACUUUAAUUAAAAGUUCAAGGUUAAUAAGAAAAAAGACAGAUAAAAAUUAGACAGUUCGUGCAUUAAUUGUAACAUAUAAAGAAUUCCACCCAAAAAAAGUUAAUAUAUAAAGAAUUAAUAGAGAGUUAUGUAUGUACACAAUUAUAAUUAUUAAGGUUUAUCUUUAAAUAUUAAAAGAAUAAGAGGAUUUUUUUUUUUUUUGCUCAGCAAUAAGAGGAUUUGAACUCAACUUUUUUUAAAGAAAAAACAUACACUUACUUUUAAGUUAAAUACUCAAAUUCAUUAUUAUAAAGUAAAAUUUUAAAGUCCUAAUAUGAUCAAAUCAAAUUGAUUGUGGCUCUAACAUGAUAUUACUUUUGAGUCUUAAUCAACAAAUCCACUCACCUGGAAAGUACAACCCCCAAGAAGUGGUGAAGCUGAGUGGAAACUGGCUUGAUGCUUCCUGAGCCAAUGCGCCUUUGACUAAAAGGAAUGAAAACUUUUAAGUACUAAUGUGAUCAAAUCAAAUAAGUAGGCAAAAAUAUUCCAAUUCCCUAAUCAAAUGCCUUUAAAAAAAAAAUCAAAUAAGCAGGCACACAAUCUAACAUCAUAUUAAUUACGCAUGAAGUCCUGAUCAAUUGAUAAUAUUUAUACAUUUCCUAUGAUCAAUCUAACAUCAUUUUCUCCUCGAUCCUCCUUUUGUAGCUGAUUCGGUGCUGAUGCGGAUUAACUGUUUUUUAUAUUUUUCAGUGUCGGUGUGUUGUGGACUUCAUCUGUGCUUAAUCUCAGCUUAUAUUCUGCAUUGGUUUAUAAAGUGCUGCAAGUAAUGAAAUAGCUCUAUCGGUUGGGAUAUUGUUUUAUUUUUGUUUUCUUAGUUUGCUGGUUCAGUUACAGACUUUUUUAUAAUUAGAGGUGGAAAGAUUGAAACUUUACUUUUCAUAUACUAACUAAUGAGUCAAAUGUUCGAGUGUAUAUUUAGUUGCAAACUUAUUUACAUAUCAAUCUUUUUUUUCUUUUUAAAAGGUGAUUUAUUGAAUUGCUUCCAAGCCAACACGUCAUAGGUAGUCUUUAGCUAAUUGUCUUAAGACUCCCAAUGACAUAAAAGGUUUGGCUUGAGUGUAAACUUGUACAAUUGCCAACACUCAGCCACAUAAAAAGAAAUUGGCGGCUCUUACUAGAGAACUACCUUGCUACUUAAUAAAAUUGAAUUCUGAUUAAGCAAAAAAAAAUUAAUAAAAAUUAUAAAAUAUCAGCCAAUGUGCCUUUAAUGAAAACAAUGAAAGACACUCAUAAUACAGCAUGUCUCCUGAAAUAUGAGUUCAAGGGAAUAUAUAAAGGUCUAAGCUGCAAAAAAUGCAUGUAAAAUAUUAUUACUUGCUGAGCAAAAAAAGAAAUAAUUAUUACUUACUCGGAUUUUGUUAAUUAGUGUAUUUAAUUAAUUAAAAACAAUUAUUAAAAUAUUAUUUUUUACAUUUAUUUGUAUUUUAUAAUUUUUUAUAACUAAAAAAAAAAUUCAAGUAGACCUAUUCAUGGAGUAGGCGUCUUAAAACAUUUCUAUUAUGAAAUAAGAGUCUUUAGGGCGUAGUUAUACAACAAUUAGAGAUACGUUUGGCAUUCUUAAGAAGAAAACUGAGAGCCCCUUAUCUAGCACUAGCCAAUUGAUCUUACCGUUUGUGUGAAUUAGCAUCAGAGGGUGGACACUUGAAAAAUUUGUGAUUUGCGACAACACUCCUUUGUGCUUGGAUGUUUCGUUCAUAAGGUUUUGAACUUUAAGAUUUUGAGAUAUGAGAUUUGUAGGUAUAACAAUCUUUUUAUUACUAGUUGGGGUUUCCUAUGUUAAAGAAACCAAAUUUUGAUCUUUCUAUCAAAAAAAUUUUGAAUACCGUUACACUUUGCUCUUGUUGGUCUCAAAUUUAAAUCUUGCGAUGGGUGUUGUAUGAUCUAUGGAUGGGAAAAAAGAACCUCUCAAACUAUAGUCCAAAAUUAUACAUACAAAAAAAAUUAAUAUAUUAAUGAAAUUAGAGAUAAAUAAUUAUUAUAGUUUCGUUGAUUCUUUAAAUGGAAAUUCUUGUAUAUGAAAGUUCUUUAUGUUUGGCAAUAUAUAAUAAUAUUUGCAAGUUGGUUGAAAAUGGAUCAAUUUAAGCAUGAAUUCAAUCAACAAAAAAAAAAUUACAAUUAUAUAAGUUUGAUUCAGUUCCUAUAUGAACCGUUUAGGUAGUCUAUGCAUUAAUUGUCACAUCACCAGUCUAACCAAUUCUUGGUUAAGAAAGCUAUGGAGGUUAUAUAUAGGAGUUCAAUCUCAAGCAGGCAACCUGAGGGCUUGGUAUUCUUCUAUCUGGAAGUUAACUGUUCCCCCUGUGCUUUUUUUGGUUAGUGGUGUUGCAUUGGAAAUCAUUCCCACAAAAAGCUUCUUAAGGACCAGGGGAAUUUCCUUUGAACAUGAGGAUGUUUUAUGUUCACGGUGUAGACAAAUAGAGGAAGAAUAUGCACAAAUCUUACUCUCUUGUGAGUUCUAGUAGGCGAUACGGAGUCGUGUUUUCUGUUGAUGGGGAUUUCUGUGGGUUGCUCCUCUUCUAUGCAAUCAAUGGUGGAAUUUUGCAGAAACCUUUUUUCAUAGCACCUUGAGAAAAAGGUGGAUAGCUAUGAUAGGAGCUACGGUAAGGUCUUUAUGGUUCGCUAGAAACAAUUUGAUUUUUAACACUAUGAAAUAGAGAAUGAGAAUGCUAUUGCGGAGAUAGGAUGGUGGACUAUGCCUUGAAUGUUGACUAGGUCAAAGAAGACGUGGACCUGAGAAAAGGGGUUGUUUGGACUCUCCCAAGUGAAGAUGAUCUGAAAUUCAAUGUGGAUGGUCCUAUUAGAGGUAAGUCGAGGGUAAUGAGCUGUAAGGUUGUGCUUAGGGACAGUAAUCGUAAUGUAAUGGGUCUGUUCUUUGGUCCUUUAGGUGAACUUGAGUCUAACAAAAGCUGAAAUUCUAGCUAUUGGAACUGCUUUACAAUUUUAUGCUGCGUCCCAGUAAAAAAGUACGAAAUCUUUGGUGAUAGAUUCAAAUUCUUGUGUUGCACUUUUAUGGGCAUUAAAAUCAGAUUGUACACCAUGAGUAUUGUGGGAGGGUCAAAAUAUAUGUAGUGUUAUUUGUUGAAAGGGUAGUAUCAUUAUUUAUAAAAUUGAAUAUAAAAAGGGGUGGUCAGUUGUCAAAUAACGCAAGAGAGUGUGCAUGUGUGUUUGUCUUACUCACCUGGAAAAUUUUACAGCCCCCAACAAGUGGUGAUGCAGAGUGGAAACCGCUUUGAUGCUUCCAGAGCCAACCCGCCUUUGACUGAAAGCAAUGAAACGUUUAAGUAGUAAUAUCAAAUCAAAUAAGUAGGAACACAAUGUAGCAUCGUAUUACUCUUAAGUCCUGAUCAAUUGAUAAAAAAAUAUUAAUAAAAAUAAAACAAAAAAAGAUAUACAAAAUUACCCCCAGGAGCUGGUGAAGGAAUGCUGGACCCUCCUUUGAUGCUUUCUAAGUAGCCAAUGUGCCUUGAAUGGGAACAAUGAAAGAGACUCAUAAAUUUAUAGCAGUGAAGAAAAGUUCUUUUAAAGGCAUGAAGGAAGGAAUGAUACGAAAACAACAAAAUUGAAAGAAAGCAAUCAUAAAGAUGGAUUGCGCUCCUUGGUUUAGAUGCCUCCACAUCUAAUUCUGUCCUUCCUUCAAGCAAUUGUCUAUUAGAUUCUCAUUAAUUACAAACAGGAGUGGUAAAAUUGAAAAUAGAAAUAAACACAUAUUCAUACUUUAUGUGCAGCCAACCAGUUCCAGCCCGAAGAAUUUUGAAUGCUGCUUGUUUAAUUUUCUACCGAGCUAAGUAACACGAAACACCCAAAGGGAUCUUAAACAUUUUCGGUUCUAUUAUAGAUAUCUUCAAACAUUUGAUUCCCUUCUCCAUUUGAUCCAAACAAAGAUGAUCUUUGUCGUCCAUGAAGCAGAAGAGUCUUAAAUUAAACAAGGAUGAUCUUUGUCAAAAGCUUAGGAGAGAAUCCUAAUAAUUAUUUUCACAAAGAAAAUUAUCUCUAAAUAAUUAAAAUAAUGUAGAUAAAUAAAAAUAAAUGUGGUAAACCAAAUUGUGAAUAAUUCACAUAUUGCAUCAUGAUGCAUAUAUAUUUCUUUUCAUCAUAUGGAAGCUAACUGGUGAUGGAAUUUUAAAGAAUUUGUAAGCAAAAACUUUCUUGAAAAUUUCUAAAUGAAAAAAUUUUCUAAAAUUUUAUCAAAAUUAUGAAAAAAUUUAGAUUUCUUUCUAAUAUCAAGGAUUUUCAUUUACCCAUGAGAUGAAAGUAGACCUAUCAAUGGAUUAGGCGGUUCACCAACUUGCGAGCUUAGCUUGAAUCGAGCAAAGUCUUAGACAAGAUUUCUUGAUCUGAGCCCAGUCCAUGAUAUUAUUAUGUUAUAAAAUAAGAGUCCUUAGGCCGUACUUAUUCAACAAUUAGGGACACUUUUGGCAUUCUCAAGAAGAAAACCGAGAGCCUCCGAUCGAACACUAGCCAAUUGAUCUUAACAUUCAUAAGAUGACAACUUUUUAAUAUCAGGAGCAACAAUGGAAGGAUGGUUAACAGAGUGGCCUUUUUUCAUUUUCCCAACACCCUUAACCACAUCAGCAUAAGUUUUGUGCUGAUGCGAGGCCUCAAACUUAGAGCAAUUUUGAAAACAGUCAAAAGACAUCAAAUUCCCAGUAAGAGCAGUCCUAUUGUCGAUGCUAACCAAUUUUAUAUACAUAUAUAUAUAUAUAUAUAUAUUUAUAAUCCACUCACCUGGAAGAUGCAGCACCUCAGAAGUGGUGAAGCAGAGUGGAAACUGCUUUGAUGCAUGCUUCCUGAGCCAAUGCGCAUUUGACUGAAAGCAAUGAAACUUUUAAAGAGAGGUCUUGAUCAAUUGAUAAAAAAAUUAUUAAUAAAAAUAAUAUAUAAAAGAUAUAGUAUUUAAUUUUUACUGAAGGGUAGUAUUAUUAUUUUUAUAAUGUCAUUUAAGAAACAAAAAGAGGUGGUCAAGGAUCUAAACUUUUCUUUAGUUUAAUGAAGAAAGGAAAAAAAAAAGAAAGAAAUCUCACCCCCAAGAGCUGGUGAAGGAAUGCUGGAGCCUCCUUUGAUGCUUUCUAAGCAGCCAAUGAGCCUUGAAUGAAAACAAUUAAAGAGACUCAUAAAUUUAUAGCACUGUAGAAAAGUUCUUUUAAAGGCAUGAAGCAAGGAAUGUCCUUGAAAUGAAAAGAAAAGAACAAAAUUAAAAGCAAGUAGUCAUAAAGAUUGAUUCUAGACCUUGGUUUUGUAUAAUCUACAAGGACAAGUAAUACAUAGUUUCGUCUCAUGAAAUAUGAGUUUAAAGGAAUAUAUCAAGGCUUAUGGUGCAGAAAGUGCAUGUAAAAUAUUAUUAAUUACUCUUAUUUUGUUAAUUAGUGUUCUAAUUAAUUAAGAACAAUUACUAAAAUGUUGUUUUUUACAUUUUAAAAUAAAAACUUAUUUUAUUUUAAAUGCACUAAUUGAUUAAUUGAUAGAUUGAUGAUUUAGGAUAUAUUGAAUGAAAAUAUUACUUUUAAAAAUAACCUUACAAGUAAUCUUUGCAAUGCAUAUCAUAUGCAUCCACAUGUAAUUCUAUUUUUCCUCGGAGCAUCUUUAAUUACGAGUGCGUAUGCAUCCACAUCUAAUGCCAUUCUUCCUUCAAGCAAUUGUCUAUUAGAUUCUCAAGGGAGAAGACAAACCUAUUUCAUCAACAAAUUCAAAGAAGAAACAAACAGGAGUGGGAAAAUUUUAUUACAUGGGAAUUUCGUUAUUUUUCCAAAUUGUCAGAGGCCUUACAACUCUGAGAGGUACAAUUUCCAGACCAAUUAACUUGGUCCAAGACUCGUGUCUUGGAGUUAUGGUGGGCAAUGGGAAAUCAAGCUCCCUUUGGAAUGAAAAGUGGAUUGAUGACACUCGAAAUGAAAGCUUAUUGACUGUGGUCACAAGUGAAUCAAUGGAAUUUUUAGAAAACGUUUGUAAGUAUCAAGUUUUCUAAAUUUUUUUAAGUGAAAAUAAUUAUGAGUUUUGUCAAUAGCUUUGGAGAGAAUCCUAAUAUUUAUUUUCACAAAGAAAAUUAUCUCAAAAUAAUUAUUAUCUUUUUAAGUUGAAAGAAUCUCUCAAGGGUAAUAAAAACUAUAUGAUUUGAUCAUCUAUUAUUUCUUUUGGUUAAAAUAAGAUAAUUUUAUUAAUAUAAAAAAAUCGAUACAAUUACUAAUAUCCCAAUUAAAUAAUUAUAAUGAUAUAGAUAAAUAAAUGUGGUGUACGAUAUCGUGAAUAAUUCGCAAAUUGCAUCAUGAUGCAUAUUUGUUUUCAUCAUACGAAAGCCAACCAAUGAUGGAUGUUUAAAGAAAUUGUAGCUGAAAACUUUCUUGAAAAUUUCAAGAUCUGAAAAUUUUCUAGAAUUUCAUCAAAAUUAUUUAAAGUUUAGAUUUCUUUCCAAUAUCAGGGGUUUCAUUUAGUCAACAGAUAAAAGUGUCAUUGGUUUAUUUCAAGAGAUAAUUUUAAGGAAAUAAAAUAAACUAGUCGCUUAAAAUUCUAGAAUAAUGACAAAAAGUCAAAAAAAAAUAAUAAAGAAUAGAAUUGAGAAAAAUAAAAAAAACAUUAUGAAAAAAAAGAAAAAAUAGGUUAAAAUCAAAGUCCUUUUUUACAAAAUAUUCAACGAAUCCAAUAAUGGAGCUUCUUCAAGGUAAUAAGAAAAUAAAUUAUUUUGUAACAUUAAUUUAGAACUGUUGAGAAAAAAAUUAAUUUAAAACUUGAUGGCAUAUUUCAUGGGGUAAAAUUCAAAAAACUCUCUCAAAAUACUUCAAAAAGAAAUUUUUGGUCCCUUUUAUUUCAAAAUAAUGUUUUCGGUCCCUUGAUUGUUAACACAACAAUUAAAAAAAUUAUUCUCAAUACUACAUAUAUAUUUUAGAACACAAGAAAAAAAAAACUUUCUGCAACAAGUAAAUUAUAAAGAAUUUGGAUUCCAUUUGAUAAAUGAUGGAAGCUCAAGUAUUUAUAUUUAUUUUCAAAACAUAACACUUCUAUUAUUUUUAAUUUUUCGAUUUUUGUCUUAUUCAAAAUGAUUGACAACAAGUUCUUUAUAUAAACUUGCAAGUAUCUCUUCCCAAAGACAUAACCCUUUCAUUAGAACACCUUUUGUUUAGAUAUCUCUACAUUUUGCAAGACAUAAUCCUUGAUAAAAGUAUUGUUUCAAUAAUUACCUUAUGAAAGGACAAUCAUUCAUACCAUAAGAAAUAAUUUUUGAACUACAAUAUGAAAAGAUAACAUUUCGUAUCCAAACUCUUAAGGUGUGGUGUUUUUCAAUUGUCUCAACUUUUGGAUUUAAAGGUAUUUUUUCAAUAUGUUACUUUUCUAAGAGAUAUAACCAUUCACAUUAAAAACCCAUUUAUAAUCUAAUAGUUACAUUAUAUGACAUAAUCUUUUAUUUUGAAAAUACACUAACAUUUUAUAUCAAUAAAUAUUUCUUUGAUUCAAAUUUGACGCGUAAUAUAUAAUUAGGUGUCAAUAUUUGAAUGAAAUGAUUAACCAAAAAGGCCAAAAAUAAUUUUUUUGAAAGACGUAAAAUAUCCUUUCUUGGGCACUUGUAGAUGGUAAAAGCUCUGAUCGUGGAAUUGCCCACUGAUGCCAGAAUGUGCCAUAAGAAGGCAAACGUGAGUGAGCAGUUGUCCGCCUUUGGCAAGUUCACUACCAUGCUCUUUUUAUUCACAAUGAGCUGCAGCAUAUGUCAGUAGUUCCACCCACACUUCAUUCAUCAUCUCCCACUUUUCAUUGCAUCUCCAAUUGCCUUGGUUCAGGGGUUUUAAAUUUUGCAAUUGUUUUGCAAGCAUGCACCCCUUGGAUGGAACAACGAAUUUGGAUUGAGCAUUUUCCAAUUUUUUAAUGAGAAAAUUGUGAGAAAUAACUUUCCUCAUAAGCCCAAUUCAAAAAUAUCAUUUUUAUAAUUUUAACUAUUUUUGGUUAAUUUUUGACAUGACUUGAUAAUAAUACAUUUUAAAUAAUUUCAGACAAAUUAAAAUGAUUUCAGUUUUCUCUAUCCCACAAUCCAGACAAAACUUUUAAAAUUAAAUUUCAGUUUCUCUUUCUGGUCAAAUACUGUUUAUCUCACCAUCCAAAGCGCAGAGAUGACUUCAACCUCUAUUUUAUUUUGUUUUAUUUUUUUGGAUGGUGGAUCUUAGGGUUCUCAAGGGCGAUGAACUGCGAUUUUGCUCUUUGCAGACAGCGAUUUUGCUCAAGGAGAAGGAACAGCUAAAGCAUGUUUGAUGGGUUUUAUUAUGGUUCACGAUUUUGUUGUGUCUGGGAUUAGGAUAAUUGUUAAGCAUGUUUGCUAAGGAUUUUGAUUUUUUUUAUGAGAUUUUGAUUUUUUUAUGGGAUUUUGAGUUGAAAUUAUAUUUUGUAAAUGAGGUAUAUUUUGUUUUUGUAUAAGGGGAGUGAGCAAGGCCCUCCUGAUAGGGCUAUAUGUUGUCUUGCUUUGGAGGGUUAUGGAGUUUUGUAACCUAUCUUUUAUGAAAUGCAUAAUUUCAUGGCUUAGCAAAAAAAAAGUAUGUGUUUUAGGUUCUUGGGUUUAUUGGUUUAUUCAUAGAAUCUCAAAGUUGAGGAGUUGAAAUUUAUUAAAAUGGUUUUUAAGUAUUGCGAGACUAGUUUUUAGGUAUUACGUGACUUAAUCAUUGUGUGACUAGUUUUUAGACAUUACGUGAUUGGUUUUAGGCAUUACGUGACUAGUUUUUAGACAUUACGUGAUUGAUUUUUAAGCAAUAUCUAAGUCACACAAUGCCUUACUAACUAGUCACGCAAUGCUUUAUUAACAAGUCACGCCAUGCCUAUCAACUAGUCACGCAAUACCAUAUCAACCAAUCACACAAUACUUAAAAACUAGUCAUACAAUACCCAAAGUCAGUCACGCAAUACUUAAAAACUAGUUAUACAAUGCCCAAAAAUCACAAAUACUACUGAAUUUCAUUCAACAAGAUCGACAACUUCAAACGACACACCAUAUUCCAUUUAAAAACAUAAUUAUCGAAUAUGCCUAUUUGACAAAGAAUGCUCAAAAUGUUCAAAGUUUUUCUUCAUAUAUCAAAAAUCACUCCAAAAUACUUAAAAAUACUCAAAACACUCAAAAGUUUUCUUCGUGUAUCAAAAACUACUCCAAAAUGCUCAAAAUGCUUAAACAUUUUUCUUUCUGGUAAAAAAUACUCCAGAAAUGAAUAGUCUGGCAAGAAAAACUCAAAGAAUAUGAGUUGGUUUGAGGCGCAGACCUAAAUAUACUUGACCCGUUAAUAGGUUUCAGAUUGAGAUGCGAAACCAAAUAACUGGGUCAGUUUCAUUAAGGGUAAUUUUAUCCAAAUUUUAAUUCUUUUGGCUAAAAACAGUUAAAAUUAUGAGGAGACCUAUUGUCAGAAACACUUUAUGCAUGAGGCCUAUUUGAAAAAAGAACCCUUUUUCAAUUAUAUUGCUUCUUUUUAAAUCAUCACUGCCCCUUUGAAGCAACUCUUGGCAAGCUUUUUCUAUUUGUAUGUGUUUCUUUCCUUCCAAAAAACAGAUGAGCUCCUCACAUGCUUUUUUGUAUCUUAUAUAACCAAUCCCUUUGGGCAUCAUAUUUGGACACAUGACACCAAGGUAAAGUUGUUAGGAUUCGACCUCAUACUCAAACAUGAAAAUAAUUAAUAAAUUAAAAUUAUAAUGCAGCGAAAAAAUAAAAUAAUAUUUAAUCAGAGAAACAGUCGAAUCCUACAAGAUUAAUGUUUGUGUUUUUCAUGUAACUUUCAAUUUGAUUAUGAACACUCGUAAGUUUAAAAGUUACAUACCUUACUCUAGAUAUCAUAAUCAAUAGCCAAUUAAAUCAAAAUCCUUACUUCUUCAUCUUUAGGAUUUGUCAAAUCUUUAGCCACCCAAGUGUUUGACCUCUAACAGUAAUCCACACAGUGACUAAAUAAGACUUUCUCUAAGGUAUGAUUUUUACUUCUACUAGCAAGUUUUGUUUCUAAAAUAAAAAGAUCAAAAAUUCUUGCCGAAUCUUAUUUUUUUCAAACAAAGAAAACUAUUUUUUUUCUUUUCUUAUUUUAUGAAACGACUGAGAAGUAGUUUAAGGCUUAGAGUUUUUUUUUUAGUUUACUAAUAUAACAUGUUUAUAUAGCCAAACUAAUUUGUAACCCUAAAUACAACAAUUGUAUUUUAAUUUAAUUAAGUCUCUGAGAACUUAAUUAAUUUUUUACUUUAUUUUGGUCUGUUUCAAUUAAGUCCAACUUAAUUAAUUAUCCUUAUUUAAUCUCAAUCAUGUCACUUAAUGUGUGUGACCCAUUAGACUUCUAACAUGUUGGCAAUAAAUAUAAAUUAUAAUCAAAUAUCAAUUUGAUAAUUAAUUUAUAUUUAUAGAUUAUGAGUGGCAUCUAGCAAUACAUCAUGACCACCAAAAUAUUAGAGAGUCAAUUAAAGAAUUUGACAAAGCCCUUCAGUGAUAAGCCUCUCAGUGUAAUACGGUCCUUUCAUCAAAUAUCCCGAAUAUGUCAUUAAGUGUGGCUCGGUGUCUACUUAUGACAUUCAAUAUUAGUUCUCAUAAUUCAUGACUAACCUUAUAAAUUUAGAAAACUAACUUUCCUCAAAUUCAUCAUGCUUUGGCCAAAGACUUUAUACAAGUUAAUCAAGAAUUGAGAACAAGUGAGAUACAUCCCCUCAUAUCACUUGGGGUGAUGAAUCCUCUCUUGACCACUCAUUCACUUUCGCAUGCUUCAUGGCAUACCCAAACAUACCCUAUUUAGGCAUCUGGUCACCUCCAAACCCGUAAGGGUGAAAUCAAAGUAUGUUAUUCCCCAUACAAAAUGACUUGGUGUCUCAAGUCUAAGAACUAGUUGCAUGACUAUCACAUGAGAACAUUUUCCAUAGGCACUUGAGUUAAAUACCAAAUGAAGUUCUCAUAGCAGGUCAUAUUCAGUGAACUUGUUCUUUAACAAGCACCUACACGUUAUCCUCCAGUAUCCCAUAUAUUUCAAUCUAUGAGAUCAAUUGUUUACUUUCCAAGUAAGGAGGCUUAACAUGUACUAGUCUUUGAACAUUGUCAAUGCCUUGUCUUGACAAUACAAUGACCAAGAACAAUUUUAAGAACAUAGCUUUGAUGCAUAGUGAUCUCAUAAUUGUAACAACUUUACAAUUCUCUUGCAAGGCCUUUAUUUUCCAUGGGCUUCAUCCAAUUAGUACUUAAUAACUCUUUAUUAUUGCACUAACAUGAAGGAAAACCUCUAUCACAUAUAAUUAUGUGAUUAAAUAUGCAUUAAAUGACAGUAUAUAUUCCUUGAUCAAUCCAAUUGGCUCAAAGGCAUAUACCAACAAAAACAUGUACUCUAAUAGGCAUCUGCUGAUUUUGCUGUAGUCAAUGACUCUCGAUUUCUAAAUAUCAUCAUGGUAACAGAGUUGGGUAGCAAUGUGCCUAAGAAGAAUGCUUUCGUCAAAUUCUACAUCAAUUGUGCUCCAUUUAAGAAGCUCAAGGCACUUCAUUUCAUCAAGCACACAAUCACCUUUGUAAUUCAAUAUUUUGACAGAAAGAGGUAUGCUUGUCUUUUGCCACUUGCAAAUAGCUUUGUAACCUGAAUUUGACGGUAUCAACAAUGCAGUUAAAAAGAUCAUCAACAUCCCCAACUUUCUUUAAAAAUUUAUAGGUGAGAAAAAUUUCUAAAAUUUUAUCAAAAUUAUUGAAAGUUUAGAUUUCUUUCCAAUAUCAGGGGUUUUCAUGUACCCAAGAGAUAAAAGUGUCAAAUGUUUAUUUCAAGAGAUAAUUUUAAGGAAACAAAAUAAAAUAGUUUCUUAAAAUUCUAGGAUUAUAACAAAAAGUCAAAAAAAUAGUGAUAAAGAAUAAAAAUAAAAAAUUGAAUGAUUUUGAAAAUAUAUAAAUAACCAAACCCAUUGAAUAUUUAAUUUUCCAAUGGUUUGCAGAACAGCACCUUACAUCUUUGCCAAGGAAGGAGGAACUAUGGUGUAAGAAAUGGUAAACUGAAAUAGAUUGUUUUUUUAAUAGAAAUGUGCUCAAAUUAAAAUACUUUUAUUUUAAAUAUAUGAAUGUGAUGAAAUUACAGUGAAAAAUUAAAAAAAAUGCUUAAAGAUAAUAUAAAUUGAUUAUAUACAAUUAAUAUAUCUUAUCCACCUAUAAAGUUUCCAAGUUUUUCUUUUGGAGGGUUUGACACUAGGGAGUUGGAGAAAGUAAAAGCUCUUAUCUUGGAAUUGUCCACUAAUGCCAAAAUGUGCCAUAAGAAGGCAAACAUGAGUAAGUAGUUGUCCGCCACUAGCGAGAUGUUGAGCAUGCUCUUUCCAUCCACAAUGACCUGCGGCAUAUGUCAGUAGUUCCACCCACACUUUAUUCAUCAUAUCCCACUUUUCUUUGCGUGCCUGGUUCGGAGGUUUUAAAUUUUGCAAUUGUUUCGCAGGAAUGCACCCUUUGGAGAGAAUAACGGGCUUGAUUCAAGCGACAUUCAAUUUUUCCAUUAUGUUGUUUCCUUGCAAAAUAUUAGUGCCCCUUUCAAGCAACUCUUUGCAGGCUUCUUCCAUUUGCAUGUCUCUCUUUCUUCCAAAAAAAUCGAUCACCUCCUCACAGGCUUUUUUGUACCUUAUAUAACCAAACCCUUUGGGUAGCAUAUUUGGACACAUGACAACAAGGUAAAGCAUGUACUCCGAUAGGCAUCUGCUGAUUUUGCUGCAUGCAUUGAGACUACUGAAACCCUGAGUCCGAUUAUCAUCAUGGUAACAGAGUUGGGUAGCAAUGUGCCAAAGAAGAAUGCUUUCGUCAAAUUCUACAUCAGUUGUGCUCCAUUUAAGCUCAUCAAGCACACAUUCACCUCUAUAAUUCAAUACUUUCUUGCAUAAUUCAGCAUUAGAAAAAUCUUCAGGUUUUUGAAGUCUAUUACCUAGUUGAUCAAAGAUGAGGCAUUUUAGAUCGUCAUCUAUCCCUUGCUGCCACUCCACAUUCCGAUGCUUCUCUAAUUUUUCAUAGAUUCCAAGUAACUGUCCAACUUUAAUGCACUUGGUUCCCUCCUUUUUGAGGCAAAACUUCAUAAGGUUGUACCUGGCUAUGCUUCUAGACCACCUCUUAUCCCUUGUCAUUCGUUUUAAAGAAAAACAUGUUUCUUGCCCAACUAGCGAAAGCUUUGUCCAGUCAGAGCAAGUAAGCAUGAACAGCGCAUAAACCUCAAGAACAACAGCUCCAACUAGCAAGAAGUAAGUUACGGAAAUGUCGACCGGAAAGUGUUUGUGCUCAUCGAUGAUGAUUGAGAAGGUAACCAAUGCAGAAACAGAGGCCAAACAAGUAAUGCAGCGGAGAAAGAUUCCAAAACAUGAGUGGACUAGCGUUGCUUUGGUGUAGAGCAAAUCAUAUAAAAGUCCUAGCUCAAAUUCUACCAAUUGAAAGGCCUCGUCUGGUUUCAAGCAGCGAAUCAUAUUGUUGCAAAGGUGUCCCUGCUUUCGAUCAAGGAUAAAGUCUGCAAAUAAGACUUUCAGCCUCUUGAAAAAGAAAUCAACUCGAAGUAGGAAGGUGCCAUCAACUGGGCUUGUUACAGAAUUUUCAACGUCGUUGUCCUUAGUUAAAGCUGUUUCUGAGAAUAAGGAGGUUCUAGCUUGGUGCUUGAGGACAUGAGCACGUAAGUCCUUUCUCCAUACUUGAUAAUUCCUGCAGUGAACACUGGCAUGGCUAUAGAAAAGAAGGUGGUGUCACUGUCGAACGAAGACCUCAAUAAAAUAUAAAUUGCAACUCCUGUUUGAAAAACAAGACCAAGAAAAUGCCUUAGCCAUAACUCAUUGUCUUCUAGAGAGUAAGCAGUAAUAGUAUCUGGGCCACCAAGGUGCAAGAGGAGGAACAGAGCCCAAAAUGACUGGAGUGGGUGCUUUAUCGGAAUAUUAUUUCCCAAGGACCUGGCAAUAACACCCAAUGCAACAGUUGCCACCCAAUCUGCUGACAUGUAUGUAGACCAAACAAGGACCUUGACCCAUGUACUUGCCGUACUCUUUCUUUUGGAACCAAAUGCAACGAGUAUUACUUGUAAUGAGAGGCUGAGUAAAACCAGUACUCGUAUCUCCCAUCCAUGCCAAAGUUUUAGCAGUGUUUCAACAAUAGUCAUUGCCGGUCUUUUGUUUGCCUAAAACAAGAAAUAACUAUACAUAUAUAAUUAACUUCAUGUUUGGACAUCCCAAAAAGCAAACAUAGGAAGAUGGACAAAGAAAAAUAGAGAAAAAGGCAUUAACUUUUCAAAUUUCUUUAUUAUUCUAAACUCCUUAAUGUAUUUUUUGUUAUCAAUUUCUUAAUUUGGUAGCUUGUUUAUAGAAAAUUGGUGUAUAUUAAUUAAUAUCAUAGGAUGACAAUAUAAUAUUUUAGAAAAAUAAACAACCAAUGAGAUAUAUAAAUAUGAUAAUUUUAACAAAUUUUUGAAAGAUAAUUUUAUUAAUAAGAUAUUUCACAAUUAAAAGUUAAUUAAUUUUAAAUAAUAAUAUAGUAAAAAUUAAUUAAUUAUAAAAGACAUCUAAUUCCAUAAUCACAUGUUUAUUAUUAUUAUUGUUAUUAUUAUUAUUAUUAUCAUUAUCAUCAUCAUCAUCAUUAUCAUUAUCAUUUAAAUAAAAAAUUUGCACUGAAAAUGUAUUACUGAUUAAUGGUUAUAUUAGUAAUAGGCUAAACUCAAAGAAAUUGCAUUUAACUUAUCCGUGCAAGUGAAAAUGCUAUCUAUUAAUCAAGAAAAAUCUCUUCCCCGAUAUAAAAGUUAUUGAAACUCACUAUGUAAAUCUUAUAAUUAUUUAAACUCUUGAAUGAUUUAAUAGAAUACAUAUUCUAGUUUGUGAUGUAGCUAAAUUUAAAUUUUAUGAAGAACAAUUUACUUUAAUCAAAAGUUUAAGGAUAAUAAGGAAAUAUAUAGAUAGAUAAAAAUUAGACAGUCCAGGCACUAAUUGUAACAUAUAAAGAAUUCCACUAAAAAAAGUUAGAAUAAAAAAAUUAAUAGAGAGUUAUAUAUGCACCUAAUUAUUUAAAAAAUUAUCAAGGUUCUUUUGAUAUAUUAAAAAAAGUCUUCUUUAACUACACCCAACCCCUUCUUGGUAUUAACUAUUCUAUGUCUAAUGGAAUAGCUUCAAAAUUUGUUAAGACUAAAUUACCCCUCAUAAGUUUAGAAAUUUACAACCCUUCGAAUAUUAAUGUUUAAAUUAUAAUAAAAUAUUAAUAUUUAAAAUUAUCUUUUAUUAAUAUUUUAAAUAAAUUAUUUAUUAUUAAUUAUUAAUAUUUAAACAAUAAAAUAAAAAUAAAUAAGCAUAAUAACAUUUAAAUUAUGAAUAAAAUAUUAAUAUAUUAUAAUUUUAAUGACUAAAUUAUAAAUAAAAUAUUAAUAUUUAAAUUAUAAAUUAUUAAUGUUUUAAAUAGAUUAAUUAUAAAUUAUUAAUAUUUAUAAAAUAAAAUAAAAAUAAAUAAUCUCAUAAAUAAUAAAAGAUAUUUUGUCUUUUAUCGUUUAUUACUUUCUUAUUCCAAAUUAAGCUAUUUUUACCAAUCAAAUACUGUAAUAGGUCAUAAUAACUAUUCAUUUCCUAUUUCAAUUAUCACAUCAAACUACGUAAUAACUAUUAUAUUUUUAUUUUAAUUUAUUUUUAUAAAAUAAUUAUUUUAUUAUAUUAUUAUGUAUUUCACAAACCAAACAUGCUGUAUUAAUUUAACAUGGCCAGUGACAUCAUUUCAAUAAUGAAUGAAUGAACCUAUCUCUUGCUUAUUAAAAUAAAAAAAGAGGAAAUAAUCAAAUCAAACUGAUAGAGACUAACAUCAUAGUACUUUUGUGUCUUAAUAAAAAAAUCCACUCACCUAGAUACAGCUCCCAAGAAGUGGCGAAGUAGAGUGGAAACUGCUUUGAUGCUUCCUGAGCCAAUGCGCCUUUGACUAAAAGGAAAGAAAUUUUUAAGUACUAAUUGAUCAAAUCAAAUAAUUUGGCACACAAUCUAACAUCAUAUUACUCUUGAAGUCCUAAUCAAUUGACAAGAAAAUAAAUAUAUUAUUUUCUAUGAGCAAUCUAACAUCAUUUUCUCUUUGAUCCUCCUCCUGUAGUUGAUCCGAUGUUGAUGCGCAUUAACUGUUUUUUAUGUUGUUCAGUAUUGGGGUGUUGUCGGCUUGAUUUGUGCUUAAUCAUAAGGUGUUGUGAGUGAUGAAAUAGCUCUAUCUCUUGGGAUGCUGUUUCAUUUUUGUUUUCUCAUUCUGACUGGUUCAGUUACAUACGUUUUUUUUUUUUUAAUAGCGGUUCAAUUACAUACUUGUUUAUGUAUUACUCUAUUGAUAUGUAAAAAAAAUUGGUUUUUAAUUAAGAAAAAAUUGAUAAAAAUAUUAAAUAAAAAUAAUAUAUAAAAGAUAUGGUAUUUAACUUUUAUUGACUUAGAUUUCAGUCAAAGGGUAAAAUUAUUACUUUUAUAAAAUCUUUAAAAAAGAAAAGAGGUGGUCAGACAACAAAAGAUACAAUUUCAUUUUUAUAUAAUCAUAUCCAAGGAUCUAAAUUUUUAUAUAUUCUUUUUUAUAUAAUUUCAUUUAUGAAGGAAAAAGAAAAGGGAAAUCUCAACCCCAAUAGCUAGUGAAGGACUGCUGGAGCCUCCUUUUGAUGCUUUCUAAUCAGCCAAUGUGCCUUGAAUGAAAACAAUGAAAGACACUCAUAAAUUUAUAGCAGUGAAAAAAAAUUCUUUUAAAGGCAUGACGCAAUGAAUGAUAGGAGAAGAACAAAAUUUGGAUGCAUGCUUCGGCCUUAAGUUGUCCAAAUAUCAAGGACAAGUAAUAUAGCAUGUCUCAUGAGAUAUGAGUUCAAAACAUAUAUCAAGGCCUAUAUAUGCUGCAAAAAGUGCAUGUAAAAUAUUAUUAAUUACUCGGAUUUUGUUAAUUAGUGUUCUAAUUAAUUAAGAACAAUUAUUAAAAUGUUAUUUUUUACAUUUUAUAACAAAAUUUAUUGUUUUAAAAAAUAUUUUUAUUUCAAAUGUAAACAUUGAUAAAUAAAUAGAUUGAUGAUUGAAAUACACUUAUUAUUUAUUAUAUAUUUACUAUUAUGAAUAUCAUUUAAAUAAAAAAGUUUGCAAUGAAGAGUAUUACUGAUUAAUGGUUAUAUUAGCAAUAUGCUAAAAUUAAAGAAAUUGCAUUUAACUUAUUGACUCUUUUUACAAAAUUUUAUGUUUUGCUCAAUUCUGAAAACUUAUAAUUUAUAUGUUCCUUCUAAUUAUAUAUGAAAAAUCUCUUCUUAUAUACUUGCAAUCGCCAUGUAUUUUUAGUUGGAUAUAAAAUUUAUCGAAACUCACUAGUUAUGUUAAUCUUAUAAUUAUUUAAAGUCUCGAAUCAUUUAAUACAAUACAAAUUCUAGUUUGUGAUAUAGCUAAAUUUAAAUUUUAUGAAGAAUAAUUUUUUUUAUGGAAAGGGGAUUCGAACCCAUACUUUUAAGUAGAGAGAUCAUGUACUAACUAAUAAGCCAAAUGCUGCGAUGCUUAUAAACAAUAAUUUACUUUAAUUUAAAGUUGAAGGUUAAUAAGGAAAAAGAUAGAUAAAAAUUAGAUAGUUUAUGCAUUAAUUGUAACAUAUAAAGAAUUCCACUAAAAAAAGUGUAUAUACACAAUUAUUUAAACAAUUAUCUAGGUUUUUAUUUAAAUAUCAAAAGAAUAAGGAGAUUUGAACCAUCUCUUUUUUAAAAAUAACAUGAAGCUACUUUAAGCUAAAUACUCAAACUCAUUAUUAUAAAGUAAAAUUUUAAAGUACUAAUAUGAUCAAAUCAAAUUGAUUGUGGCUCUAACAUGAUAUUACUUUUGAGUCUUAAUCAAUAAAUCCACUCACCCGGAAAGUACAAACCCCAAGAAGUGGUGAAGCAGAGUGGAAACUGGCUUGAUGCUUCCUGAGCCAAUGCGCCUUUGACUAAAAGGAAUGAAACUUUUAAGUACUAAUAUGAUCAAAUCAAAUAAGUAGGUAAAAAUAUUCCAAUUCCCUAAUCAAAUGCCUUUAAAAAAAAAAUCAAAUAAGCAGGCACACAAUCUAACAUCAUAUUACUCAUGAAGUCCUGAUCAAUUGAUAAUAUUUAUACAUUUCCUAUGAUCAAUAUAACAUCAUUUUCUCCUCGAUCCUCCUUUUGUAGUAGAUCCUGUAUUGCUGCGCAUUAACUGUUUUUUAUAUUUUUCAGUGUUGGGGUGUUGCGGACUUCAUCUGUGCUUAAUCUCAGCUUAUAUUCUGCAUUGAUUUAUAAAGUGUUGCAAGUGAUGAAAUAGUUCUAUCGGUUGGGAUAUUGUUUUAUUUUUGUUUUCUUAGUUUGACUGGUUCAGUUACAGACCUUUUUUCUUAUAAUUGGGAGAGGGAAGAUUUGAACUCUAUUCUCUAUGCAUCAAUCAAUGAGUCAAAUAUUUAGGUGCAGAUUCAGUUAUAGACUUGUUUAUGUAUUAAUUUUUUUAAAAAAUGUAAUUUAUUGAAUUGCUUCUAACCCAACACGUCAUAGGUAGUCUUUAGCUAAUUGUCUUAAGACUCCCAAUAACAUAAAAGGUUUGGCUUGAGUGUAAACCUGUACAAUUGCCAACAUUCAGCCACACAAAAAGAAAUCGGUGGCUCUUACUAGAGAACUACCUUGCUACUUAAUAAAAUUGAAUUUUGAUUGAGCAAUCAAAAUUAAUAAAAAAACUAUAAAAUAUAGAAGAAAUUGUGAGAAGUAACCCUCCUCAUAAGCUCAAUUCAAAAAUAGGCGCAUUUUUAAAAAUAACUCUUAAAGAUAGGAUGCUUUAAAAAUAACUCUCUUUAUAAUUUCAACUAUUUUUAACCAAGUUUGACAAAAAUAUCCUUAAUAAAAUUACACGUUAUGAUGUUACACGUUAUAUACAAAAACAUGUUACAUACCAUGGGUUAAAAAAAAUUGUUACACACCAUGUUGAAAAAAAUAUUGUUGUAACAUGCCAUAUAUAAAAACAUGUUACAUGUCAUGUUGAAAAAAAAAAUAUUGUUAUUACACUCCAUGUACAAAAACAUGUUACACGUCACUAAUAAAAAAAGGUUGCUACAUGCCAUAUUAAAAAAAAUUAUUGUUACAUGCCAUAUUCAAAAAAAUUUUGUUAUACUUUAAUGUUUAAAAUGUUGUUUUUAUUUACGAACCAAAAUUUCAAAUCCUCUUAACUCUCUUCAAUUCUUUUUUUUUUUUGACAAUUUGGCACCGACUAAAGUGUUUUAAACAUAUUUUCAUAAAUCAAAACACAAAUUUUUCUUAUCUAAAACACCUAUUUCGACUAAAAAUAAAAAAAUUUCCAUUGAAAACCUAGGUUUAUAAAUUUCAAAUUCUUAAGUUUAUUGGUAUCUAGGUUCUAAAUUGAUCCAAUUAAAAGCUAUUUCAAACGUUUGUAAUUAUUUUUACUAUUUUAGUUUCAUCCAAAAGAUCUAAAAACCCUUUUUUACUUUUGUGAAGAAAAAAAAAAAGAAAACUCACCCCCAAGAGCUGGUGAAGGAUCGGUGGAGCCUCCUUUGAUGCCAAUCAGCCAAUGUGCCUUGAAUGGAAACAAUCAGAGCUGGUGAAGGAUCGGUGGAGCCUCCUUUGAUGCCAAUCAGCCAAUGUGCCUUGAAUGGAAACAAUCAAAGAGACUCAUAAAUUUAUAGCACUGAAGAAAAAUUCUUUUAAAGGCAUGAAGAAAGGAAUGAUAAGAGAAGAACAAAUUUUGGAUGUUUGCUUUGGCCUUAGGUUAUCCAAGUAUCAAGGAAAAGUAAUACAGCAUGUCUCAUAAAAUAAGAGUUCAAAGGAAUGCAUCAAGGCCUAUGCUGGAAAAAAUGCAUCUAAAAUAUUAUUAAUUACUCGGAUUUUGUUAAUUAGUGUUCUAAUUAAUUAAAAACAAUUAUUAAAAUGCUAUUUUUUACAUUUUACAACAAAAUAUAUUAUUUUAAAAAUAUUUUUUUUUUCAAAUACAAUCAUUGAUAAAUAAAUAGAUUGAUGAUUGAAAUACACUUAAUGAAAAUAUUACUUUUGAAAAUAACCUUACAAGCAUAUUUGCAAGAAAUCUUAGGAGUAAAUGUCACGACUCGGAACUCCCAUCGGGCCAAUGAUAACCGCCGCGACGUCUCGAUAGGCAUUCAUUACCCCGAAUGCCAAUCGAAACCCCACAAGGCUUAGCAUCAGCUUUCGCAUCUCUUCGGUGAGCAACAGUUAUUAAAUCUCACAUUUCAAGAAAUCAUAAGUAAUUUCCAAAUCAAAAUAAUAAAAUAUUAUUUUUUUAGCUCACAGGGGCAUUUUCGUCAUUUUUCUUCAAAAAUACCGAAACCCGUCAAAACAUGGUGUAAAAGAUAAAUAUGUUCAUACAUACUUUAAAUCAGAUAACUGAACUAUAAAAUUACUUUUACAAUGACACGUGGGCCCCCAACUGACCAAGAAGGUGUAGGGCUACAAACCCUUACUUUCUAGGAUGCAACUCCGAGAUUAAUUCUCGUCUUAAUCAACUAUCAACAAACUAUCCUGAGCUUGAAAAAUGGAUAGAAAGAGGGGUGAGAUUAUGAUUACAUAAUCCUAGUGAGUAAACAGAUACUAUCUAAACUAUCUAAAGGCGAGUAAAGGGAGACAAUUAAAAAUAGUUCAUUUCAGAAAAUUUUUCACAACACGAAUAUUCAUUUCAACCAAAUAAUCAAUAUGGCUCGUGAAUUUCUCAAAACUUGGCUCCUGCCAAAAUCAUUCUCGCGGGUACCUUCGUCAAGGUAUCCCACCGAGACCGCCAAGGUUGUUAAAUGUCCCAUACCCAUAAACAUGUUUUCGCAUCUGACACACAACCAUUCCUUGACGUUGGUUGAGUCUCACUCUCACGCGGUGGUUAACGUGAAGUACACUCAAAAAGCCCACCUCAGGAGAUACCCUACGCGCCUCUACGACCGAGGUGAGAAUAUAAAGGAGUUUACCAUGCCCCUCUAAUAGGUUGGUCCACGGAACCUCCCACCACUGCAGUAGCUAAUCUUUAAUCCACCAAUUGAUCAAAUCUCAAUGGCAUAGCAUGACAAUUACAUUACUAACCAAUUUAUCAAGGCAAAACAGACAGUUCAUAUUUUUCAACACAGGUAUAAAUUCAGCCAAUCAUGCCAAUUUAUCACAAGCCAUUUAAUUCAAAUCAUAAUUUACAAUAAAUCACAUGGUCUCCAAUUACUCAAAUGUUCAAAGCCAUCACUCAAUUUCAAGACAAUUUUAUGAAAUCAUUUUAUUAAAUCACAUUUUGUUUAUAAAACAUAAAGAUUUACCAUUUAAACUCAUUUUUCAUAAAAUCACAAAAUCGGAUAAAAAUCACUUUAGAUAAUUCAGAAGAUAAUAGGUUUACUCACAGUUCUAGGAGUAGAAAUACUCUUAUUUUCAGUUCGCGGGUACAGUCCUUUACCCGUAUCCAAUGGCUCACCACCUAGCCAUAAUCCAUGACACAUAUUCCAAUUAAAUUGUGUCUAACAGUCAUAAGCUAUUUCAGGCUCGAUAUAUAUAUGCAUGAUAUGAAAUGAAAAAUGCACGGGUAGCCAUAUAGACCUGGUAUUGGCCUAAGUCGAUUUUUCAUCCAAUAAAUUGGCCAAUGCGUCCAAUUUCACUCCAACUUGCUCCAUUUCUUUUCUAAUCCCUCAAUUCACCAAGCACAACUAAUUAACACACAAUUAGGCAAAUUUAUCUUCACUUUUCUUCUUGGAACUUUCGGCCAACAAUGGUACACUAACUCCGUGAUUUUUCCUACUUAAUUUUCUUUCCUAUAAUUNNNNNNNNNNNNNNNNNNNNNNNNNNNNNNNNNNNNNNNNNNNNNNNNNNNNNNNNNNNNNNNNNNNNNNNNNNNNNNNNNNNNNNNNNNNNNNNNNNNNNNNNNNNNNNNNNNNNNNNNNNNNNNNNNNNNNNNNNNNNNNNNNNNNNNNNNNNNNNNNNNNNNNNNNNNNNNNNNNNNNNNNNNNNNNNNNNNNNNNNNNNNNNNNNNNNNNNNNNNNNNNNNNNNNNNNNNNNNNNNNNNNNNNNNNNNNNNNNNNNNNNNNNNNNNNNNNNNNNNNNNNNNNNNNNNNNNNNNNNNNNNNNNNNNNNNNNNNNNNNNNNNNNNNNNNNNNNNNNNNNNNNNNNNNNNNNNNNNNNNNNNNNNNNNNNNNNNNNNNNNNNNNNNNNNNNNNNNNNNNCUUCUGGUUUGGCUGAUCACUAUGGGAGAAAUGGGCUGAUUUUUUGCCUUUUUAUAAAGAAAUAAUAAAAUAAUAAAAACAUGACACAUGGCAUUUCCUUAUUGGUUCAAAUUUUAAAUAUUUGACUUUUAAUUCUUUAAUUCUCCACCACACAUUUCUCAUGUUUAUCCAUUUCCACGAUGAAUAAAAUUCCCUGGUCUGGACAAAUGUCGAGGUGAAAAUUUACUGAUUUGCCCUUGAGGUGGUAAAAUUACCAUUUCGCCCCUAUACUCCAAAUUAUACCGAAAUUAAAAUUUUUCACUUCUAAACCUCAAAUCAUACUCCAAUACUCAAAUCAUACUCCAAUAAGUCAAAUGGAGCCAAAAAAUAUUUUCUAAAAAUUUUCAUUUUGUCCCAAAGUGGCAAAUGACCAUUUUGCCCCUAGAUAGUGAAAAUUUCGGUUUGACUCCAAAUUGAUCCUCGAACUCCGAAUUACCAUUUUGAGUCAUCCCUAAACUGUGAAACUCUUAAUUUCACCUUAAAAUUCCUAUUUGAACUAGUUCGAGGCUUAAUCGACUUAAUGGUACCAUUAUGGGCAAUAUCGUCUUUUAACGAUUCCUCGAACUUCCUAAAUAUACAAAUAUUCUAUUGAGCAUGUAAAUGACGUCGUAAUUAUUUUAUAGAACAAGGUUUGACAGUGACUAUGCCUCCACAUCUAAUUCUAUUUUUCCUUCAAGCAAUUGUUUAUUAGAUUCUCAAAGCAGAGCAUGGAAAACGAUGACCCCUUUUUUAUUUAUAUAAAGUAAAAAAGAAUUUUAUUUAACGAUGAGCCUAAUUCUAUUGUUCGUUCGUGUCUUUGUUUGUCUACAACUUACAUGAGAGUCUAAUUAUUUUUCCAAACUGUGAAAGGCCUUACAACUCUAAAAGGUACAACUUCAAUGGUAAUUAAAUUGGUCUAAGACUCCUUCAUAUAAAAACCAUAUUCCUUCGUAUAAAUAUAGAUCUCAAAUAAAUUUUCAAAUGAUUAGUGUAUUGGUGUUGGUAGAUUGCUCAAGCAAGCCUCUAUUUGAUCAUUUAUUUAUUGUAAAAUGUAAGUUUCUUUAUGUAAAUGAAAAAAAAAAUGUAUGAAUGAUAAUUCAUGGAUAUUUUAGUUGUAUUUUAUUAUUUUUUAUACAAUUAUAUGAAUUAUUAUAAAAAAAUUUCAAGUAGACCUAUCCAUGAGUUAGGUGGUUCACCAACUUGCGAGUUUGGCUUGAAUUGUACCCCUGAUAUUAUUAUUUUAUGAAAUAACAAUCUUUGGGCCAUACCCUAUACAACGAUAAGAGACACUUUUGAUAUUCUUGAAAGGAAAACCGAAAGGACCGUAGCUAACAGUAGCCAAUUGGCCUUAUGGUGUCCGUGGAUUACCAUUGGAGAUUGAGCACUUAAAAAACUUGCCUUGAUGUUUGAAGGUUUCCAUUCAUAGGAUUUUGAACUUUGAGAUUUUGACAAUUAGGAUUUGAAGGUAUAACAAUAUUUUUACUACUAGUUAAUUAGAUUUUCUAUGUUAAACAAACCAAACAUUUGAUUUUACUAUUGAAAAGAAUUUUCAAUUCCACUGCAAUAUGCUCAUGUUGAUUGCAUGAUUUCCCAACAAUCAUCACUAGACAACCUUUUAAUAUCAGGAGCAACAAUGGAAAGAUGAUUAACCAAGGGGCCUUUUCUCAUUUUUCCAACAUCCUUAACCACAUCAGCAUACGUUUUGCGCUGAUGAUAGGCCUCAAACCUAGAACCAUUUUGAAAACAAUCAGAAGACCUGAAAUUCUCUGUAAGAGCAGUCUUAUGAAAUUCGAGGAGAGAGUAUAAAUAGUUAUUCACCCCAUGUUGAGCAUUUUAAAGAAAGUCACAAGACUCUUGAAGCAGAAAUCAAAUGCUUUCUUAUGGAAAGACAAAGACACAAAAGCUACAAGAACUAAAGUUAAUUAGCUGGGACUAAGGUUUCCAUCCAAAGAAUGAAGGGGUUUAGCAUUUAGGCAUCAAGAAGAUCUCUCCUUGGAAUAAAGCCUGUAUGAUGAAAACCGUUUGGGCUAUUCUUAUUCAAUCAGGGUCACAACGUGUUGCUUGCAUCAAAUCCUAUAUAUGCACUAACAGGCAGAAGUCUGUGAUAUAUUCCUCUGUCUAGUGAUUGCUCAUGGGGGUGGAAGAAAUCUUGAAACUAAGAAACUAUAUCAAACCCUAUGUGCAAAACAUAAUAGAUGAUGGAAAACCCACAAAUAUUUGGUUUAAUUACUGCCAUCCUAAAUGGCCUUUGUUGCUUAUGCACUAUAAUUUCACGAUUCUCUUCCUUUUCGAGUAAAAGGGAUAACUGUACAUGAGUAUUUAACUCAUUGAUCAAUACAUGAUCCCCUACCUAAAAAAUAGAGUUUGAAUCUCUUUUUUCAAUUUACAAAAAUAAAAAAGAAAAAAGGGACAACUGUAGUUAAUGUUGUACUCUUCCCUUUCAAGCAAAAAGGAACAAUUGUCAUUAAUGCUGCAGGUUUGGUUUGGCCGCUGGCUAGAUCAGAUGAUUUAGUAGAGACUCAAUGCUCCUUUUAUGAUGUUAUUAUUCUUAAUCCGAGACGGAAAGAUGAAGCCAUCUGGACUUAGUCUAGCAAUGGAAUGGGAAGUUUACAAUCUCUAGUACUUGGAAUAUCGUUAGACAUAGAAAGCCAUCUUCUCUUGAGCCUUAUAGAGAAGAAACACUGCUUACCUGUUACUUAAAGAAGAAUACUAUCGUUCGAGAGAUUUUAAUAAUUUAGAUAGAUGACAUGAUUUUGAGGUCGAGACAGGAAAGGGGGCAUGAGAUCAGGGUAGGAGAUUUGCAUUCCUAGCUCCAUCUGUAUACAUGUACAAAUUAAAUUCAAAUUAUACCUAAAUGACUCUUAAUUAUCAAAUUAAUAUAUAAUUAAUUACAUUCAAUAAAAGAAACAAAUUAACAAGUCAACAUAUUAGUAUAUAGUUAAAAAUUGAUCAAAAUACCCACCAAGUUUUGUACUAAUGUAUUUUGUUUAAUUUAGUCUUUGUACACAAAAUCGAAAUAAUUUAAUCUCUUAAUUUUGAAAAUUACUUCAAUUUAGUCCAUUCCACUAACGUAAUCGAAUUUUACUAUUAAAAGGAUAAUGUCAACAUUGACAUCAGCGUUGAUGUGGCAUAUUUUGUUGGCGUGGCACCCACAUGAUGAAGUGGCAUGCCACAUGGCACCAACUUGAUGACAUGGUAGUGUCAUGUGACCCUAAUAUAUUGGCGUGUUAGUGUCACGUGGUAGAUAAAAAAAUUUUUGAAAAAAAUUUUUGUGCCACAUUAUAGGGACUAAAUUGAAUAAAAAUAUAUAAUACAUAGACUAAAUUGAACAAAAUUAAAAUGUUGAGAGACUCAAUUGAAAAAAAUAUUUGAAAAAUAUAAAUAUUUAAGUAGAUGAUAGAUAUACUUAUUAAUAAGUUAAAUAUUUAAGUGUAAAAUAUUUAUGGUGUUAUAAAUAUAUUUAAAUAUUUUCUCACUUGAUUAUUUAAUUGUAAAAUAUGUAUAUUAAUUUAUCUUCUUUACAAAAAUUAAGUUUGAAUUCUCCUUCUAUAAAAAAAAUCGAAAAAAAUUUUAUACCUAAAGUUAAAUUUAAAUAAAUAACUUGCAUUAUGUUGGAAUAAAUUAACAUAAAAAGACUAAAUAAUUUUUUUCAUUUAUUAUAAUAGUACAAAAAUUUGAAAUUUAUUUGACUUAAUAUUUAACUUGAGUUGAUCUCAAAUUAGCAAAAUAGGUUGAUUUAGUUUUUUCUUUUAAAAGAAUGAAGAAAGGAGAUAUGGAGUUAGCGAUCAUUAUAAAAAUGCUUCUUCAUUCUGACUUAUUUAAUUUAGGCAUGACAAACCUCUUAUUAUAACCCUAAAAUCUGAGUUACUCCACCUUUUUAAUUUUUUAUUUAUUUUUUAUGUUUUUAUUUUGUCUAAUAUUUCAGGUUAUAUUCUUUAGGUUGAAAUUUCUUGAAUUAAAAACUGUAUUUAUGGUUGAUAGAAUUAAAUAGAAUUGUAAAUAUUUAUAUAAUUUUAUUUUGUAUUUACAAAUUUUUUGUAGAUCUAAAUUAAUAAUCUAAAUUUAAAUUUAACAAAAUUUGAUUGUUUGAACUUAAAUAAAAUCGUUUUAUAAGAACCUUUGAGUAAAUUUAAAUAAAAAGUAAAUUAGGUAAGGGUUAAAUAAUUCCAAAAGAAUGAAUAUUUGCAAAUUGUGAAAGUUGCAAUUAAAUCAACCUAUUUUGCUUAUUUGAGUUCAAUUCAAGUUAAAAACUAAGUUAAAUAAAUUUUAAAAUUACCUANUACAAAAUUUUUGUAGAUCUAAAUUAAUAAUCUAAAUUUAAAUUUAACAAAAUUUGAUUAUUUGAACUUAAAUAAAUCGUUUUAUAAGAACCUUUGAGUAAAUUUAAAUAAAAAGUAAAUUAGGUAAGGGUUAAAUAAUUCCAAAAGAAUGAAUAUUUGCAAAUUGUGAAAGUUGCAAUUAAAUCAACCUAUUUUUGCUUAUUUGAGUUCAAUUCAAGUUAAAAACUAAGUUAAAAAAAUUUUAAAAUUACUAUUAUUAUAAAUAGAAUAAAAAAAUUUAUUUAGUCUUUUUACAUUAUUGUAUUCCAACAUAAUGCAAGUUGUUCAUCUAAAUUUAUCUUUAGGUAUAAAUUUUUUUUCAAAUUUCUUUUAUAGAAGAAGAAUUCAAACUUACUUUUUGCAAAGAAGAUAAAUUAAUAUACAUAUCUUAGAAUCAAAUGAUUAAGUAAAAAUAUUUAUAUAUAUUUUUAACACUAUAAAUCUUUUUCACUCAAAUAUUUGACUUAUUAAUAAAUAUAUCUAUCAUCUAUUUCAAAAUUUGUAUUUUUCAAAUAUUUUUUAGAUUUAGUCCCUCAGCAUCUCAAUUUUGUUCAAUUUAGUCCAUGUACUAUAUAUUUUUGUUCAAUUUAAUUCAUGUAUUAUAUAUUUUAGUUCAAUUUAAUCUCUAUGACGUGGGACAAAAAAAAUUUUAGAAAAUUUUUAAUUUGUCAUAAGGCACUAACACGUCAAUGUGUCAGUAUCAUGUCAUCAUAUUAGGGUCACAUGGCACUGUCACGUCAUUAAGUUGGUGUUACGUGGUAUAUCACGUCAUCAAAAUAUAUCAUGUCAGUGUUGACAUCAUUCUUUCAACAGCAAAAUUAGAUGUCAUUAGUAGGAAGGAUUAAAUUAAAGUAAUUUUCAAAAUUAAGAGAUUAAAUGGUUUCGAUUUUUAAUAUGGGGACUAAAUUGAAUAAAAUGCAUAGAUACAAGGAUUUGGUGGGCAUUUUGACUAUUAAAAAUUUUAACUUAAAGUCAGAUCAUUAAUUAUUGGCAAUAUAAAAGUCAAAUAAAAAAAUUAAAGAAUUUACAAAGUCAAGAACAAUGAAAGAAUUUACGAAAAGUCUAAGAAUGAUAUAUUCAAUUUUGAGCACAUCCAAAACGAAAAUGAAUUUUGUUUUGAAAUAUUCUUGGUCUUCUUUCUAAAGCUUUCAGACUUGACCUGGAAUUGAUCCAAACGACCCUCUCCUCUCUAUAUAAACACGAAUAUUGAACCAACAGAAGCGCGCAAACCCAUUAAAGAUCUCGAGAUUCUUUGUGAAAAAAUGAAAGCUUCAAGCUCUAUACUAUCCAUCGUUUCGAUCCUUUUGUUAUCAAUUUCAUUGGUAACAUCAGAAUCAGCUCUUGAUAAUUUCCUGCAAUGCCUUCCUCAACAUUCCAACCCCUCUAAUCCAAUCUCUGAUGCCAUAUACACUCCCAACAAUGCCUCCUUUCAAUCUAUUUACGAGUUACGUGCAAAUAACCUUAGAAUCCUAUCUUCUGUAACCUCCAAACCAGUGGCCAUUAUCACAGCCCUGCAUGAAUCCCAUGCUCAAGCCACUGUCAUUUGCGCCAAGCGCCAUGGCUUCCAAGUAAGAAUUCGAAGCGGGGGUCACGAUUAUGAGGGCCUAUCCUAUACAUCAGACGUCCCAUUCGUCAUUCUUGAUAUGUUUAAUCUUAGGUCUAUACAGAUUGAUAUGGCAAGCGAGACCGCAUGGGUUCAGGCAGGGGCGACCACAGGCGAACUGUAUUACCGGAUAGCCGAGAAAAGUAAAGUCCAUGGCUUCCCAUCUGGAGUUUGCACUACUCUUGGCAUUGGUGGACACUUCAGUGGAGGUGGCUACGGCCCCCUGAUGAGAAAAUACGGUCUUUCUAUCGAUAACGUCAUUGACGCACAAUUGAUCGAUGCCAAUGGUCGAAUCCUUAACAGAAAGUCCAUGGGAGAAGAUGUGUUUUGGGCAAUCCGAGGAGGUGGAGGAACUAGCUUUGGAAUCAUCCUCUCAUGGACGAUCAAGCUGGUUCGUGUUCCUGCUAAGGUGACUGUUUUCAACGUGCAGAGGACUUUGGAUCAAGGUGCAACAGAUCUUUCUUAUCGUUGGCAACAAGUUGCCCCUAACCUGCCUAAAGAUCUCUUCCUCAGACUUCAGGCUGAUCCUAUAACUGGAACUGGCAGCGGCAACAAAACCAUACGAGUUUCAUUCAUCGCCCAUUUUCUUGGACAAACUGAUAGACUUAUCCAACUGAUGAACGCCAACUUCCCUGAAUUGGGUUUGCAGCGAAGUGACUGCAUUGAAAUGAGUUGGGUCGAAUCCACCCUCUUCUGGGCCGGCUUCCCCAAUGGAACUUCCAUUGACGUCUUGCUCAAUAGAGUGCAAGAGGACAGAGUCUUCUACAAGACUAAGUCCGAUUACUACAAACAAGUGAUUCCCAAGGAAGGCUUGGAAACCUUAUGGGAAAUCUUGAUGGACAUAGAGGACAUUUUUAUCCAACUGAAUCCUUAUGGUGGAAGAAUGGAAGAGAUCUCAGAGUCGGAGACAGCAUUUGCACAUAGAGCUGGAAACCUUUACAAAGUACAAUAUACCGUGCUGUGGUCGGAGUCUGACGGAGGCAUCAGCGCUGAAGAGCGGUACGUUGAACUGUCAAGAAGAUUGUACAGUGCAAUGACUCCAUACGCAUCCAGCAACCCAAGGGAGGCAUUCAUCAACUACAGAGAUCUUGACAUUGGCAGCAACGAAAGCAACAACACAGAUUUUGCAGUUGCCAGCGUUUAUGGAGCUAAGUAUUUCAAGAACAAUUUCCUGAGAUUGACACGUGUGAAAGCCUUGAUAGACCCUGAAAAUUUCUUCAAAAAUGAACAAAGCAUUCCGCCAUUGCCGACUCACAAGUUCUAAUGAGGAGGAUAACCUGUGCUGCCCUUGUCAAACGUCACCGCUCCCAACCGUUAUAUUUUGUACGACCCUACAAUAAAAGAAAAUAAAAGCUUGUGUGAAAUAUCUUCUGAAUUUUUAUUUCUUAAAGGCAAGACUCGACUUUUUGCCAUUUAUUUGUUAUUAUUGCUUGUAAUUAACACCAUAUUGUUCUAUAUCUGUAAUAAAGAAUAAUUUAAUAUUUGUGUAAUUCAACAAGAAGAUAUUUCUAUGUAAUAAAGAAUAUGUGAUUUGAUCAUCUAUUAUUUUUUUUGUUCACAGUCAAAAUAAGAUAAUUUUAUUAAUAUAAAAAAUGAUGCAAUUGUUCAGAUCUCGAUAUAAUUAAGAUAUGUAAACAAAUAAAAAUUAGAGCCUCAUUGGAAACAUAAAAAAUCAAGACAAAUAAAUAGUUCUUAAUUAUUUAACACUAUCAUUUUCUAUUGCAAUAAAAAAAAUGAUUAGGUCAUCUAUUGUUUCUUUUAGUCAGAAUAAAAUAAUUUUAUUCAGAUCAAAAAAUUGAAGUAAUAGCUUAUAUCUCAAUAUAAUUGAGAUAAAUAAACAAUUAAAAAUCAGAUAUUUAUUGAUAUAUAAAGAAUCAAAACAAAUAAAUAACUCUUAUUCCAUGCAGUCAGUAAACGUAAAACCUUUCUUUAUAAUAAAAUAUAUAUGAUUGGAUCAUCUAUUUUCUUUUAGUCAAAACAAGAUAAUUUUAAUCAUUAAUAUAAAAAAUUGAUACAAUUGUUCAUUUCUCAAUGUAAUUAAGGUAAGUAAACAAUUAAAAAUUAGAGACUCAUUCGAAAUAUAAAAAUUCAAGACAAAUAAAUAUAUAGCUCGUAUUUCACAUUAUCAUUUUUUUGUAAUAAAGAAUAUAUGAUUCGAUCAUCUAUUAUUUCUUUUCGUCAAAAUAAGAUAAUUUGAUUAAUAUAAAAAAAUUGAUACAAUUACUGAUACCUCGAUAUAAUUGAAAUAAAUAAAUAAUUAAAAACACGUUUUUAUGUAACUAAAUUUGACUAAAACUAAUUUAAAGAGCUUGAUAUAUUUAUGGCCUUUGGUCCUUAAAAAAGAAGGAUAAGAUUGGCGGCUAGCCUCUUGGGCAAGUCAAAUCCAGCGGUGAAGUACGUAGCCAAUUCAUAGUUUAUCCCAUUUCUCUCUUGCAUUUUCUCUCCAUCCAAAAAGGAUGACCACAACAUAAUUAUCCAAUUCCAAACUCAAAAUUUCCUUUAUAAGAUAUAUAUGAAAAAUAUUAGACCUAGCUAUUUCUUGCUUGAAAUUCCUGUUCGAGAAACAUUGACUAUACCCAAAGUCAAAAGUCCAGGUUUCUUAUGGAUUGAAAACGUGUACCAUCAAACAUACCAGAAAGAUGAAAUUGUCUGAUUCACAAGCUAACGAACGAGAAGAUUGAAUUUGAACCUAUAUAUAUGUUCUGCACUGAUCUAAAAAGCCCUGGAUGUACGCUGUUGACAAUAUGAGUGUUGCAGUAUAUUUUUCUUCAAAGGCAUUGAAAUUUGUAUAGAGUCAUUAAAAGAGAGAUUGUUCCCAAUGAACAGAACCCUGGAUAUUUUGCAACUUAGCAUACAGCAUAUCUUUAUGUAACACCUCUGAUUAGACUAAAUCGUCUGUUAGAGAAUUUGUCUCUCUAAAUAUGUGAACGAAAGGAGAAACUUGUAUUGUUUCUCUUACAUUUCUCAAUGCAAUUUGCAAUGUGAAUCAUUCAUUAGGACUUUCGAGAAUGAUUACUGAGCCAUAAGAUUGUGUGUUUUCGAGUCACUUUCAAUAAUGAAAAAGUGCAUCAAAUCCUAUAUAUGCACUAACAGGCAGAAGUCUGUGAUCUAUUCCUCUGUCUAGUGAUUGCUCAUGGGGGUGGAAGAAAAUCUUGAAACUAAGAAACUAUAUCAAACCCUAUGUGCAAAACAUAAUAGAUUAUGGAAAACCCACAGAUUUUUGGUUUGAUUACUGCCAACCUAAAGGGCCUUUGUUGCUUAUGCACUAUAAUUUCAUGAUCUCUUCCUUUUCAAGUAAAUGGGGUAAAUGCACUCGAAUAUUUAACUCAUUGAUUGAUACAUGAUCUCUAUUUAAAAAAUAAUAUUUAAAUCCCCUUCUUCAAUUUAAAAAAAAAAUAAAAGGGACAACUGUAGUUAAUGUUGCACUCUUCCCUUUCAAGCAGAAAGGAACAAUUGUCAUUAAUGCUGCAGGUUUGGUUUGGCCUCUGGCUAGAUCAGAUGAUUUAGUGGAGACUCAAUGCUCCUCAUAUGAUGCUAUUAUUCUUAAUCCGAGACGGAAAGAUGAAGCCAUCUGGACUUAGUCUAGCAAUGGAAUGGGAAGUUUACAAUCUCUAGUACUUUGAAUAUCGUUAGACAUAGAAAACCAUCUUCUCUUGAGCCUUAUAGAGAAGAAACACUGCUUACCAGUUACUUGAAGAAGAGUACUAUCGUUCGAAAGAUUUUAAUAAUUUAGAUAGAUGACAUGAUUUUGAGGUCGACACAAGAAAGGGGCCAUGAGAUCAGGGUAGGGGUUUUGCAUUCCUAGCUCCAUCUUUAUACAUGUACAAAUUAAAUUCAAAUUAUACUUAAAUGACUCUUAAUUAUCAAAUUAAUAUAUAAUUAAUUACAUUCAAUAAAAGAAACAAAUUAGCAAAUCAACAUAUUAGUAUAUAGUUAAAAAUUAGUCAAAAUACCCACCAAGUCUUGUACCCAUGCAUUUUAUUCAAUUUAGUCUAUGUACUCAAAAUUGAAAUAAUUUAAUCUCUUGAUUUUAGAAAUUGUUUCAAUUUAGUUCCUCUCACUAACGGUAUCAAAUUUUAUUGUUAAAAGCAUGAUGUUAGCACUGACAUCAACGUUGAUGUGGCAUAUUUUGCUGGUGUGGCACCAACUUGAUGGCAUGGCAGCGCCACAUGACCCUAAUAUGUGACGUGUCAGUGCUACAUGAUAGAUAAAAAAAUUUUCGAAAAAAUUUUUUAUGCUACGUCAUAAAGACUAAAUUAAACAAAAAUAUAUAGUACAGGGACUAAGUUAAACAAAAUUGAGAUUUUGAGGGGCUAAAUUGAAAAAAAUAUUUGAAAAAUAUAAAUCUUUAAGUAGAUGAUAGAUAUACUUAUUAAUAAGUUAAAUAUUUAAGUAUAAAAGAUUUAUGGUGUUAUAAAUAUAUAUAAAUAUUUUCUUUAUUUUUUGAUCGUAGAAUAUGUAUAUUAAUUUAUCUUUUUUACAAAAAUUAAGUUUGAAUUCUCUUUCUAUAAAAAAAUUUCAAAAAAAUUUCAUACCUAAAGUUAAAUUUAAAUAAAUAACUUGCACUACAUUCAAAUAAAAUAAUAUAAAAAAACUAAAUAAAAUUUUUUUCUAUUUAUAAUAGUAUAAAAAUUUGAAAUUUAUUUGACUUGACUUUUAACUUGAGUUGAACUCAAAUUAGCAUGAUAAGUUGACUUAGUUUUUUUAAAAAAAAAAUGAAAAAGUGAGAUAUAGAGUUAGCAAUUAUUAUAAAAAUAAUUCUUCAUUUUGACUUACUUAAUUUGGGCAUGACAAACUUCUUAUUAUAAUCAUAAAAUCUGAGUUACUCCACCUCUUCAAUUAUUUAUUUUUUUAUGUUUUUGUUUUAUCUAAUAUUUCAGGUUAUAUUCUUUAGGUUGAAAUUUCUUGGAUUAAAGACUAUAGUUAUGGUUGAUAGAGUUAAAUAUAAUUAUAAAUAUUUAUACAAUUUUAUAUUGUAUUUACAAUUUUUUUGUAGAUAUAAGUUAAUAAUUUAAAUUUAAAUUUAACAAAAUUUGAUUAUUUGAACUUAAAUAAAUCGUUUUAUAAGAACCUUUGAGUAAAUUUAAAUAAAAGUAAAUUGGGUAAGGGUUAAAUAAUUCCAAAAGGAUGAAUAUUUGUAAAUUGUAAAAGUUGUAACUAAAUCAACCUAUUUUACUUAUUUGAGUUUAAUUCAAGUUAGAAACUAAGUCAAAUAAAUUUUAAAUUUUUAUACUAUUAUAAAUAGAAUAAAAAAAUUUAUUUAGUCUUUUUACAUUAUUUUAUUCUAACAUAAUGCAAGUUGUUCAUCUAAAUUUAUCUAUAGGUAUGAAAUUUUUUUCAAAUUCUUUUUAUAGAAGAAAAAUUCAAACUUAAUUUUUGCAAAGAAGAUAAAUUUAUAUACAUAUUUUAGAAUCAAAUAAUUAAGUAAGAAAAUAUUUAUAUAUUUUUUAACAUUAUAAAUCUUUUACACUUAAAUAUUUAGCUUAUUAAUAAGUAUAUCUAUUAUCUACUUAAAGAUUUGUAUUUUUCAAAUAUUGUUUCAAUGUAGUCCCUCAACAUCUCAAUUUUGUUUCAUUUAGUCUAUGUACUAUAUAUUUUUGUUCAACUUAAUCUUUAUGAUGUGACACAAAAAAAAAUUUUAAAAUUUUUUAUUUGCCACAUGGCACUGACACGUCAGCAUGUCAGUGCCACAUCAUCAUAUUAGGGCCACAGGGCACAGCUAGGUCAUCAUGUGAGUGUCAUGUCAUCAGAAUAUGUCAUAUCAGUACUGAUGUCAACGCUAACGUCAUCCUUUUAACGGUAAAAUUAAAUAUCAUUAGUAAGAAGAACUAAUUGAAGUGAUUUUCAAAACUAAGGAACUAAAUUGUUUCGAUUUUUAGUACAAGGACUAAAUUGAAUAAAAUGCAUAGGUAUAGGGACUUGGUGGGUAUGUUAGCCUUUAAAAAUUUUAACUUAAAGUUAGAUCAUUAAUUAUUGGCAAUAUAUAUGUCAAAUAAAAAAAUUAGAGAAUUUACAAAGUCAAAAACAAUUAAAGAAUUUACGAAAAGUCUAAGAAUGAUAUAUUCAAUUUUGAGAACACAAAUCGUCUGCCCCUGUUUUGUGCCUCGUUUAGUGCCCCUCUUAUAACUUGAUGUCAUGUGUAUGAUAGGUUUUUAUUUGUUAACGUCAGCUGUUAGGUCAUUUGUACUGCCGUUAAGUAUAAUUUCAGUCUAGGCUAACAUCAACACUUUACAGCCUCCUCUUUUCCACACUUCUCUCUUCAAAUCUUUGAUCAAAGUCAAGGAACAUUUUUACAUAAAGUUUUUUUUUCUGUUUUCUCUUCAUAUAUAUUCUGAUGAUGGUAAUAAAAAAUUAAAGAAGGAGAAGAUAAUUAAGAAGAAGAAGAAGAAGAAAAAGAGGCAAAAUGUAUAUUCUGCCAUUAGUUGUUAUUGUUUCCAGGGCGGUUAGAUAUUAACCUCAGUCUUAUUUGACAUAAUGUUGUCUUUGAUCUUCCUAUGAUGCCCAUCAACAUUCUCAUACUCCUGUGCCAAUAAGCAUCCAUCAACAUUCUCAUACUCCUGUAGCGAUCAGCAUCCAUAUCUGAGGUAAAAGACUUUUGGGUACUCUUUUUUGUCCAAUCAUGCUUGCCAGAGUCAAAAUCUUCAGAUGAAUAAGAGCACUUAUGUUUGCUCUUCUUAUGAUGCCUAUAAAACUCUGUUUUUUUCUUAGAAAUUAUGAAAUUUAUUGAGUAAUCGUAAAAUCGCAUUACUUUGAUUAAUGAGUGAUCAACUAGAGCAUCGAUUAUAUUUAAUUUAAUAUACAAAAAGUUUGUAUCGACAAUCCAUCCUUAGACUCAAUUAUACAACAAAAAAUUAUGUUUUCAAUUCUUACUCAAUCUUAUAAAUUAACUGAUGAGUUAAUCUGCAGCGUCUUUAAAUGAAUAAGAAUAUUUGUGUCUUCUCUUACUCUAAUGCUUAUCGAAAUUUGAUUAUCAAAAGAGCAUGUUUUAGAAUAAUUUUACCUCUUUUUCUUCUUCUUCUUAGUUAUCUUCUCCUUGUUUGAUUUUUUAUUACCAUCAUCAGAAUAUACAUGCAAAGCAAACAGAAAAAAAACUUAUGUAAAAAUGUUCCUUGACUUCGAUCAAAGAUUUGAUGAGGGAAGUGUGGAAAAGAGGAGGCUGUAAAGUGUUAAUAUUAACCUAGACUACUAAACGGCAGUACAAAUGACCUAACAGCUGACGUUAACAAAUCAAAACCUAUCAUAGACGUGGCAUCAAAUUAUAAGAGGGGCACAAAACAGGGGCAGACGAUUUGUGUUCCAAUUUCGGGCACAUCCAGAACGAAAAUGAAUUUUGUUUUGAAAUAUUCUUGGUCUUCUUUCUAAACCUUUCAGACUUGAUCUGGAAUUGAUCCAAACGACCCUCUCCUCUCUAUAUAAACACAUAUAUUGAACCAACAGAAGUGCACAAGCCCAUUAAAGAUCUCGAGAUUCUUUGUGAAAAAAUGAAAGCUUCAAGCUCUAUACUAUCCAUCGUUUCAAUGCUCUUGUUAUCAAUUUCAUUGGUAACAUCAGAAUCAGCUCUUGAUAAUUUCCUGCAAUGCCUUCCUCAACAUUCCAACCCUUCUAAUCCAAUCUCUGAUGCCAUAUACACUCCCAACAAUGCCUCCUUUCAAUCUAUUUACGAGUUACGUGCAAAUAACCUUAGAAUCUUAUCUUCUGUAACCUCCAAACCAGUGGCCAUUAUCACAGCCCUGCAUGAAUCCCAUGCUCAAGCCACUGUCAUUUGCGCCAAGCGCCAUGGCUUCCAAGUAAGAAUUCGAAGCGGGGGUCACGAUUAUGAGGGCCUAUCCUAUACAUCAGACGUCCCAUUCGUCAUUCUUGAUAUGUUUAAUCUUAGGUCUAUACAGAUUGAUAUGGCAAGCGAGACCGCAUGGGUUCAGGCAGGGGCGACCACAGGCGAACUGUAUUACCGGAUAGCCGAGAAAAGCAAAGUCCAUGGCUUCCCAUCUGGAGUUUGCACUACUCUUGGCAUUGGUGGACACUUCAGUGGAGGUGGCUACGGCCCCCUAAUGAGAAAAUACGGCCUUUCUAUCGAUAACGUCAUUGACGCACAAUUGAUCGAUGCCAAUGGUCGAAUCCUUAACAGAAAGUCCAUGGGAGAAGAUGUGUUUUGGGCAAUCCGAGGAGGUGGAGGAACUAGCUUUGGAAUCAUCCUCUCAUGGACGAUCAAGCUGGUUCGUGUUCCUGCUAAGGUGACUGUUUUCAACGUGCAGAGGACUUUGGAUCAAGGUGCAACAGAUCUUUCUUAUCGUUGGCAACAAGUUGCCCCUAACCUGCCUAAAGAUCUCUUCCUCAGACUUCAGGCUGAGCCUAUAACUGGAACUGGCAGUGGCAACAAAACCAUACGAGUUUCAUUCAUCGCCCAUUUUCUUGGACAAACUGAUAGACUUAUCCAACUGAUGAACGCCAACUUCCCUGAAUUGGGUUUGCAGCGAAGUGACUGCAUUGAAAUGAGUUGGGUCGAAUCCACCCUCUUCUGGGCCGGCUUCCCCAAUGGAACUUCCAUUGACGUCUUGCUCAAUAGAGUGCAAGAGGACAGAGACUUCUACAAGACUAAGUCCGAUUACUACAAAAAGGUGAUUCCUAAGGAAGGCUUGGAAACCUUAUGGGAAAUCUUAAUGGACAUAGAGGACAUUGUUAUCCAACUGAAUCCUUAUGGUGGAAGAAUGGAAGAGAUCUCAGAGUCGGAGACAGCAUUUGCACAUAGAGCUGGAAACCUUUACAAAGUACAAUAUACCGUGCUGUGGUCGGAGUCUGACGGAGGCAUCAGCGCUGCAGAGCGGUACGUUGAACUGUCAAGAAGAUUGUACAGUGCAGUGACUCCAUACGCAUCAAGCAACCCAAGGGAGGCAUUCAUCAACUACAGAGAUCUUGACAUUGGCAGCAACGAAAGCAACAACACAGAUUUUGCAGUUGCCAGCGUUUAUGGAGCUAAAUAUUUCAAGAACAAUUUCCUGAGAUUGACACGUGUGAAAGCCAUGAUAGACCCUGAAAAUUUCUUCAAAAAUGAACAAAGCAUUCCACCAUUGCCAUCUCACAAGUUCUAAUGAGGAGGAUAACCUGUGCUGCCCUUGUCAAACGUCACCGCUCCCAACCGUUAUAUUUUCUACGACCCUACAAUAAAAGAAAAUAAAAGCUUGUGUGAAAUAUCUUCUGAAUUUUUAUUUCUUAAAGGCAAGACUCGACUUUUUGCCAUUUAUUUGUUAUUAUUGCUUGAAAAUUAAUACCAGAUUGUCCUAUAUCUGUAAUAAAGAAUAAUUUAAUAUUUGGGUAACUCAGCAAGAAGAUAUUUCUAUGUAAUAAAGAAUAUGUGAUUUGAUCAUCUGUUAUUUUUUUUGUUCACAGUCAAUAUAAGAUAAUUUUGUUUAUAUAAAAAAUGAUACAAUUUUUCAAAUCUCGAUAUAAUUAAGAUAAGUAAACAAAUAAAAAUUAGAGACUCAUUGGAAACAUAAAAAAUAAGACAAAUAAAUAGCUCUUAAUUAUUUAACACUAUAAUUUUCUAUUGUAAUAAAAAAAUGAUUCGGUCAUUUAUUAUUUCUUUUAUUCAGAAUAAAAUAAUUUUAUUAAUAUCAAACAUUGAUGUAAUAGCUUUAAUCUCAAUAUAAUUGAGAUAAAUAAACAAUUAAAAAUGAGAUAUUCAUUGAAAUAUAAAGAAUCAAAACAAAUAAAUAACUCUUAUUCCAUGCUGUCAUUAAACGUAAAAUAUUUCUUUAUAAUAAAAUAUAUAUGAUUCGAUCAUCUAUUUUCUUUUAGUCAAAACAAGAUAAUUUUAAUCAUUAAUAUAAAAAAUUGAUACAAUUGUUCAUUUCUCAAUGCAAUUAAGAUAAGUAAACAAUUAAAAAUUAGAGACUCAUUGGAAAUAUAAAAAUUCAAGACAAAUAAAUAUAUAGCUCGUAUUUCACACUAUCAUUUUCUUGUAAUAAAGAAUAUAUGAUUCAAUCAUCUAUUAUUUCUUUAGGUCAAAAUAAGAUAAUUUGAUUAAUAUAAAUAAAUUGAUACAAUUACUGAUACGUCGAUAUAAUUGAAAUAAAUAAAUAAUUAAAAACACGUUUUUAUGUAACUAAAUUUGACUAAAACUAAUUUAAAAAGCUUGAUAUAUAUAUUUAUGGCCUUUGGUCCUAAAAAAAGAAGGAUAAGAUUGGCGGCUAGCCUAUUGGGCAAGUCAAAUCUAGCGGUGAAGUACGUAGCCAAUUCAUAGUUUAUCCCAUUUCUCUCUUGCAUUUUCUCUUCAUGCAAAAAAGGAUGACCACAACAUAAUUAUCCAAUUCCAAACUUAAAAUUAAUUUCUUUUAUAAUACAUAUGAAAAAUACUAGCCCUAGCUAUUUCUUGCUUGAAAUUCCUGUUCGAGAAACAUUGACUAUAACCAAAGUGAAAAGUCCAGGUUUCAUAUGUAUUGAAAACGUGUACCAUCAAACAUACUAGAAAGAUGAAAUUGUCUAAUUUGCAAGCUAACGAACGAGAAGAUUGAUCUAAAAGGCCCUGGAUGUACGCUGUUGACAAUAGAAGGGUUGCAGUAUAUUUUUCUUCGAAGGCAUUGAAAUCUGUAUAGUCAUUAAAAGAGAGAUUGUUUCCAAUGAACAGGACCCUGGAUAUUUUGCAACUUAGCAUACAGCAUAUCUCUAAGUAACACCUCUGAUUAGACUAAAUCGUCUGUUAGAGAAUUUGUCUCUCUAAAUAUGUGAGCGAAAGGAAAAACUUCUAUUGUUUCUCUUACAUUUCUCAAUGCAAUUUGCAAUGUGGACCAUCCAUUAGGACUUUCGAGAAUGAUUACUGAGCCAUAAGAUUGUGUUUUUUCGAGUCACUUUCAAUAAUGAAAAAGUGUGAGGAGACCCAAGAAGUGGAGCAAAAGAAUAGAAGUCCUUCCAAAAUGAGCAGAAAUUCUGCCUAAUCAGAAUCCUCCGUACCAACGAAUUUGGAGAAAAACUCUACCACGUUACCUGUGCGAGAGAGAAGAAGAAGAAAGAAGGGUUGCAAUACUAACAAGUUUGUUUUAGAUUAAUUGCAUGUGCAAUUGAAACAUCUGAAUUGCAAAUUGGUUUGGGCUCCAGUACAUCAGUUUUCAUAUACCGAAGAUGACACAGUCAAAAUUGUGAGCUUGAAGCUAGCCUUGCAUUCCAGAACCAAAAGAAGAAAAAACAGAGGGCGGGGGGCGGCUUGCCUUACGUCGAGAUGCUAGGAGAAAUAGUAACCUUUGAGAUCAUAUAUCGUAAUUUCAUAUACCAUUUGUAAUUAAAGUACCCAUUUGAAAAGAAAAAUACUAAUUAGAAGGUCAAGUCACUUAAUUACGCAACUAAUUAAUGGGGCUCAAGCUAGAAUUAUCGCAAUUAAUUACUAAUCUUUAGUUGCUUUUAUUUUAGUCUACACAAGAAACAGUAUAAUAUUACAUUAACAAUUUGAAAAUAUUAAUUCCAUUCCACCAACGCAUCCAGACGGAACCCUUUGACGAAACUUAAACAUCUAUAAAAGAAGGUUUAAAAACUUACGAAAGUUAUUUCUACAAACCAUUCUCCUCAAAUUUCCUUUCCAAUAAUAAUAACACUUGAAAAUUUCAAAUUCAUUUCUCCUAUUUUCGCUUUUUUUUUCUUUCUCUGACUCAACUUGGUCAUUGUCAUGUAGGGCCAAUUUUCUCCAGGUUAAAUUGCCCUAAUUUGCCUUAAAUAGUUCCACGUUUGAUCAUUGCCCGAUCAUUUGAAGCUUAAAUUAAGUAUGAUGAAAACGUUCUGGAAAACAUUGGAAUGUGAAAGUGUUUGGUAGCGUGGAGGAGAAUAUAUAGAGACUUGAGAAAAGGAUUGGAGAAAUAGAUGAGACAGGAAACACCAUAGAGAUAGAGGAGAGGGAGAUCGAACAAAAAAAGUGAUUAAUUGGAGAGUUUGCGGACAUCUCAGAGGAAUAAAGAAUCAAUGUGGAGAUAAAAAUCUAAGGAGAGGUGGGUGAAAGAGAGAGAUAGGAAUAUAAGAUAUUUUCAGAGUAAGGCCAAAGAAUCAAUGUGGAGAUGGAAAUCUCCGGAGAGGUGGGUGAAAAAGAGAGAUAGGAAUAUAAGAUAUUUUCAGAGUAAGGCCAAAGAAUCGAUGUGGAGAUAGAAAUCUAAGGAGACGUAGGUGAAAGAGAGAGAUAGGAAUAUAAGAUAUUUUCAGAGUAAGGCCAGGGUGAGAAAUAAGAGGCAUAAUAUUUUGAUAUGAAUGUGUUUACUGUUAACUGGGGUAAGAUUAUUAAGGUCUGCAAAAAGCCACUUCCAAGACUAGGGUAAGAUUUGUGAAUGUAGGUGUUACCAACUAGUUGUAAUGCUUGAGUAUAUUAAUAAAACCAUUGGCUUAUAUAUAUAUAUAUAAAAAAAAGUUACUGCAUAACCCUAUUAAAUUUUUUUUUGACUCCCAAUAUCUACUUACAGUACAACAUUUUUUACCUUUGGUUGCCAAAAAACUUACAACUAUAGGUGAAAAAUAUGUUGCCUUAGGUUAAGGCUACACUUAGAAAAAGUACAAUCUUAAUCAAUGAAUGGAAAAGUUUAGCUGCACUUUUAAUGAAAUUUUACUACAAAAUUAAUAUGCAACCAUAUAGUAUAUGGUUGCAAUCUUAAAUCAUAUGGCAAUAUUUAAACUGUGUAGUUAAAAAGUAUAUGAUAGAAACACAUAUAACCUUCUAAUAUGCAACAAAAAAGUGUAAAUUUUACAGCAACCUAGAGAGUAUAAACCAUGCAAAUUUUACAAAAAUUUAUAGCAAAUAUAUAUUUUUUUUAAUGACAUUCUAUUAUUGAAUAGAAAACAAAGCCAAAGUAACAAAGACAGGAACAGGAACAAAGAAAUAAAGACAACAAACCUAGAAAUAGAGACAACAUCCAGAGAGCACAAGGCUCAGCCCCAGGAACAGGGCACAAAGAAAACCAAAAACAAAUGGAGAAACAAAAUAGAACAACCAUCAAAAGGAAGUAGAAAUCAAAUCCUGAACAAACACAAAACAGGAAGCCAAAGAGGAGCAGGAAAGCAGAUCUGACAAACAUCACCAGUCAGAAUCCCAAAAUAGUUUGCUGCCAUUUGGAUAAGAAUAUAUUGCAGAAGAGGCAUUACUUGGUAUCCUACAAGUUACAAUAUUAAUCAUUGCUUCAACUAGUUUAGUCUAGUUGGGUGUUUAAAGGAAAGUAAGUAUAUUGAUCACAAGACAUUUCAAAAAUCCAAUAUCAUAAUUAACAAGUAUAAGUUAACAACUAAGAAGAAACUAAUGGCAGUCAUCACUAUCAAGCGAGCUUCUUUAAUCACAAGUGCAGUCCAAGAUUUAUUUUUCUAUAUAUUUGAAUCCCAAAUGCAAAGAUAUAAAGUGAUGUUGAAAUCUAGAUUUAUCUUUAGGAUGCUAACUUUUGCUUAGAAACCAUGAUUUGAGAAGGAGCAUGAAGGUUUGGUAAUGGUGUGAUCCUCAGAAUGGCUGCCAUUGCUUAGAUAGCUAAAUAAAACAAACCAUUUUUAUUUCCUUCCAACUUAAUUUUGUUUAUAUGUAACCACACCCCAGAUAAGAAAAUAAACCAAAAAAAAGAAAAAAAAUGCCCAUUUGUGCUCAAUGUAAAGUGUGUACUUUAUUAUAUUACACUAUUUCAUAACUAUUAAUAUACAUAUUCACACUGCUUUUAUUAUAAUAAAUUAAUAAUAUAGCUAGCAUUAGAAUCUCAAGUUAUUGAAAACAAAGAGUAAUUACCUCGUGAAGUUCUCUUAAAACAACUUCCUUUGUACCAACCUUAGCUCUUAGAAAUCUUGAUGGAGAUGACAAAGAGGACCCUAAGAAAGAAACUCGAAUAAAUUUCAUGAUACUGCCAUGUUCUCUGGCAAUUGGAAAAAUCAAGAAUGAAAAACUAACACAUGAACUACUAAAACUCCAAAAAAUUCAGCUUAGUUAAAUGUAGAACGUGAUUGAUAGCAGAAGAUGAUAUGACAGGUGAACCAUACGUUGUUCCAUAUGAUGAGAACUCAAUAAAGAUGUAUCAUAGAUAAUUUGGUCAUAAAUAUCACUGAAGACACUACCAUCAAAUCAAUUCCCGACAUCACAAGAUUUUAAUUCUUAAGCAAUUAGCAAAAAUAAAGAUAAUAACUUGCUACACUUGAAUUUAUACCUUAAUUGACAGAUAUUUGAGGCUUUUCAAAGUUCUGCCUUUAUUCUUUAGAGAGAAAUUGAGAAACAUUGACUUCCACCAUCUAAAAAAAUAAAAAUGACAUCACAAAUCAUAAAUAUUAAAUCAUAUUACAAAUUAUAACCUCAACAUUGUAGAAAAUCAUGAAGUGUUUGUAAGUUACUAACCUUACAAAUCUGAUUUAGAGAUAUAUUAUUAAAUAUUUGGUGGCUCCAUUUCUUGGCAACUAGUCAAUGAUGAUUCAUUAAGCUGCAAAAUAUUAUAAGUAAAAAAACUUGGGAAUCAAAAGAAAAUAAAAAAUAGUUUCAAUAGAUAAUACCAUUUGUAAAGAAGUUAAUAUCUUGGGAUAUUUCCUCUACAUUUUCCCUACUAACUUUCUGUAUUGAUAAAAAAAAUAAAAUAAAUUACUAACAAAAGAACUUACAAGUUAGCAACAUCGUAAAUAAAAAAUAUUUGGUAUAAUGGAAGAGAAGGGGAAAGAUGUAAAAGAAAAUACAUCAUUUUCUUCAUCCUCUACCAACCACAAAUAAUGUUUGAUGCAUGAUAAAGAGUGCCCUACUGGCUGAUGAUGCAUGAGAAAAAUAAAAUAAAGUUUGUUGCAAUUUAAACUUCCUAAUUAUGUUUCUUACCUAACUUAAUCACCCUAAGACAAAAUAACAAAGAAUCUACUAAUAAACCAGACUAAGGAAGCUAGUCUAACGGCCUAUUCAUUCAUAAAAGUUCACAUGGCAAUAGGGGAACUAAGUGACUGUGGGUAUAAAUUAAGAAAUAGAUUAAUGGAAGAAAGAAAAACGAAAUGAAGAAAAGACACAAAUAUUUGAAUAGCAACCCAAUGCUAUUAAGAGUCUGCACCAGUAGAUACAUUUUAUUAAAGGCAAAGAAAUUGAAAUUCGCUUUAAAUUGCUUGAAGUUGUUUUACUGGAAAAUUCAGUGUUAAGCCAUUCAAUGCAUUUCUAAUACUCUAGAUUAAUAUAAAGUUAGUGAACACCAUCUUUACCUUGAAAGCCAAAUCUAAGAACUUGAAAAUUUAACCAGAACUUAAACAUUUAGAUCAUGAGGAGCUGUCAUCUACAAACUACAGAAAAGGUCUUUCUACCAUAAACUAAGGAACUUAUUUUCUCUUUUUGCAGGAGAAGUUGCUCACAUCAGGUGUAGGGUAUUCUUUAUUCUUCCAACCUUAAAUUUAACAGCUCUUCAUUUUAUGAAAUCAUGCUUAACUACAAUCUUAUUGAUAUCCUUGUGCAAAAUCCUAACUAGAUGUUUACAAAGAAAAUGGUGCAAGGUUCUCGACCUCUAUUCACAACUGGUGCUUAAAUCAAUAAAUCAUGCUUAAAGUCCCUAAUUGGUAUUAUAACAAACCCUAAUCUAAACUUGAACUACAAAAAUCAUUAUCAAAAUUAAAAAAAAUAAGAAAACAGAGAAAGAGUACCCAAAUCAAUGAUUACACAAACAUGUACCUUUGAGCUAAAACUUACACAAUAAAAACUCUAUUCAACAUAUGUAUUUGGUGAAGAAACAAUUAAGAAAAUUAACACAAAUUUAAAAAAAAUAAUGAAAAAAAUUAACAUAAAAUAAAAAGACUUGAGAAAAUCAUCUUACUAACUAACCGGGAAUCUUUGCAUUCUGAAACAAGUAAAUCACCGGAGGCAUCGAUCCUCAUGACUGCCCUUCCUUGUAACAUAACACUGUUUUUUUUGUUUUUUUAGCUCCAAGUGCUCAUUUCACCUCCAACUUGCAUUGACAACAAGGUUGCCUUUGAAAAUGUAUAAAUGCAGCAUAUACGUAUUUUAUAAAACAGAAUAUUUGUUCAAGCACAGCCUGGCAAUGCUCAUCAUUCAAAAAAGAAAAGCUAAUCGGGAAUAUUUAGAUCCAUGCCAACCAAGAAUCUUCUUAGUAAGCAAAGGGGAAAAUGAAAAAAUCAUCCAUUAUCAUUAGCUGAAUGAAGAAUCAAAGAAUAUUCAGUGAAAGUAGUGAAAUUCUUUGAUGAGAUACGAUUCAAGAAAAAGAUAAAAAAGGAUUUGGUGAAAUUCUAUGAUGAGAAUUUGAGAAUGAAUCAAUCUAAAAAUGGUUUGGUGAGAAAUGAGGUAAGAGAGAAGAGUUGAUGUAAGAGAGAGGAAGAGUUGAACCAUAAGAAAAAAGAAUUGUUAAGACUCACAAAAGGUAGAUUGUUUACUUGGGCUGUCCUAAUAAAAUAAUUAUAUUGGUCAUUGCUGUUUUUAUUUUGUGAUCUUCUCUUUCUCUUAUCAAGUCUCUUCUAAUUUAUUUUAGUUUACUUUAAGUGAUUACACUUCAAAUAGUGCAGUUAAAUAAAAAUGUAUCAAAUGUUUCAAGAAGAAUUUAGUUACAUUAAAAUAAUUGACCCUAAAACUAUGCAUUAAAAAGUAAAAAAUGUUGUAGUAUUAAACUGAAACAUAGUCAUAUGUUUAAGAAUAUGUGUCAGUAUUAGCUUUAUUGUUAAUUAUUUUUCUAAUUUAUUACCUAUUUUUUGUUUUUAAAGUUACUAUUAUUUAUUUAUUUUAAAUAUAUUUUAUUAUUUAAUGAGAAUGAAAGAUAAAAAAUUUAAAAUAAGAAUGUAAUACGUUAUGUAUGAUAUAUAAUUGUAGAAUUCAAAUUUAUUUAUAGUUACAUAAAGAAUUUUUUACUCUCUUUUAGUUACAACAAGAAUCUUGUAAUAUUGAAUUAAAGUUAUUUUGAAGUUAGAAAUACAAUAGUGAAGGAAAGAAAUUUUACAUUUUUUUAUAUUUUAAAUUACUAGUAGAUUAAUAGUUUGUGUAAUAUUAAUUUUUUUGAAAGGCAUGUAUUAUUAUUUUUUAAUUAAAUUAAAUACUUGAAAGGAAAAAUUUUACUUAUCUUAUAUAUCUUCAACAUCGUUUCAUGUCAGUCUUUCAGAUUGUUUGGAGUUAAUCUUAUCAUUUAGGUUCAAAUUUGGUAAGUUCGAGUUGUUGAUUUUUUGUGGUUAAAUUAAGUUCGGUUGAAUUCAAGAUCGAGUAGAUUUAACAAAUUUUCAGAUUUCAGUCAACUUUGUUAAUUCUAAGUGAGAUCUCUAAUAUCCCUAUUAAGAGAUUAAUUUAAUGAUGCAAUUGUAUAAUUACUUAUUGUUUAAUUUAGUUGAGCGGCCUAUAAUCUUACUCUUAAAAGUUCGUUUCAAUUAAUUUUUCAAAAAGCGGAGAAUCGAAACGAAAAUAUGUUCAGAUGUAUAUGAUAUAAAUAUAUAUAUAAAUAUGUCGUAAUUAUUACAUUUCAUAUACAGAUCAAUUAAUAAACCUGACAAACAAAGAAUCAAAGAUUUGGACAAAUAUGGUAUAGAAUUAAAGAAAAUUUAAAACGCCAGAAUAAAUUUACAUAUGGUGAGAUUUGAAACUGAACUUAGAAAUUAACAGCAAAAAAAAUAAAGUAACUGUUACUAAUAGAAAAAACAAAGAAUUAAACUAUUGGCCGGAAAUAGUUCAAUAAUGGUAAGUUCAUUUUCUAGUCGUAGUUUCCUUCUAAAGCAUCUAAAAUUGAGCUGUGUCCAGUCGAGAUUCAAGACCCUUUGCAGUAUAUCUACAUACACCACUGAAUUAACCAACACACCAAUUGAAAAUCUCGUGAUUCAAUUAGAAAAAAUGAAAGCUUCAAGCUCUGUAUUCAGUGCUUCAAUCCUUUUGUUUUCAAUUUCAUUGGUAGCAUCAGAUUCAGCUCUUGAUAGAUUUCUUCAAUGCCUUCCCAAGAAUUCCAACCCUUCAAACCCAAUCAAUGAUGCCAUAUUCACUCCCAUGAAUUCCUCCUUUCAGUCUAUUUAUGAGUUACGCGCGAACAACCUUAGAAGCUUGUACUCUGCAACCUUGAAACCAGUGGCCAUUAUAACAGCACUACAUGAAUCCCAUGCUCAAGCAACUGUCGUUUGUGCGAAGAGACAUGGCUUCCAAAUCAGAAUUCGAAGUGGUGGUCAUGAUUUUGAAGGCCUAUCAUUUGUAUCAAGCGUCCCAUUUGUCAUUCUUGAUCUCUUCAAUCUUCGGUCUAUAGAGAUUGAUAUGGCAAGCGAGACGGCAUGGGUUCAGGCAGGGGCGACCACCGGUGAACUAUAUUAUCGGAUAGCAGAGAAAAGUAAAGUCCAUGGCUUCCCAGCUGGAGUUUGCAUUACUCUUGGCACUGGGGGACACUUCAGUGGAGGUGGCUAUGGACCCAUGAUGAGAAAAUAUGGCCUUUCCAUAGAUAAUGUCCUUGACGCCCAACUGAUUGAUGCCAAUGGUCGAAUCCUUGACAGAAAGUCAAUGGGAGAAGAUGUGUUUUGGGCAAUCCGAGGAGGUGGAGGAACUAGCUUUGGGAUCAUCCUUUCAUGGAAGAUCAAGCUGGUCCGUGUUCCUCCUAAGGUUACUGUUUUCAUAGUCAUAAGGACUUUAGAACAAGGAGCAACAGAUCUUGCUUAUCGUUGGCAACAAGUUGCCCAUAAACUACCUAAAGAACUUUUCAUCAGACUGGCGCCUCGGCCUUUGAUUGGAACUGGCAAGGGCAACAAAACAGUACAGGUUCCUUUCAUCGGCCAUUUUCUUGGACAAACUGAUGAACUUGUUCAACUGGUGAACUCAAACUUGCCUGGAUUGGGUUUGCAACGAAGUGACUGCUUAGAAAUGAGUUGGGUCGAAUCCGUCCUUUUCUGGACCGGUUUCCCCAAUGGAACCUCCAUUGACGUCUUGCUCAAACACAGAGUGCAAACAGACAAAGUCUUCUACAAGACUAAGUCCGAUUACUUCAAAGAAGUAAUUCCCAAGGCAGGCUUGGAAACCUUAUGGAAUUUGCUGAUGGACAUCGAAAAUAUCUAUGUGCAGCUAAAUCCUUACGGUGGAAGAAUGGGAGAGAUUACAGAGUCGGAAACAGCAUUUCCCCAUAGAGCUGGAAACCUAUUCAAAGUGCAGUAUACAGUGCUUUGGUCGGACGCCCAAGGAGGAAUCAAUGCUACAGAGCGGUAUUUGGAAUGGUCCAGAAGAUUGUACAGUGCAAUGGCACCGUACGCCUCCAGCAGCCCAAGGGAGGCAUUUCUCAACUACAGAGAUCUUGACGUUGGCAGCAACGACAGCAACAACACAGAUUUUGCAGCAGCCGAAGUUUAUGGGGCUAAGUUUUUCAAGGGCAAUUUCCAGAGAUUGGUGCUUGCCAAAACCAUGAUAGACCC
This 91304-nucleotide long non-coding RNA is filed under the name Theobroma cacao (cacao). RNAcentral describes it as "long non-coding RNA (TCAC_LNC003637)". The stretch from base 39360 to 39452 matches the Rfam family "Small nucleolar RNA snoR8a". Lineage: Eukaryota; Viridiplantae; Streptophyta; Magnoliopsida; Malvales; Malvaceae. The record is from RNAcentral.